UUAGGCAAGCUGUAAAAGAAAAGUUAUUUGCUGAUGCGGUUAUGGUAAGAAGUGUGCAAAAUCCGAACCUUGAAGGAAUUCAAAAAGAAAUUGCCAGAAAGUUGGGUAUGGAAGUUCAAGAAAGCGAAACUAUGUCAGUAAGAGCACCUCGUCUAUGUGACAGAGUAAAAGACAAGAAUGUUCUUGUAAUUUUAGACAACAUUUGGGAAAGCAUUGACUUGGAGGCGGUAGGACUUCCUUGUCUGCCGAAUUGCAGAAUACUUCUGACAUCCAGAACUCGAAAACUGCUAUCCUCAGAGAUGCGGUCGCAAAAAGACUUUGAGCUUCGAGUUUUAAACGAGGAAGAAGCUUGGCAUUUAUUUGAGACGAAAGCAGGUGAUGUUGUUAAAAAUCCCGACAUACGAACUGUGGCAACCGAUGUAGCCGAAAAAUGCGGAGGUUUGCCAGUUUUGGUUGUCACAGUCGCAAGCUCUUUAAGAAAUACUAGUGCUUUACCAGUAUGGAAGAAUGCCUUGAGAAGCCUAAAAGCGUUUGACUACGAAGACUCAGCCCAACAAGAAGCAUUCUCAGCUUUAGAGUGGAGUUACAAUCAAUUGGAUGAUCAAAAGCUUAAGCCACUAUUCUUGAUCUGUGGAAUUUUUGUAUAUGAUACGGGAUACGCUGAUCUGACAGACUUGUUGAAAUGUACAAUUGGUUUGGGUUUGUUUAAGAACAUCGAUUCAGUGGAGGACGCACGAUAUGCAUUGUAUGCGCGGAUUGAAGAGCUUAAAGAUUCUGGUCUGUUACUCGACUCCUAUGACAAUACAUCAAUCAGAAUGCACGAUUUGUUAUGUGAUGUUGCCAUCAAGAUUGCAUCCAAAGGCCACCGUGCCUUACUAAGAGGAAACGGAGAUGUCUUGAAGGAAUGGCCAAACAUUAAGGAGUUUUCUGAAAAUUGCACAAUGAUCUCUUUGUCUUGCAAUAUCAUCCCUGAGCUUCCUGAAGUUUUGAAAUGCCAACAACUGGAGUAUUUUUAUUUGAACGUUGAUGGUGAGUUGCUUGAAAUCCCAGGUAACUUCUUUGAGGAGAUGAAAGAGCUUAAAGUUAUGGAUUUAACCGAUGCGCGUAUUUCGUCGCUGCCUCCAUCUCUUCUUCUCCUACGAAAUCUUCGGACAUUGUGUUUGGAUAGUUGCGUGUUGGGAGACGUAGCUCUAGUCGGACAGCUAUCGCAACUAGAAAUUCUCAGCUUUAUGUAUUCUACGUUUAAAAAGUUGCCUGAAGAAAUAGGGAAAUUGACUCGUCUUCGACUGCUGGAUUUAAAGGGCUGCUAUGGUCUCGAAGUGAUUUCACCUAAUGUUAUAUCACGUUUGACAAGUCUGGAAGACUUGAGAAUGAAAGAGAGCUUCAACGGAUGGGUGCCCGAAGGAGUAAGCGGAGAAAGAAGUAAUGCUAGCCUUUCAGAACUGAAGGACUUGCCUCAUUUAGCUGCAUUAAGCAUACAUAUUCCAGAUGCUGGCAGUAUUCCGACGGACUUGUUCACUGACAAGUUAAAAAGAUACCAAGUAUUAAUCGGUGCUUGGUGGGAAUCGGAUGAUGAGGAUGAAACCCUCAACUCAUUGACGCUUUACGAAAUGCGGGAGUUGCUGUAUCUACGCAACGAGAAUUUCCCAGGGGCAGGCCCAGUUUUUCCAAACUUGGAAGUUCUGCGAGUGGUGGUAUGUCCAGAAUUGAAGGAGAUAGGGUCAUCAGCUAUUCCCUUCAAGAAUUUAACAACUUUGGAAGUAUAUGGUUGUCACAGCUUGAAAUAUUUAGCAACAUAUACGAUAGCCAAAACUUUAAAGCGGCUAAGAACAAUGACGGUUGGGGGCUGUGAAAGAAUGAGAGAAAUAGGGGCAACGACAUCAGAUGGAGAUGAUGCAGGAAAUGAUGGUGAGAUUUCUUUUUGCCAGUUGCAAAGUUUGCAACUUUUCUCUCUACCAAGUCUGCAAGAUUUCUUCUCUGGAAAUUGCAUUGUCAAAUUCCCAUGCUUGAAAACUGUAAAUAUAUAUGAAUGCCCUAAGUUGAAGAUCAACAGCUCUGAGUGGAAGAGUUCCCCAGAACUACAAGGAGUGCGGAUAACAGAACAUUAUGUGCGGUGGCCAUGAGGAUGAUGAUGUUGACUGUUGAUACAGAUGAUGGUGUUGGUGAGGGUGACAAUGUUAAUGAUGACGGAAGCUAUGAUGAUUCUAACAAAUAGAGCGAAGGUGAUGCAGAUGUUGCUGAUGGAUCGUGGUGGUCGUGGCAAAACUAAACUCAAUGUACAUAAAGAAUUAACAACUUUGCUGCAUGGUUAGUUCUCUUGUUAACAUGUUUGUUAUUUCUGUGUGUAAUGGUUUUGGGUUUUAACGAAGACAAUCUUCUGCCCAUUUUAAAUUAAAUUUCGAAUAAUUUAAAAUAAAUUUUUUGCUUGAUUUUUAGUUUUCAUAAGCUGGUGUACUCGGGCGUUGUUGCGGUGUUUGAAAUAUUGUUGGUGUAGAAAGUUUUGAAUAUAUAUAUGUGCCUAAGAGUAGCAUGUAUAUUGACGGUCUCCAAGAUCAUCUUGACGCAACAUUCUCUCCGCCAAUUUCAUCUUCAAAAUAAAAAUAAUUAAAUUAAUCACAAAAUUAAGGUGCUUUUACAUCUUCAAAAUAAAAAUAAUUAAAUUAAUCACAAAAAAUUGAAACCCUUCGAAAGCACAUAUUCUUAAUCAUAUAUCAAAAUUAAAUUCAACCCUUUGUAUCAUUUUUCCCAAAAGAUCAAACCUUUUUUUUAUCAACAUCUCUCUCUCUCUUUUGAUUGUCAAAUGGAUUGAUAAUAGAAUCAAACGAAGUAUGGGAUACCAGUAAAUUGACUCUUGAAAUUCUUUAAUUCACUUUGAUCCACGCCCACUCAUUCCUUUUUUUUCCCCCUACUUUUUGCACAAAUAUUUGUCUCUUAAUAAUAUUGUACAAAUAAUCUAUUCAAUGUCAAACCUCAAAAUGAUUAGAAACUAAACUUCAAGUGCUGAAUUGAUUAGAACUAAAAUUGGCAAUAUAGCGAUCAAAUGUUAAUGAUACAGCAAUAAUAUUUUGAAGAUAAAACAAUUAAACGUUAACAACACAUUAAAACUAUCAGCCAUUUGUACAAUUGCGAUUUGACUUUGAGAAAAGAUCCGUUUGACCAUUCUUUUUAUAGGUCCAAGUACUAUCCGUGUGAUCUAAGUAGUGUUGGUUCUUGGUACAACUAUUUGGGAAUAUAGAAACAUUUUGUAAAACAAAGAAGGCGUUCAGCAAAUACAUAAAAUUGAGUGUAAUCGGAAGUUGAAACACGAAAGAAAACAUAUGAAGAAAAACCCCUAAUUAGCAUUGAAAUUAUUGAAAGCCAAAGGACAAACCAAAAUCUUCACCUUAACUUUGCUUUCUCCCAUUAGAAUUUUCUUUGCUUUCUUGCAUAACAUUCACAAUAGUAACACCGCCUGACAGUGCUAUGAUCACAAAUGAUAAACAACAUACUAAACGGAAGUGAUGGUUUGAAUCUGGAAUCAAUGCAUACCUGAAAAGCUGAUUUAAAAUUGGUUAUGCUUUUCCCAUGCUCGUAACAUUUAUCAUUUGCAAUCAGUAAAAUUUUCCUGAUAAGGGGAAAGCAAGGAGAGUAAGUUAUAAGCAAAGUUGACAGACAAAACAGUUCGCUGCACAGAGAGACAGAGAACUUACAUCAGCUGUGCUCUCAAAUACAUAUGGUAAUCUGCAUACGAAGAAGCAGUUCUUUUUUUUUAAACCUUAAAUUCUGAUUCUAUGAUUUUGCAUUUGACUCCAACCAACAAGCAUGCUUAGAGGAUAUAUACCAUAAAGUAUAACAGUCAGUAGACGCUCAUACCACCACCAGCACAUACAACAACAAACAAUAAACAACAAAGCCUUUUCCCACUAAGUGGGGUCGGCUAUAUGAAUCCUAGAACGCCAUUGCGCUCGGUUUUGUGUCAUGUCCUCCGUUAGAUCCAAGUACUCUAAGUCUUUUCUUAGAGUCUCUUCCAAAGUUUUCCUAGGUCUUCCUCUACCCCUUCGGCCCUGAACCUCUGUCCCGUAGUCACAUCUUCGAACUGGAGCGUCAGUCGGCCUUCUUUGCACAUGUCCAAAUCACCGGAGCCGAUUUUCUCUCAUCUUUCCUACAAUUUUGGCUACUCCUACUUUACCUCGGAUAUCCUCAUUCCCAAUCUUAUCCUUUCUCGUGUGCCCACACAUCCCACGAAGCAUCCUCAUCUCCGCUACACCCAUUUUGUGUACGUGUUGAUGCUUCACCGCCCAACAUUCUGUGCCAAAAACAUCGCUGGCCUUAUUGCCGUCCUAUAAAAUUUUCUCUUGAGCUUCAGUGGCCUACGACGGUCACACAACACGCCGGAUGCACUCUUACACUUCAUCCAUCCAGCUCGUAUUCUAUGGUUGAGAUCUCCAUCUAAUUCUCCGUUCUCUUGCAAGAUAGAUCCUAGGUAGCGAAAACGGUCGCUUUUUGUGAUCUUCGCUAGAUUGCUCCGGUCAUUAGUGUGGAUAAGUAUAUAAAUGGAUAGAGAUAGGAAAGCAAACACAAGAUGUACGUGGUUCACCCAGAUUGGCUACGUCCACGGAAUAGAAGAGUUCUCAUUAAUUGUGAAGGGUUUACACAAGUACAUAGGUUCAAGCUCUCCUUUAGUGAGUACAAGUGAAUGAUUUAGUACAAAUGACAUUAGGAAAUAUUGUGGGAGAAUGAUCUCGUAAUCACGAAACUUCUAAGUAUCGGAGUGUGGUGUCGUCUUGACUUGCCUUAUCUGUCUCAUAGGUAGAUGUGGCAUCUUCUCUGGAAGUACUCUUCCUCCAUCCAGGGGUGGUAUCUUUAACUGGUGGAGAUGCACAAGGUAAUGUAUCAAUUUCACUUGAAGCUGAAGCUUACUUGUAGUUUCAGGCUUGGUCAAGCGCGAUACAAACCAUGUAGUAAGAGUCCCCCAAGUCGCCGAGCUAGGGGGUCUGCUGAAAGAGGUGACAGACAAGGUAAGCAAUCAGAGCUCCGACUGAUUGUUCACCUUCUCCCCAUCUUGCAGCAGCAUGAAGGAUAAAGAGAAGAAAAAUGAGAAGAGAUGAUAUGAGAUACUUUUGCUUUUGAAGAAGUAACUUUCCACAGGCUUAUUCUUGAACUGAGCUGGAGGGUUUUCUGGUUUCCUCCAGAGUAUAAGGCCGACUGAAGAAUUUGAGGGUCAAAACAAGUCCAUCAAAUCUAGAGUACGUUCCACCCUGCUGCUGAUAUGGGAUACUUUUGCUUUUGACAGAGUAAUGGAUGUAUCGGCACGUGUGCUGUUACGCUUGUCUCCACAUGCUUCCUUGUAUCCUUCGCACUUGCCCUAUCUGUUCCUCAAGCAGAUGCGGAAUCUUCCCUGGAAACAUAACAUGUUGAAGAUGAGUACUCGAGAGCAAUGCCAGGUAAGUAAUCAGGUAAGGGGUUCCAGGCAGUCAGUUCCUGGCUGGAAGCUUGAUUCCAAGUGCUGACUGAUUGCUCUCUUUCUCCUUGUCUUGCAGGUAAAAAACAAGGCCAAAGGAAAAGACAGGGAAAAAGCAUGAUAUGGGAUACUCUUGCUUUUAACCCUGAUGAUAUGAGAUAUUCUUGCUCUAGUAUAUAGCUUGUUUGCAGAGGUAUUAUCGGGGGGAAAGAAAGCUGAAUAUUUCGAAAGGCUUCGUUGGGAGUGCCCUCUCAGAUAUGAUGAAGGGUUGAGCAUUUUUGCAGGUCUGCCUGUCCGUUGGGGAUGGAGGUCGACAUAUAUAGGAGUCUCCCUAACAACAAGUAGUAAUGCUAUUCCUUUACCCUGCUUGGUCAUAGCACGGUAGUGGGAGCUGCCAGUUUCACAUGUCUUAACUCUGUCAGAGCACUUUGAAAAAGUGGUCUGUGGUAUCUGGCUCUCGAGAUUCGGAAAACGAUGCCUCUUCGAUUUUUGAGAAAAGCAAUCAUGCUGGGGGGUCUGGCUCUCGAGAUUCGGAGAGCAGUGUCUCUUCGAUUUUUGAGGAAGUAAUCAUGUUGGGAGUCUGGCUCUUGAGAUUCGGAGGGCGGUGCCUCUUCGAUUUUGGAGCAAGCAAUCCUGUUGGGAGUGUUGUCUCGAAUGUGAGUAAAGGUUGGGCAUGUUUGCUAGUCUACCUUGCCACGAAGCACAAAGGUUGACACACACAGGGACUUUCCAAUUAUCCAGCAAUGGUACUGUUCCUUUACCCUCUCUUCGCUUUUGAGAAAGUAGUCAUGUUGGGAGUCUGGCUCUCUCGAGAUUCGGAGGACGGUGCCUCUUCGAUUUUGGAGCAAGCAAUCUUAUUGGGAGUGUUUUCUCGAAUGUGAGUAAAGGUUGGGCAUGUUUGCUAGUCUACCUUGCCACGAAGCACAGAGAUUGACACACAGGGACUUUCCAAUUAUCCAGCAGUGGUACUGUUCCUUUACCCUUAUGGGUAAUAAUAUGGUAGCUAGACCUUCAAAAUUUAUGUGUCUAAACUUUGUUAGUGCUGUUUCUUUGCUAUUCUUUUACCUUUCUUGGUCAGAGCGAUGUAGUGGGAGCUGAAAGCUUCACGUGCUCAACUUUGGCAGAGAACUUUGGCAAAGUUAUCUGUGGUACCCAUGAGCUAUUGUUGCGUGUAACAGGUGCUGACAAGGCUAGAAAAGUAGGUGCCUCUUCGAUUUCUGAGAUCGGCCCUCGUGGUCUCUGAGCAGCCCAGCUUUUGAGAAAGCGAGCGCCUCUUCGAUUGAUUCGGAGAACGAUGCCUCAUCGAUUUUUGAGAAAGCAAUCAUGCUGGGGAUCUGGCUCUCGAAGAUUCGGGAAGCAGUGUCUCUUCGAUUUUUGAGAAAGUAAUCAUGUUGGGAGUCUGGCUCUCGAGAUUCGGAGGGCGGUGCCUCUUCGAUUUUGGAGCAAGCAAUCUUGUUGGGAGUUUUCUCGAAUGUGAAUAAAGGUUGGGCAUGUUUGCUAGUCUACCUUGCCACGAAGCACAGAGGUUGACACACAGGGACUUUCCAAUUAUCCAGCAAUGGUACUGUUCCUUUACCCUCUCUUCGAUUUUUAAGAAAGUAGUCAUGUUGGGAGUCUGGCUCUCGAGAUUUGGAGGACGGUGCCUCUUCGAUUUUGGAGCAAGCAAUCUUAUUGGGAGUGUUUUCUCGAAUGUGAGUAAAGGUUGGGCAUGUUUGCUAGUCUACCUUGCCACGAAGCACAGAGGUUGACACACAGGGACUUUCCAAUUAUCCAGCAGUGGUACUGUUCCUUUACCCUUGUGGGUAAUAAUAUGGUAGCUAGACCUUCAAAAAUUAUGGGUCUAAACUUUGUUAGUGUUGUUUCUUUGCUAUUCUUUUACCCUUCUUGGUCAGAGCGAUGUAGUAGGAGCUGCAAGCUUCACGUGCUCAACUUUGGCAGAGAACUUUGGCAAAGUUAUCUGUGGUACCCGUGAGCUAUUGUUGCGUGUGGGAAGUGGGUGAUUGAACAGUAAGAUUCAUGUGUUUUCUACUUCCCCAAAAGUCUUCGACAGAAUGCCCAUAAUUUCCGCAAAGCUGAGUGUGCGUGUGACAGGUGCUGACAAGGCUGGAAAAGUAGGUGCCUCUUCGAUUUCUGAGAUCGGCCCUCGUGGUCUCUGGGGAGCCCAGCUUUUGAGAAAGCGAGCGCCUCUUCGAUUUCUGAGAUCGGCCUUCGUGGUCUUUGAGCAGCCCAACUUUUGAGAAAGCAAACGCCUCUUCGAUUUCUGAGAUCAACCCUCGUGAUCUCUAAGCAGCCUAACUUUUGAGAAAGCAAACGCCUCUUCGAUUUCUGAGCAGGCGCCUCUUCGAUUUCUGAAGCUCCGUCAAGUGCAGAUUUUUAUAGGGGCUGGCAUUAAGUUCCAAAGCACACUUGAAUCUCCACCAGUAGAAGCUUCAUUCUUGCACUUCUAAGAUCUUGAUUUGUCCGACCUCUUCUCUCUUCAACACCUUUGAAAAUGUCUGGCCCCUCCGACCGUCGUUUUGACUUGAACCUUGUUGAAGAGGCAGCCCCGCCUUCUCCAGACAACAUAUGGCGCCCAUCCUUCGUCUCCCUUACUGGUCCUCUUACCGUUGGGGAUUCCGUGAUGAAGAAUGAUAUGACCGCUGCGGUGGUGGCCAGGAACCUUCUCACUCCCAAAGAUAACAGACUACUUUCCAAACGGUCUGAUGAGUUAGCUGUUAAGGAUUCGCUGGCUCUCAGUGUUCAAUGUGCAGGUUCUGUGUCUAAUAUGGCCCAACGCCUAUUUGCUCGAACCCGCCAAGUUGAAUCAUUGGCGGCUGAAGUGAUGAGUCUCAAACAGGAGAUUAGGGGGCUCAAGCAUGAGAAUAAACAGUUGCACCGGCUCGCACAUGACUAUGCUACAAACAUGAAGAAGAAGCUUGACCAGAUGAAGGAAACUGAUGGUCAGGUUUUACUUGAUCAUCAGAGAUUUGUGGGUUUGUUCCAAAGGCAUUUAUUGCCUUCGUCUUCUGGGGCUGUACCGCAUAAUGAAGCUCUGAAUGAUCAACCUCUGAUGCCUCCUCCUUCUAGGGUUCUGUCCAGUACUGAGGCUCCAAAUGAUCCCCCUCCGGUGCCUUCUCUUUCUGGGGCUCUACCGACUGCUGAGACUUCUCCUAAGCAACCUUUGUGAAGGCUCCCUCUUGUGUGUUUAUUUUGACUCAUGCAUAUGUACAUAUUUGUAGCUUAUCGGGGAUAUCAAUAAAUAAGCUUUCCUUCAUUUCAACGUAUUGUGUUAAAUACACCAAAGCCUUCUUCGCUAAGUUCUUUGAAUUUUCUUUUGUUGAAGCUUGUAUGUUGAAGCUUUCUGAGUGGAGCAUGUAGGUUGGGGUAGUGUUCCCUUAAUUUCCCGAGUGAGGAAAACUUCUCGGUUGGAGACUUGGAAAAUCCAAGUCACUGAGUGGGAUCGGCUAUAUGAAUCUUAGAACGCCAUUGUGCUCGAUCCUGUGUCAUGUCCUUCGUUAGAUCCAAGUACUCUAAGUCUUUUCUUAGAGUCUCUUCCAAAGUUUUCCUAGGUCUUCCUCUACCCCUUCGGCCCUGAACCUCUGUCCCACAGUCGCAUCUUCUAAUCGGAGCGUCAGUAGGCCUUCUUUGCACAUGUCCAAACCACCGUAACCGAUUUUCUCUCAUCUUUUCCUUCAAUUUCGGCUACUCCUACUUUACCCCGGAUAUCCUCAUUCCUAAUCUUAUCCUUUCUCGUGUGCCCACACAUCCAACGAAGCAUCCUCAUCUCCGCUACACCCAUUUUGUGUACGUGUUUGAUGUUUCACCCGCCCAACAUUCUGUGCCAUACAGCAUCGCCGGCCUUAUUGCCGUCCUAUAAAAUUUUCCCUUGAGCUUCAGUGGCAUACGGCGGUCACACAACACGCCGGAUGCACUCUUCCACUUCAUCCAUCCAGCUUGUAUUAUAUGGUUGAGAUCUCCAUCUAAUUCUCCGUUCUUUUGCAAGAUAGAUCCUAGGUAACGAAAACGGUCGCUCUUUGGUAUUUCUUGAUCUCCGAUCUUCACCCCUAACUCGUUUUGGCCUCCAUUUGCACUGAACUUGCACUCCAUAUAUUCUGUCUUUGAUCGGCUUAGGCGAAGACCUUUAGAUUCCAACACUUCUCUCCAAAGGUUAAGCUUUGCAUUUACCCCUUCCUGAGUUUCAUCUAUCAACACUAUAUCGUCUGCGAAAAGCAUACACCAAGGAAUAUCAUCUUGAAUAUGUCCUGUUAACUCAUCCAUUACCAACGCAAAAAGGUAAGGACUUAAGGAUGAGCCUUGAUGUAAUCCUACAGUUAUGGGAAAGCUUUCGGUUUGUCCUUCAUGAGUUCUUACGGCAGUCUUUGCUCCUUCAUACAUAUCCUUUAUAGCUUGGAUAUAUGCUACUCGUACUCCUUUCUUCUCUAAAAUCCUCCAAAGAAUGUCUCUUGGGACCCUAUCAUACGCUUUUUCCAAAUCUAUAAAGACCAUGUGUAAAUCCUUUUUCCCAUCUCUAUAUCUUUCCAUCAAUCUUCGUAAGAGAUAGAUUGCCUCCAUGGUUGAGCGCCCUGGCAUGAACCCGAAUUGGUUGUCCGAAACCCGUGUCUCUUGCCUCAAUCUAUGCUCAAUGACUCUCUCCCAGAGCUUCAUUGUAUGACUCAUUAGCUUAAUACCCCUAUAGUUCAUGCAAUUUUGUACGUCGCCCUUAUUCUUGUAGAUAGGCACCAAAGUGCUCGUUCGCCACUCAUUUGGCAUCUUCUUCGUUUUCAAAAAUCCUAUUGAAAAAGGUCAGUGAGCCAUGUUAUACCUGUCUCUCCCAAAAGUUUCCACACUUUCAAUUGGUAUAUUGUCUGGGCCUAUUGCUUUUUUAUGCUUCAUCUUUGCUUCAAAGCUACAACCACUUCUUCCAUUCCUUCCUUCCGGAUUCGACGAUAAAAAGAGUAGUUUCUACACUCUUUCUGAGUUACUCAACUCCCCUAAAGAAGCACUCAUUUCAUGUCCUUCAUUGAAAAGAUUAUGAAAAUAACCUCUCCAUCUGUCUUUAACCGCGUUCUCUGUAGCAAGAACAUUUCCAUCCUCAUCCUUGAUGCACCUCACUUGGUUUAGGUCCCUUGUCUUCUUUUCCCUUGCUCUAGAUAGUUUAUAGAUAUCCAACUCUCCUUCUUUGGUAUCUAGUCGUUUAUAUACAUAUCGUCGUAAGCCGCUAACUUAGCUUCUCUCUGACAGCUUUCUUCGACUCUUGCUUCGCUUUUCUAUACCUUUCACCAUUUUCAUCGGUCUCCUCCUUGUAUAAGGCUUUACAGCAUUCCUUCUUAGCCUUCACCUUUGUUUGUACCUCCUCAUUCCACCACCAAGAUUCCUUUUGAUGUGGGGCAAAGCCCUUGGACUUUCCUAAUACCUCUUUUGCUACUUUUCGGAUACAACUAGCCAUGGAAUCCCACAUUUUGGCUAGCUUCCCCCUCUUUAUCCCACACACAUUGGGUGAUUACCUUCUCUUUGAAAAUGACUUGUUUUUCUUCUUUUAGAUUCCACCAUCUAGUCCUUGGGCACUUCCAAGUCUUGUUCUUUUGUCUUACUCUUUUAAUAUGUAUGUACAUCCAUCACCAACAACAACAAGCGAUGUUGAUUAGCCACGCUCUCUCCUGGUAUAACUUUGCAAUCCUUACAAGUUAUACGAUCCUCUUUCCUCAUUAGAAGAAAAUCUAUUUGUGUUUUUGACGACCCACUCUUGUAGGUGAUCACAUGUUCUUCUCUCUUCUUAAAGAAGGUGUUGGCUAAGAAGAGAUCAUAUAUGCCAUUGCAAAAUCCAAGAUAGCUUCCCCAUCCUCGUUUCUCUCCCCAAAACCAUGGCCACCAUGAAAACCUCCCAUAAUUGCCUGUCUCCCUGCCCACGUGUCCAUUUAAAUUCUCCUCCUAUAAAUAACUUCUCCGUCUGAGCAAUUCCUUGCACCAAGUCUCCAAGAUCUUCCCAAAAUUUCUCCUUCGAACUUGUAUCCAACCCUACUUGAGGUGCGUACGCACUAAUCACAUUGAUAAGUUCUUGUCCUAUUACAAUCUUGAUUGCCAUGAUUCUAUCUCCUACCCUCUUGACAUCUACAACAUCUUGUACCAAGGUCUUGUCCACGAUGAUGCCAACACCGUUUCUCGUUCUAUUUGUGCCCGAAUACCAAAGUUUAAACCCUGAGUUUUCUAGAUCCUUUGCCUUACUACCAACCCACUUAGUUUCUUGUAGGCACAUAUAAUAUUAUCCUCUUCUCCUCACCAUAACUUCCACUACUUCCAUAGAUUUUCCCGUUAAGGUUCCUAUAUUCCACGUUCUUAAACGCAUUUUGCUCUCUUGAACUCUACCCUUCUGUCCUAGCUUUCACCCUUCACCCCCGUCUAAUAGGAUCAAAGUACUUCUUUUGUGUGUCCCGGGUAAAGUUGAUAGGAGCAUAUGCUCCCAAACAACUUUGAGAGUGGAGUCGUUCGAAAAGAAGUUUCUAUGGCCUCCUUGCUCAUUUAACACUGCAUCCGGGUGCCGAUGGAGAUACAGCGACCCUUGCUCACUUAUCACUGUGCUCGGGCCACACAGCGCGCCACUUACGGGUGACGCCCUAGCUUUAGCGCGAUUUUGUUCUGGAUUCAUUUUCAUAAGGAUUCGACGUGAUCAUGGAGUGCCGGCUGUCGACUACCUGACGCCCUCCCCCUCCUCCUUUAUCCGGGCUUGGGACCGGCCAUGUAAGACAUGGGCGUAUAUACCACCAGCACAUACAAACACAAAAAUGCAAAUAGAAUUUUGAUGAGGCUCGGUAAUUAUGAAAUAUCACCUGUGUUUCGUUCUCAGCAACAUUGUCUUGUGAGGAAUAGCAACUUUUAUGGUUCCGCGCAAGAAUUUUGUUCAUACUGAUCAAAACGGGAAAACAGUCAAACAUUUUAAAGUUAUAAAUUAGAGGUAAUAGAUAAAUAAAGAUAGAGAAAUCUGAGUGCGAGAUGAUAGAUGAAAUCAGAUUGAAUACAUCAACCGGUGUUAGGCUGUUUGGAUUUAACUAUGCGUACAUACAUACAUACAAAGAAGUUUUGAAAACCGAAAACGAACCGACAGAACUGAAAAUGGCUGAUCUAAUCAAUUUCGGAUAUCACAAGAAUCCACGGAUCACUGCAAAACCAACCCAAUAAUACAAUAACAAAUCAAACACAGAUCAACAAUCCCAAAACUCAAAUUCUGACGCAAUCAAAUUAAUCCCCUGUAUAGCCUAUUAAUUUCUCCAAAAUUAUAACCCUAAAUAAAAAAUUAAUGCCCAUAUCCCCAAUUUGUAAAUCCCUAAUUCAAAAGCCCGAUGUAACUCCCUAAUUCGUUUUAUAAAUAAGAAAUUGCUUACCUUAAUGGCUUGAACGCCGGAGAUAGAGCAGAGAGGAUUGUGUUCGACGGCACGGCACGGUACGGUGCGCCGCGGUUCGUAUGGAACCCAGACCCUAGCAGCUUAACACUUGAAAUUGAUUUGUUGGUUUCAAACUUCGAUUGUGUGCGAUUUGUUUGUUUGAAGUCUAGAAUUUUUUUGCGAAUUGUGAGCGACAGAGAUGAAUUUCACCUAUUUUUUUGUGAAAGGUUAGUGAAAAAGGAAGAACUCAAAAGAAAAAAAAGAAAAAAAAAAGAUAAAAAGAAAAAAAGAGAAGAAGAAAGAGUGAUGAAGAGGGGGCCAAUUGUAGAAAAUAACGAGAAUGGAAGGUUUAAAAUGAGGCAGAUUCUCUGCUCUCUCACCCCCUUCCGACUAUGUGGUAACGGUUAAAUUACGUCAACAAUUUAUAUUACUAUUUCUUAAUCGUUACCACACAAUCAAUGGUGAGUUGAAAUAAAAAAUAAAUAAAAGAUGCGUGCGAUGGAAGAAUAGAGUGGUUGGAACUUGGAUCAACACGAAGGAACCAUAAAAGAAGAAUGAUGGUGUACGUACUAAAAUUAGAGAAAAAUGAGUGAAUUUCGAAAGAUGAGGUUGGAGGGAUCCUUUAGGAUUUUACAAUAUACAAGCACAUACACCUUAUUCUAUAACGAAAGUAAUUGCAAAAUACAAGGACACUAAAUCCUAAAGAUUACAUAUUCUCACCUAGUUAGAGUUGGUUUGGUAUUGUUGUGUUUUGAAAAAAAACUGUUUCUGCUAUGCUGUGAGAAUAAACCGUUGUGAAAUAAAGCAGCAGAGUGUUUGGUAAACUUUUGUAAAAAUACUUUUGAAAAAAAAAAGGUAUUAUAGUGUUUGAUAAACUUUUAUGUAAAACAGAUAUGAAAAAGCUGAUUUUUCAAAGAUUGGUUUUGCAGCUUUGUGUUUUUGGCUUUUUUCACCCAAAACUGUGAAAAAAAAAACUGAAGCUGAAUAUUUACCAAAAAUAAAAAUAAAAAAAAGCUUAUUUUGAUAGUCACUUUUUUCAGAAUCACCUUAGUACCAAAUCAGAGCUUAAAACAUGACUCCAAUAACAUUUACAAUUAAGACUCAAAUCAACACUCUCCUUCAAGUUGAAGCAUAAAUAUCAUAUAUGCCCAACUUGAUGAUUAAGUCUUGAAAAACCUUACUAGAUACUACAUGAGUAAGAAGCUUUCAUGAACUCACAAACGGUAUAGAGACACUUUUUUUUUCAAGAUUUUCCUUGACAAAGUGUUGAUCAAUCUCCACAUGCAUAUUUAUUGUCAACUAUCACCCUUGCAGAUUUAUUGUCACAAUAUAACUACAUAGAGUUCGUUUGGAUAUGCUUUUAAAAGGACUAAAAGCGCUUUUGGUGAAAAUAUUUUUGGAACCAAUUCUUAGUAAAAAAUAUAAGUAAAUUCUGGAAAAUCAUUUAAAGUCCUUCCUGGAAGAAGUACAUAACUGGUGCUUCUUGCAAAAAGCACUUUAAGUGCUUUUGGAACCAAAAAAACAUUUUCUCUAAAAACGCUUUUAGUCAUUUUAAAAUCACAUCUAAACGAGCUCAUAGUCUCCUUUAGUUCAAAACCAAGACAUCUCAAAAGUUUACGUAAGUAAAGAAGUUCACAUAUUCUGUCUGCCAUACCUCUAUACUCAGCUUCCGCAAACGACCUUGACACCACUUUCUGCUUCUUACUAUGCCACGUAACCAAAUUACCUCCAACAAACGUAAAAUACCUAGAUGUAGAUCGUCUGUUAGUAACAUUACUAGCCUAAUCUGCAUCUGUAAACCCCUCAACUUUUAGAUGCCCAUGUUUUUCCAUAAAGUUUUUCUUUACCGGGUGCAGACUUCAUAUAUGCCAAAAUUCACAUUACCACAACCAUAUGAUCUUCACUAGGCGAGUGCAUAAACUAACUUACAACACUCAAAGCAUAUGCAAUAUCAGGACGAGUAUGAGAUAAAUAAAUUCACCUCCCCACAAGUCUUUGAUAUCUACCCCUAUCUACAAGAACCUGAUCUAGGUAAAUACCCAAGUGAUGUUCUUCUACCAUUGAAGUAUCCACAUAUUUAAAAGAAUGAGAGAAAUAGGGGCAACGACAUCAGAUGGAGAUGAUGCAGGAAAUGAUGGUUAGAUUUCUUUUUGCCAGUUGCAAAGUUUGGAACUUUACGAGCUACCAAGUCUGCAAGAUUUCUUCUCUGGAAAUUGCAUUGUCAAAUUCCCAUCCUUGAAAACUGUAAAUAUAUACGAAUGCCCUAAGUUGAAGAUCAACAGCUCUGAGUGGAAGAGUUCCCCAGAACUACAAGGAGUGCAGUUAACAGAGAAGCAACCAACAGAUUAUUGGCGGCGGUGGUCGUCAUGGUACUGAUGGCAAAACUACAUAAUAUAUAUAACGAAUUAACAACUUUGCUGCAUAGUUCUCUUGUUAACAUAUUUGUUAUUUCUGUGUGUAAUGGUUUUCGGUUUUAAUGAAGACAAUUUUCUGCCCAUUUUAAAUUAAAUUUUGAAUAAUUUAAAAUAAUUUUUUGCUUAUGAUUUUUAGUUUUCAUAAGCUGGUGUACCUGCGCGUUGUUGCGGUGUUUGAAACAUUGUUGAAGGUGUAGAAAGUUCUAAAUAUAUAUGUGCCUAAGAGUAGCGUGUAUAUUGAUGGCCUCCAAGAACAUCUUGACGCAACAUUCUCUCUGCCAAUUUCAUCUUCAAAAUGAAAAAAAUUAAAUUAAUCACAAAAUUAAGGUGCUUUUAGAGACAUAAACUUAAGAACACAAAAAACUGAAACCUUUCGAAAGCACAUAUUCUCAAUCAUAUAUCAAAAUUAAAUUCAACCCCUUUUGACCAUUCUUUUUUUAGGUCCAAGUACUAUCAGUGUGAUCUAAGUAGUGUUGGUUCAUGGUCUAAGUAGUGUUGGUUCAUGGUACAACUAUUUGGGAAUAUAGAAACUUUUUGUAAAACAAAGAAGGCGUUCAGCAAAUACAUAAAAUUGAGUGUAAUCGGAAGUUGAAACACGAAAGAAAACAUAUGAAGAAAAACUCCUAAUUAGCAUUGAAAUUAUUGAAAGCUAAAGGACAAACCAAAAUCUUCACCUUAACCUUGCUUUCUCCCAUUAGAAUUUUCUUUGCUUUCUCGCAUAACAUUCACAAUAGUAACACCGCCUGACAGUGCUAUGAUCACAAAAUGAUAAACAGCAUACUAAACGGAAGUGAUGGUUUGAAUCUGGAAUCAACGCAUACCUGAAAAGCUGAUUUAAAAUUGGUUAUGCUUUUCCCAUGCUCGUAACAUUUAUCAUUUGCAAUCAGUAAAAUUUUCCUGAUAAAGGGAAAGCAAGGAGAGUAAGUUACAAGCAAAGUUGACAGACAAAACAGUUCGAUGCACAGAGAGACAGAGACAUAGAGAGAGAGAGAACUUACAUCAGCUGUGCUCUCAAAUACAUAUGGUAAUCUGCAUACAAAGAAGCAGUUCUAAAUCAUCCAUUCAGACCAUUAAAACAGUUAUAACAUCAUCUUCACCGAUGAAGCAAAUUCUAUGGAACGAAACUUCAAAUGAAAUGCAUAUAGAUUACCUUAAAUUCUGAUUCUAUGAUUUUGCAUUUGACUCCAACCAACAAGCAUGCUUAGAGGAUAUAUACCAUCAAGUAUAACAGUCAGUAGACGCUCAUACCACCACCAGCACAUACAAACACAAAAAUGCAAAUAGCAACUUUUAUGGUUCCGCUCAAGAAUUUUGUUCAUACUGAUCAAAGCGGGAAAACAGUCAAACAUAUUAAAGUUAUAAAUUAGAGGUAAUGGAUAAAUAAAGAUAGAGAAAUCGAGUGCGAGAUGAUAGAUGAAAUCAGAUUGAAUAGAUCAACUGGUGUUAGGCUGUUUGGAUUUUACAUACAAAGAAGUUUUGAAAACCGAAAACGAACCGACAGAACUGAAAAUGGCUGAUCUAAUCAAUUUCAGAUAUCACAAGAAUCCACGAUCACUUCAAAACCAACCCAAUAAUACAAUAACAAAUCAAACACAGAUCAACAAUCCCAAAACUCAAAUUCUGACGCAAUCAAAUUAAUCCCCUGCAUAGCCUACUAAUUUCUCCAAAAUUAAAACCCUAAAUAAAAAAUUAAUGCCCAUAUCCCCAAUUUGUAAAUCCCAAAUUCAAAAGCCCGAUGUAACUCCCUAAUUCGUUUUAUAAAUAAGAAAUUGCUUACCUUAAUGGCUUGAACGCCGGAGAUAGAGCAGAGAGGAUUGUGUUCGACGGCACGGUACGGUGCGCCGCGGUUCGUAUGGAAACAGCUCGUCGGAAUUCGAAGACCCAGACCCUAGCAGCUUAACACUUGAAAUUGAUUUGUUGGUUUCAAACUUCGAUUGUGUGGGAAUUCUCUUCGUUGAUAAGAGGGUUUGGGGUUUUAUGCGAUUUGUUUGUUUGAGGUUUAGAAUUUUUUUUGCGAAUUGUGAGCGACAGAGAUGAAUUUCACCUAUUUUUUUGUGAAAGGUGAGUGAAAAAGGAAAAGAACUCAAAAGAUAAAAAAGAAGGGUAAGUACAAAAAAUUACCUCAAUUAUUGAUGUCACGAUACUUUCAUACCUCAUGUUUUUAAAAUAACAAUGUCAUACCUCAUCUUACGAAUCUGUGUCAAUGUCAUACCUCCGUUAGUUUUUCUGUUAAGUGCUGACGUGACUAGAUAUAACGAUCACUCACUAAUCCAACUAGAUUAAAAUAUAAUUAAAUAUAUAUUUUAAUAAUUAAAAAUUAAAAGAUUAAAAUUAAAAAUAUUUUUUAUAUUAAAUUAUGGGAUUCACUUCUCUCUCUCUCUCGCCUCUCUCUCUUUUCUUUGCAUCCCCAAAAUCCCAAAGCCCAGAUCCCUUCCCACCCGUCCCCCAACCUUCCUCCACCACCAUUUCUCUCUCCUUUCUCUCGCCUCUCUCUUCUCUCUCUCUGGGCAACCUACAUCCCCAAAAUCCCAAAACCCAGAAUCCCAUUACAAAUCUCAAAACCCAAAAUCCCAUCAAACCUCCAUUUCUUCCCUUUUUUUCUGUAGCAGAACAGCUGCGGGAACCGCCGAAACAUCGACAUCGCGUUGUUGCGGGAGAAGCCGAUUUUUUCUAGGUAGUCGAUUUGGGGCAGGUGCUUGUCUGCGUCCUCAUUUCCAUUCCCAUUCUCCUCAUGCCAACCAUUCUUUGUCUGCGUCCCUGGUACCAAAUUCUCAUUGCCACUACCACCUCCGCCGCCAUCGAAGUCCCUCUUAAGCAACUCUACUAGCUGCUUCUGUAUCCCCUGCUUCUGUUUCCCGCUUAUGCCCCCACUAUUUUGCCUCUUCAUAUCACCAGUCAGGUCAACGAUGCCGUUCUGGAUGGGCACCAUCGAGUCCUGCAUCCCAAACCCAUUCCAAGACGAAUCCAUAGACGGCAAACCCAUAUCCCAGUUCUGGUGUUGCGGGUCGGGUCGAGCUGGUAGAUUUUUAUCCUAGAAAUCCAGACCCAAAAUAGACGCGACCUCGAGCAUCGAGGGGCAGUAGAAAAAUCAUUUGAGAGGGGUGCGAUCGUGUGCAGCAGUGACAGAGCAGCUGCCGUGGGCGUCCCAAUCGCACUUCUGGCAGAGAAAGAGUUUGUCGGUGGAGGAGCGGAUGGAGACGGCUUCGGAAGAGCAAUUAUCACAUAUCUGAGAGCUCACGUGCUUCCAAGAGAGCAAGUUAGCGGAGUGCACGUGCUGGUCGCAGAACAAGCAGAGCUUGGUGGGGUCUGCCCGACAGUAGAGAACCGCCGACUAGUCGCUGCACCCCCUCUAAACCUCCAGAUUUGGGGCUCACCAUUUCCAAAAUCCCUAAUUUCCUACCUACUAGUAUCAAACUAUUCCAAAUUUUGCAGAAAAAUUCAAAGUUUCAAACUUUGAGAGGGAGAGAGGUGAGAGAGAGAAUGGUGGAUGAAGGUUGGGGAGGGGACGAGUGAUAAGGGUUUCUGGGCUUUGGGAUUUUGGGGAUGCAGAGAAGAGAGAGGUGAGAGAAAGAGAGAGAGAAGUGAAUCCCACAAUUUAAUAUAAAAAAAUAUUUUUAAUUUUAAUUUUUUAAUUUUUAAUUAUUAAAAUAUAUAUUUAAUUAUAUUUUAAUCCAGUUGGAUUAGUGAGUGGUCCCUGUAUCUAGCCACGUCAGCACUUAACAGAAAAAUUAACAAAAAAACUAACGGAGGUAUGACAUUGACACAAAUUCGUAAGAUGAGGUAUGACAUUGUAAUUUUAAAAAGAUGAGGUAUGAAAGUGUCGUGACACCAAUAGUUGAGGUAGUGUUUUGUACUUUACCCUAAAAAGAAAGACACAAACAAAUAGAGAGAGAGAGAGGAAGAGAAAAAGAAAGAGUGAUGAAGAGGGGGCCAGUUGUAGAAAAUAACGAGAAUGGAAGGUUUAAAAGAAAGAUGGUAGAGAUGGUUCUUUGGGGGGGAAUUAUAAGAGAAGAUCAGUGGCGGAUUGAAAUAAAAAAUAAAUAAAAGAUGAGUGUGAUGGAAGAAUAUAAAGGUGGGCACGGUCCCGUUCGGUCCGUUCCAUCCUCAAAAUAGAAUCGAAACUGAAAAUUUUCAACGGAUUGGUUCGGUGUGGUUUCGUUUAAAUUUAUUACUAAAACCGUACGGUUCGAUUCAUGACUGUUCUGGUUUAGUUCAUGCCGGUUUACGGUUCCAACCAAAAUUAUAUAUAUAUUUUUUUCUAAUUUUCUACUUCUAAUACCAAACACAUAUUUCAACCACAAAUUCAAGUAAAUUUGAGUUUCCACUACUAGAUCUACAAGAUUUGUGAUCGGAUGAUAGAAAUUGUGCAUAUAUAUAUAUAUAUAUAUAUAUAUAUAUAUAAAGAUAGAACGGCUCAUAUCGAGACCAGAGUGUAGAUCUUAAACUAAAACUAAAAUGGACAUAAUGCAUAAUAUACUGGAAAAGAAUGGAAAAAAAUAAUGUAGGGGGAGAAAAGUGAUAAAACAACAAAGGAGGGGAAGAGAAGUGAAGAAAAUAUUGGGCUUAUGCACAUGGUCUUCUUGGAAAAAUGUCUUAUUUAUAUAAAAAUAAUAAUAAAACAAUAAUUUAUAUUAAAAGAGGUUUGGUCCGGUUCCUUCGGUUCUUAAUAUUUCCAAACUGAAACCAGAACUGUUUGAAACGGUUUGGUUUUUGUUCUGGUUUUGACUUUUUUGGUCAACACGUUUUUUUUUGUCACGGUUCGAUUCAGUUUUUCGGUUUGGCGGUUUUUAUGCCCACCCCUAGAAGAAUAGAGUGGUUGGAACUUCGAUCAACACGAAGGAAACAUAAAAGGAGUCUGAUGGUGUAUGUACUAAAAUUAGAGAAAAAUGAGUGAAUUUGGAAAGAUGAGGUUGGAGGGAUCCUUUAGGAUUUUAUAAUAUAUAGGCACAUAUAUCUUAUUCUAUAAGGAAAGUAAUUGCAAAAUGUAAGGACAUUAAAUCCUAAAGAUUACACAUUCUCAUCCUACUUAAAACAUGACUCCAAUAACAUUUACAAUUAAGACUCAAAUCAACACUCUCAUUCAAGUUAGUGCAUAAAUAUCAUACAUGCCCAACUUGAUGAUUAAAUCUUGAAAAACCUUACUAGAUACUGCAUGAGCAAGAAGCUUUCAUGAACUCACAAACGUUAUAGAGACAAUUUUCUUUUCAAGAUUUUCCUUGACAAAGUGUCAAUAAUUUCCACAUGCAUAUUUAUAGUCAACUAUCUCCCUUGCAGAUUUAUUGUCACAAUAUAAUUACAUAGUCUCCUUUAGUUCAAAACCAAGACAUCUCAAAAGUUUACGUAACUAAAGAAUUUCACAUUCUAUGUGCCAUACCUCUAUACUUAGCUUCUGCAAACGACAUUGACACUACUUUAUGCUUCUUACUAUGCUAUGUAACCAAAUUACCUCCAACAAACGUAAAAUACCUAGAUGUAGACUGUCUGUCAGUAGCAUUGCUAGCCCAAUCUGCAUAUGUAAACCCCUCAACUUUUAGCUGCUCAUGUUUUUCCAUAAAGUAUUCCUUUACCGGAUGCAGACUUCAGAUAUGCCAAAAUUCACAUUACCACAACUGUGUGAUCUUCACUAGGCGAGUGCAUAAACUAACUUACAACACUCCAUCAUAUGCAAUAUCAGGACGAAUAUGAGAUAAAUAAAUUCACCUCCCCACAAGUCUUUGAUAUCUACCCCUAUCUACAAGAACCUGAUCUAGGUAAAUAUCCAAGUGAUGUUUUUCUACCAUUGAAGUAUCCACAUAUAUACACCCUAGUAAGUGUACUUCUAUUGAAAUUUAUCAAGCAAAAUAGAACUAUAAACACGAGAAUUCUUGCGAUAAACGAGACAAGAACACGUGUACAAAAUAAUAUUUGUAUUAAUGAUUUAGGGGUUACAAUCUCUUCUACAAAUUUAGCUUCUGAUUCUAUCUUUGCAAUGGGUAGAUUUGUUGAUGUGGUGUUGAUCCAAAGGGCCGCUGGGGCUUGAUCUUGAAUAACGGUUGUGCGGAUUUCUUCAAGGGGCUUUUGGGCUUAAUCUUGAAGGUUGACGGGUGAACGGAUCUUCAAGGGCCGUUGGGGCCUUAUCUUGAAGAACGGUUGGAUGUAUAGGUUUGUUGAUGUUGUUGAUCCAAAGGGCCGUUGGGGCUUGAUCUUAGGGUGAACGGACGAUGAACGAUGAACACUUUCUUCAAGGGCCGUCGGGGCUUGAUCUUGAAUUGGUGGAAGUUCUUCAAGGGCCGUUGGGGCUUGAUCUUGAAGGAGGAUUUCACGAAGAACGAAGAGAGCUUUCUUGAUUCUUCGGGAUUUGCUUGGGAGCUUUGGAGUUUCAAAGCUUCAAGGUUGUGGUGUAAGGUGAAUUGGUUAUGAAUUGGUGUCCCAAAAUGAAUGCCUUGGCCUCCUAUUUAUAGAAUUCCAAAACUUGAUUUUUUGGAUUUAAAUAAUUAGAUGAAAUAAAUCAUUUCUGCCAGGUGUUGACACGCGUCCCGUUUGAUGACUUUUCCGAUUUAUUUUGAUUUUUCGUUUAGUCACAUGCUAUGUGUAAAAUUUAUGUGACACAUAAACACUGAAAUUUUAAUUAUUAAUCAACAUUUAUUUUACCGAAAUUUCGAUGUCUACAAAUGCCCCCACUUCAAGGCGCGUCGUAUACAUGUGCUUGUCACGUGUAGAAGAUGCGUUUUGAAGUCCCUUACUGCAGAUAUUGAUCCAAGGGCCGUUGAGGCUUGAUUUUGAACUGGGUUGGUGAUUUCUUCAAGUGCCGUUGAGGCUUGUUCUUGAAUUUUGUUUGAAAUUUCUUCAAGGGCCGUCGAGGCUUGAUCUUGAACUUUGAAUUUAGACCACAAAGAGCUUUACGUGGUAGAUGACCUUUGGCUUUGGUAGUGAAUGAAUCAUCACGUAUUUCGUCAUGCUUGUUGACUUUCCACAGCUUUGAUCUUGAACUGGGUUGGUGAUUUCUUCAAGUGCCGUUGAGGCUUGUUCUUGAAUUUUGUUUUAAAUUUCUUCAAGGGCCGUCGAGGCUUGAUCUUGAACUUUGAAUUUAGACCACAAUGAGCUUUACGUGGUAGAUGAUCUUUGGCUUUGGUAGUGAAUGAAUCAUCACGUAUUUCGUCAUGCUUGUUGACUUUCCAUAGCUUUGAUCUUGAACUGGGCCGGAGGGUUUUCUGGUUUCCUCCAAAGGACUUUCCACAGACUUAAUCUUGAACUGGAUUUGAUUCAAAGGUGGUGGACACCUGAUUUUGAAUCGAACUUGUGAUUUCUUCAAGGGCCGUGAGGCUUGAUCUUGAACUUAAACAUGACCACGAGCGGUUUCAGGACCUGGACACAUGGCAGGUAGGCACAAGAUGGAGGUGAUGGUCUGUUUCUUUGCUCAAUCUUUCUGAUUCAUAUUGAAGAGGGUUAGAGGGAUGAAUCAGCACGUGCAGUUGUUGCGUCUGCUGAUGAUCCACAAGAUUGAUGCUUCAUUGUCACUCGUCUUAUCUGUUUUCCAGGCAGAUGCAUCAUCUUCUAUGGAAGUGUACCAACUGUUGAAGACGACUACUCGAGAGCAAUGUUAGGCGAGCAAUCAGGGAAGAGGCUCCAGGCAGUCGGUUCCAGAUCUGAAGGCUAACUCCAAGCGUCGCCUGAUUGCUCUUCUUUUUAUUGUCCUGCGAGUAAGAACAACGACAAAGAAAAAGGACAGGGAAAAAGCAUGAUAUGAGAUACUUUUUCUUUUGAAGAAGUAGCGGCAAUUUAAUGGCGUUGCACAGCGAGGCUUUAUUUUUCGACGAUGGUGUCGCCAAUAUGUUUGUUGAAACUUCUCGAGCUCUUGGAGUCAACUCAGACUCCUUUUGCUGGGUUGGUUGAUUAUGCAAGGAAGGGGAGACUUGAUCUUGAAGGAAAUCAGCACAUUGUCUCCACAUGCUUCAAGUUAUCAUUUUCACUUGCCUUAUCUGUUCUCCGGGCAAAUAUGGCAUCUUCUUCAGAAGUACAUCAGCAACUGAAGACGAGUACUCAAGAGCAAAGCCAAGUAAGCAACCAGGCAAAGGUUCCCGGUAGUCGGUUCCUUGCCCGGAGUUUGAGUGGAGGUUCCGACAUAUUGCUUUCUUUAUCCUUGUCUUUGCAGGUAAGAACAAGGACAAAGGAAAGGACAGGGAGAAAGCAUGAUAUGAGAUACUCUUGCUUUCUACCCUGGUGAUAUGAGAUACUUUUGCUUUCUACCCUGGUGAUAUGAGAUACUUUUGCUUUGGUGUCAUUUGUUUGCAGAGGUAUUCCAGGAGAGGAAGAAAACUGGGUAUUUCGAGAGGCUCUGCUGAGAGUGUACUCUCGGAAAUGAGAAAGGGUUGGGCAUUUUUGCAGGUCUGCCUUGCUAUGGACGGUGAAGGUGGACAAUUAUAGGAAGUUCUUUAAUACCUGUAGAGGUACUAUUCUUUCACUCGUGUUGGCAACCAUUGAGUGAUUGAUCAGUAUGGCUUCACGCGCUUUCUUCUUCAUCAGAAAUCUUCGACAAAUUGCUCGUAAUUUUCGCAAAGCUAAGUGUGCAUGUGACAGGUGCUGACGAGGCUGAAAAAGACUAGCGCCUCUUCGAUAUCUGAGAUCGGCGCUUCGACAAAUUAUCUGUGAUUUUUGCAAAGCUAAGUGUGCAUGUGACAGGUGAUGACACGUUUGAAAAAAAAAAGCAAGUACCUAUUCAAUUUCUGAGAUCGGCUCGUGGUUUCUGAGCAGCCCAGCUUUUGAGAAAGCACACUUGAAUUUUCCGCCUGUAGAAGCUCCCUACUUGCACUUCUAAGAACUUGAUUUGUCCGACCUCUUCUUUUUCUUCACACCUUCGAAAAUGUCUUGCCCUUCUGACCGUCGUCUUAACUUGAAUGUUGGGGAAGAUAGUGACAUAUCUUCUUCAAACAACAUUUGGCAGCCGUCCUUCGUGUCUCCCAAUGGUCCUCUUACGGUUGGGGAUUCUAUGAUGAUGAACGAUACAACCGCUUUGGUGGUGGCCAGAAAUCUUCUCACUCCUAGAGACACUAGGAUACUUUCCAGGCGGUCCAACGAGCUGGCUAUUCAGGAUUCUCUGGCCUACAGCGUCUGAUGUGCAGGCUCAGUUUCAAACAUGGGCCAACGCCUUCUUGCUCGAUCUCGUCAGGUUGAGUCGUUGAUGGCUGAGGUGGCCAGUCUUCGGCAAGAGGUCAGAGUGCUUAGGCACGAGAAUAAAGAGUUGCACAUGCUCGCAACUAAUUACUCAACAAGCAUGAAGAGGAAGCUUGACCAGCUGCAGGAGUCCGAAGUUCGGAUUCAGAGUGAUCAUCAGAGGUUUGUGGCGUUACUCUAGCGGCAACUUCUACCUUCGUCCUCUGGUGUUUCACCAAGUGUUGAAGCUCCGGAUAAUCCUUGAAGAUCCCUUCCUGUAAAUUUGAUUUGACUUUUUUUUAUUUUUUUUUUAUUUUUUUUUAUGUAUGUAUAAUGCAAAUUUAUGUAAAUUUCCAGGAAAAUAAAUAAAAUGGAUUUUAUUUCUCUUAAUGCAUUUUAGAUAUCAAUGGACAUGCUUUAUUUUAUUCAGUAUGUUGUGCUAAAUACAAAUAAAACGUAUAUCUGGCUAAAAUGCGUUACUUCCUUUUUAUUUUUUUAACUUAACAGUAGCUGGCACUUUUUUUAGUUGGCACUUUCUUUUUGUACAUAAUCAUAUUUUCCCAAUGCACCAUUUAGGGUAGCUGGCACCUUGCACUUUUUUGGCACUUUCUUUUUUGUACACAAUCGUAUUUUUCCAAUGCACCAUUUAGAGUAGCUGGCACCUUGCACUUUUUUUUGGCACUUUCUUUUUUGUACACAAUCAUAUUUUCCCAAUGCACCAUUUAGGGUAGCUGGCACUUUGCACUUUUUUUUAGUUGGCACUUUCUUUUGCACACAAUCAUAUUUUCCCAAUGCACCAUCCCAUCACCUCUCAUUUUGAUUUUUCUUUUCCAGGCACGAGUGGUCGUUUGCACAGUCACGGACCUGCGUUUUGAAUAGCCACCGCAUUUCAUUUGCUUCUCAUGGGACCUUUAUAUAUAUAUAUAUAUAUGGGAUUGCUCCUUUGCUUGUACACUCAUUACACAGCUUCAGCCACUGCGUUGCUUGUUGCCUUGCAUCACCACUGCACCAUUGUCCAGCAAUCCUGCGCUGCUGCUUUUACUUGGUGAGUCACUUGAGUAUAUAUAUACGGAAGGCUGCUGUUGUAGUUUGCUUUAUCACUGUUGCAGUUUGCUUUUUCACCGUGCAUACAUAUAUACAUGUAAUAUAAUGUGCUUUGCCCUCUGCAAUUCCUUCAUGCUGCUUUUACUUGGUGAGUCACAUGUGUGUGUAUAUAUAUAUAUAUAUAUAUAUAUAUAUAUGUCUUUUGAGCCGUGCAUACCAUUUCCAUAUUUUGAGCCAUGCAUAUAUGUGUGUGUAUAUAUAUAUAUAUAUAUAUAUAUAUAUAUAUAUAUUUGUCCCAUCACCAUCACCAUUUGCGUCCUUAUAUAUAUGUGGAGGUUGAUCGUCUUGUCACCAUCUCCAUUUUGUGCACUUGUCCCAUCACCAAACCAUGCACACAUAUGUCUAUAUAUAUAACGUACAAUGUGUGUGUCCCCACUGAUGGAUUUCUUUGUUUGUAAUGUCAGAUUUUUUUUUUAAUCUUGAGAAGGUAGAGCUUGACGCCAGGAUCUUCGCAAAGCUUUUAGAGCCGUGGUAGCAGGCCGUGGGUGUGCUUGUGCAAGAGACUGCAACGAGGUUUCGCUGUGUAGUGCCUUUUGGCCACAGUUUUCUCUUGGCGGUAACGUCGAUAUGCGGUGCAAGAAACUGCUUACGUAAUCGCUGCGGGUUUACGUAGUGCGAUUGCGUAGCAUUUUGGUUUCCUUUGCCAUUGUAGCGUGCCUUGAAGGACCAUCCUGUAGCUGCCAUCUUUGUCGUGCUGCUCAAGUUUUGUGGCUGAUUUGUGGUCAUGGUAUUUUUCAAAUGUUUUAGGAACAACACCAUCACCAUUCUUGCAAAGGAAGGCGAUUCACAAGAUGAGGGAACAACGUUGAAACUUUACCCGCCACUAACUGGUCCUAAGGCGCUUGCUUUUCCCGUGAAAGACAAUUCCAUGCAUAUUAAGUCAUGGUCUUCUGAAGUAUCUUGGGAGGUGGUAGACGCUGUUCAACCAAUUACGAAGAAAAAGACGUGCACAUUGAGGGUUCUUAUUUUGAAUCAUUCGCAACAUGCUCGUGACCAUCACCCGGCCUCGUUUAAGCUUCUUGGUGAUCACAUUCGCAGCAGAGCCAUGGCUUGGAAUGGUACCCUGUCGACUACUGGAGAAGUCGUCUUUAAUGAGUUUUAUUGGGAGUGGCUUGAAGAUGUCUUAAGCCGAUCUAAAGAUGUGCUUACUAAAGUGGGCAUUUACCACGCUGUGUAAGCAUCUUUGUUUAGUUAUGAUUGUCAUCCUUCCGUCCUUCGAGCGUUCUUUAAGCAUUGGUGUUCAGGGACCAACACACUUCACACGGCGCAAGGGGAGAUGUCAAUUUCACUGUGGGAUCUUCACAGGAUAGGAGGCUUGCCGAUCCAUGGUAAGUUUUAUGACGAGGUCGUUCCCAACGCGGAGGAACUUUCUCUUUGCAAUAGCCGAGGAUUACCUGCGAGUUGCCGCUAUUUGUUUUGGGCGUAUCACAAGCUUUUCCAGGACGCUCAAGGUAAAUCAGGCGUGAGGAUUUCCUCAUGGAUCCGAUUUUGGUACUGGGAGGCCAUGAGGUAUAAGAAGUCUUUGAACAAAAAUGGCCGUAACAAGACCACUAGGCCAAAGGGAGACUCAGACCCGUCUGGUGUUAUUGGCUCAACCAAGCACCGUUCUUCUGACGAGUUGAGAGCGUUUGAGGAUCUUGGCAUAGCAUCAGAGCAUGUGGAUGAGUCUUACUUAGCUGCUUUCUUAGCUUGCUGGCUUUGUAAGUUUGUUUUCCGACAGACGACGUCAACUUAAUUCGUCCUGGAGUUUUCAAAAUUGCUAGCAAGAUGGCUGCAGGUGAGUCUUUUAGCCUUGCUAUUCUAGUUUUAGCCAACAUUUACAAUGACUUGAGCAUUGUUUCGAACUCGGCAAGCACUGAAGAUCGUGUUGCGGUGCUUCCCUACCACUAUGUGUAUGGUUGGUUGGGUGAAUAUUUUGGCACCCACUUUUCUUUGAUGACUCUAGACAAGUCAAGGCAUUCUUUAUCGACUACAGCCAAGAUGGGGCAUUUGAUGGCGAAGUAUUCUGGAGUGCUCUCCGCGAAGAGCCUUAAUGAUUUGCAGGCAUGAGCGCUAUUUGAAAGUUGUGAAGAUUUGAGGAUGAACCCCUUAGCGAUAGUUGGCUCGGUGCGGCGAGGCAUCGUAGACAACUCGCAUCUCCGCUCGUCAGACUUGUCUUAUCUUAUAAGUUUUCGUUCGGGGUUUGUUUCUUUGCGGCAAGAAGACCGAUGCAUUGUUCAGCCAUAUAGUCCCCACCGUUUCAGCAGGCAAUUUGGUUUUGUCCAAAACUUGCCAGGCAAGCUAAUCAGCAUCCUUGCAAGCCGUGUAUAUGCAUUGGGAGUCUUGUACCCGUGCAUGUAUAAAUGCUGUUAUCACGCUGCCAGCCAAUGAUGAGUUCAAGAGUAAUCCAGUGACCUGCGUUUAUGCUUAUUGGUGGUCAAAGGUAUAUUAUAAGAACUUGGGGAUGGCAAGUGGUACCAAUUCUUCUCACUCGGGCAAUGAUAUGUCGAGAGAGGGCUGUCAUGUGGUUCCUAUGUAAGUGGUAGCUCUUGAUUGCACCAGUGUGGCUCCCUUACAAGAUAGACCUGUAGCUUUAGCUCCUCAACGCCCAUGCUUGUCUCCUCGACAUCCAGAUGCUUCUGAAGAGGCGGGAGAUAAAGUUGACUCGCACGAAGAUGGAUUUAUUUUGCAACAGCGUCAACAAGUUUCAAACAAGCGACCACUUGAAGAUGCUCAGGUUGACAGCGAUGUCAAUUUUCUUCAUAAGAGGAAAGAAGUGUUUAGACCUCCUCUACUCGAUGACCGUGCCAUUUGAGAGAGAUGUACGUACUUCAUUUUCUCUCGUGAUUUCUUAUGCUUUCAUCAUUUUGGCUUUCGUUUCUAACAUCUUUCUUUGUCUUCUUUAGGUUGGGUCUUCUUGUUCUUUUGAUUUGUCAACUGCAUAUGUUUAUUCCUAUACGGAGAUGCUAUUUGCGGGCGAACUACCUACAGACAGGGAGAUCGGGGAUCCGCCUGGUGCAGAGCUUGUUCCAAAUCCGUCGAACUUCCCAAGUUUGCCAUGUGUAGGUGAAGGUAUGCAAGAACCCGUCAUGCGUCCAACAUCUUUGCCAGCUAGCUCUGAGAUCUCUUUGAGAAGGCCGAACCUUAGCGGUACUGAGCAAGUCAUCCAUCGCAUCAGUCUUGGUGCGGCAAUGGAUAUCAAGAGCCAUAUAGAGAAGAUGAUUUCUAAGUGCCCGUUGGAAGACCUUACGUUGCUCAAUGAGGAUUUAUCGAAGUUUGUUUAUGUGAUUAACAACCUUAACGUUGAUUCUUCAUCCUUGAAGAUCAAGAUUGCCGAACUUAUGGCCGCCUCGACUGAGUAUUCUUCCUUGCGUGCUAUUUCCUUGGAGAAGUUGAGUCCAGAUGUUAGAGCUCAUCAGCUAGCAACAAUAAACUCGUCACUAGCUCAAGUCCAGUCUUUUCAGCAAGCUGCUUCGGGAAAUUAUCAAGUUACCGAGACUUCUUUAACUUCUGUCCAAGAGCGUCUAGAUGCGUUGGCGAGAGAGCGAGAGCAGUUGGUAAUCGAAGCAUCGCAACUUGAAAGUGUUCUCACGGAGCAGGGAACUACACUUUCUCAGUACCAGGAGGAGAUUUCACUCCUAGAACGAGAGAAAUGCAUGACUCUAGAGUUGCCCAUCUUGUCUCCCACCGAGGCAGAGACUUUGAAGACUUUGGAAGGCUUGCUUGAAGAUUGUCUUCGUAGUUUUGGGGACAUAGUUUUCAAGUAAUAUCUUCUGUUUUUUUUUUUUUGUAAUAAGGCUUUUGGAGCCGACUCCUUCUUUCAAAAAAAUAAAGUACUUACAUUCUUGAAUUUGCUCUUCAUUCUUCAAAGUGUUUUUUUUUAUAUGGUGUGACUGUACUUGAAGUUUUGACGUUUCAAGUUGCCUACGUACCCUCUGUUGAGGAGGGAUCAAGUCAUAACGUAGUUCAAAUGGGUGAUGAAUUUAACAGUGAUUUUGAUGAUGACUUUGAUGAUGAUUUUGCCGUACACAGUUUAUGCUCUUGCGGGCCAGGAGCGUUGGUUGUCGCCUUUUAUGGGUAGUAGCGCUUCAAGAAUCUUCCAUUGAUAGGGCCAAUCUUCAAGCCGUCUUCUGCCAUAAUUAAGUAGGUGCCGUUGGUGUAGACUUCUUGUAUUACGUAUGGUCCAUCCCACUUUGAUGUGAACUUGCUUUUCGUCUUGUGAGUUGUGAUGAUAGGCCUACGCAAUGUGAGGACGAGAUCUCCAGUUUGGAAAUACCUUGGGCGGACCUUCUUGUUGAAUGCCUUGGAUAGCCGUGCUUGGUAGCAUUCCAAGUGUUGUUGAGCUUCGAGCCUUCUUUCGUCGAGUGCUUCCAACUCUUGAAGGCGCAACUUUACAUUCUCUUCAUCAGUCAAACCUUCUUGUAUAGCCAUUCUCAGCGAGGGGAUCUGACUUUCGAGCGGUAGAACAGCUUCCACGCCAUAUACAAGAGAAUAAGGCGUAGCUUGGGUAGGAGUCUUAUGUGUCAUCCUAUAUGCCCAAAGAGCUUCGCUUAUUCUUUCAUGCCAGUCUCUCUUUGUUCGGCCGAUCACCUUCUUUAAGAGAUUGCACAAUGUUUUGUUGAAUGCUUCUGCAACCGUUGGUCGGGGUAUGAUACAUGAAAGACUUGUGCUGCUUGAACUUGUAUUUCUCACAGAGCUCAUCCACGAGUCGGUUGGAGAAUUGUUUUCCGUUGUCAGUGAUGAUGUAGCGAGGCACCCCAUAUCGGUGGAUGAUGUGCUCCUUGAUAAAACGGACGACAGUUUCCUUCUUUACUUCUCUUAGGGUUAUGACUUCAGCCCACUUGGAGAAGUAAUCUGUUGCAGCUAGGAUGUAAGCUUCUCAUGCAGAUGAUUUCGGAGUAAUUGGUCCUACGACGUCCAAUCCCCAUGCAUCGAAUGGCCAUGAAGCAGCUGUAGGGUGUAAUGGCUCAGGUGGUUGGUGUAUGAAGUUGGCGUGGAAUUGGCAGGCUUGGCACCUUUUGGCAUGUUUCAGGCAGUCCUUCACCAUGCUUGGCCAGUAGUAACCCAUUCUUUUGAGCUGGAAAUGUAGCUUUGGUCCAGAUUGAUGCGCCCCGCAUACGCCUGAGUGUGCUUCUUCCAUGGCUUGAUUAAUUUCUUUCUCACCUAGGCAUCUCAGAAGUACUCAUUCGAAAGAGCGUCAGUAGAGUGUUUCUUUGUAAUAAAGAAAGCGCGGUGCUCGUCGACGUAUUUCGGAGCGGUGUCUAGGAUCGUCUGGAAGUUUUCCAUGCUCUAAGUAAUCGAUCAGUGGUUGUCUCCACUCUUCAACAUCGACUAGAAGUACUGAGAUAACAUUUGUAUCAUCUAGUAGCAUUUUGGUGACGAGGGGGAUCACCCAUCUUUGGCAGACUGGCACGUCUGCAGCUUCAUCUUCUCCUAUUGUCAUGCUUGAGGCUAGGUUGGCAAGAGCGUCUGCCAUUUGGUUUUCUUUUCUUGGCACAUGUUCUAGUGUCACAGUCUCAAACUCUUGUAGCAGUUGAGUUGCUAGCCGGAAGUAUGGGACGAGAUCAUCUUUCAUCACCUCAUAUUCAGUUAAGAGUUGAUUGAUUAUGAGCUUGGAGUCGCUAAAUACCUCAAGGGCUGUGAUUCCCAUGUUGAUCGUCAUUUGGAGUCCGAUGAUCAGUGCUUGGUACUCAACGACGUUGUUGGAGCAUAAUUCACUUAGUUGAAAGGAAUAAGGUAAUACCUGCCUUUGUGGCGACAUGAAUACUACUCCUGCCCCUGCUCCGUCUGCUCGUGCAGAUCCGUCGAAGAACAUUGUCCAUGUCGGGAAGAUGUCGAUGUAGAACACUUCCUCGUCAGGCAAGUUGUCUGAGAUUUUCCAAUCAGCUGGGAUUGGGUGAUUGGUAAGAAAGUCUGCUAGCGUUUGUCCCUUUACGACUUUAGUUGGGACGUAGAUGAUCUCAUAUUGGUUAAGCAGCAGCGCCCAUUUAGCGAUUCGCCAUGUCAAGACUGGUUUGGACAUGACAUAUUUGACCGGGUCAGCUUUAGCAACCAAGUGGAUGGUGUAAGCAUGCAUGUAAUGCCUGAGUUUCUGGAUGGCGAACACUAAGGCAAGACACAUCUUUUCUAUUGGGGAGUAGUUCAACUCGGCGCCGGUGAGGGUUCAGCUGAGGUAGUAGAGCGCUCAUUCUUUCUGGGAUUCAUUCUCUUGCGCCAAGAGUGCUCCAACUGAACUUUCUUGAGCGGCGAUGUAUAAUAUGAGUGGUUUCCCAAACACAGGCGCCCCCAAGACAGGUGGACUUGACAAAUACUUUUUUAUGCUUUCAAAAGCAUUGUGGCAUGCUUCGUCCCAUACAAACGGAACAUCCUUCUUCAUGAGUCGGCUGAACGGUUGACAACACCCUGCAAGGUUAGAGAUGAAGCGUCUGAUGAAGGAUAGCCGUCCUUGUAAACUUUUCAGCUCGUGCAGGUUUCUUGGCUCAUGCAUGCUUUGAAUGGCCUUGAUUUUUUAUUGGUCCACUUCAAUACCACGGUGCUUGACGAUGAAACCGAGGAACUUUCCGGAGGUGACACCAAACACACAUUUUAACGGGUUCAUCUUGAGGUUGUAUUUUCGUAGCCUUUCAAACACUACUCGCAAAUCCUUCAAGUGAUCUGAUCUUUUCUUUGUUUUGACUACCACAUCGUCCACAUAACAUUCCACGUUCUUGUGUAGCAUGUCAUUGAAGAUUUUCUGCAUUGUGCGUUGAUAUGUAGCUCCAGCGUUCUUUAGACCAAAGGGCAUCACCUUGUAACAGUAGAUACCUUUUGGAGUGUGGAAUGCUGUUAGUUCCUUGUCUUCAAGAGCCAUACGAAUUUGAUUGUAUCCAGAAGAGCCGUCCAUGAAUGACAGUGCCUCAUGGCCAGUGGUUGCGUGCACCAUGAUUUCAAUGAUUGGCAAGGGGAAGUCGUCCUUCGGGCAAGCGUCGUUGAGGUCCCGGAAGUCUACGCAAACACGUAUUUGUCCAGAUUUCUUAAGGACGAUGACGAUGUUGGAGAUCCACUUAGGGUAUUGCACUUCUCGAAUGAAUCCUGCUUCGAUUAGCUUGUCAAUCUCUGCCUCGAUUUGUGGAAUGAGCUCAGAUCGAUAACGCCUUUGAGUUUGCUUUAUUGGUCGCGUUCCAGGCUUGAUUGCAAGAUGAUGCACAUCGAUGAUAGGGUCAAGGCCGGGCAUUUCUUUGUAAGUCCAAGCAAAGACGUCUUUGUACUCUGAUAACAGUUGGUAGUACUCCUCUAUCUCGUCUGCUCUUAGCAGUGCACUUACAAAGAUAGGUUUUUGCUCCUCUUUUGUGCCCAAGUUGAGCUCCUUGAGAUCGUCAACCGUGGCUUGCCCCCCAUCCUCAAGUUGCGGUGGUGCAACAGUGAUAUCUUCUUUGGGGAUCUCGUCUUCUUUGCCUUCUUGGAUCGUGAUGUGGAAGACAUCUUGGACUUCCUCUUUAGUGUCGUCCUCUUGGGCUUAUUGGUAUGAAGAUUGUCCAGUAUGGAUGAUGGUGCGCUUUCUCACUAUCAGCGGUCUAUUUGCGUCAACCUCUAAGAUUGUUUGGCGUUUCAUCCUUGAAGGAAUUAAGCUUCGAAUGUCUCAUUUUUCUGCUAGCCUGUCGAGCUUUUCUUCCUUUGACGUUGUCUUCCUAUUUCUAGAAAACUUCAUGUUGUCUUCAAGUCUUUCCAAAGCUGACUGACGAGGAGGAGAGCUAGCCUUGUUGCUUUGCUUCUUAGGUUUUGACAACCUUUCAAAAAUAGAGCUUCGGGAGGUUGGCCUGUUAAGCCUCUUGAAGACGGAGGUUCGGUUUGACCACCAAUGUGAUCAAGGGCUGACGUUCUGGGUCUUGAACGAUUCAUCCUAUCGAAGACUGGCGUUUGAGGGGUGGAUUUAGGCUCCUCUUGAUCUUGUUCAAUGCUCACGCUGAUAUGUUGAGUGCUAGCAUUUUUUGCUUGACUUGAAAUCUUCACGGGUGCACUUGGUGUGAAGCCAAGUCCAGCUUUGUUGUUGUUAACUCCGUAACCAUGCUUCUUCAACUUCUUUUGAGUCUCUGUGAUGUCACGUUCUUUAUUGUUGACGGUGUUUGAAACCUUUUUCCCAAGAUUCGAAGAAGAAGCGAAGUUGUACCCAGCUUUUGACAUGAGUUUGUAGGCGUUCAGAUCAAAACCUUUUUCGGUCCUCUUGGUUGGGAGAAAACUUGGUUCCGCCCUCUUUGGUAGAGCUUUUACGAAGCCUUGUGGUAAUCUUGCAACCUUAGCGUUGCUUAGCUGUGUCAGAGGUAGAACUACAUUCGUCUUGAGCAACUUUACAUUAUCCAUGUGCCGCUGUGCAUCGACAUUGCUUGCUUCAGUUUCGAACGGGAAUUGACCAUUCUUUCUUCUUGACAUCGGGAUGUAUCGGAAAACGGGUGUGUUUGAUCCAUUUGAGGGCGUCCUACUCCCUUUAGUUGUUGUAGGUUUAGCAAGCUCAUCAUCGUUCUUGUUUGAAGACGGCAUGGCUUCUCCUUCUUGCUUCUUGAGCAUGGCUUGCCACUCCUGUUUUUUAGGUGUUGUUUUACCCAUGGGUUUGAUCUCUUUUGGAAGAGCUUCAGGCACCAUGUCUUCAUCCAUGUAGAACUUGGCGUCUGCGAAAUAUGAUUCAGCUUCGGUGAAUGGUUUAGUGUCGCUAUAGAUCACCUUUACUCUUUCUCGGUAGAAUUUUAAGCAUUGGUGAAGGGUGGACGGUACUACUCCAUUCGCAUGGAUCCAAGGCCUUCCUAAGAGCAACCGUAGGAAGUUCUUGCAUCAAUCACGUGGAAUAUCGUGUUUGACUUGAGUUCACCAAUAGUCAUCUCCACUCGGAUCAUGCCCAUCGCUCUUUGUCCUCCUUGAUUAAAACCUUGGAUUAGUAGACGACUUAGGGACAGUUCAUCUGCCUUGAUGCCGAUUGUAUUCAUUGUUGACUUUAACAUGAUGUUGAUGGCUGAUCCACCAUCCACAAGCAUGCGGUUGACUUUGUGCUCCCUUACGUACCCAGAGACAAAGAGAGGAUUGUUGUGAGGCUUGGAUCCUAGCAGUAAGUCUUCGUCGGUGAAGUGGAUUGCGUCCUCGAUGGCACAGCAUGUGGCACAUUCAUGUGGCCGAAGCUUCAAGCCUUCGUCUUUGCCUUCUUGCGCUUCGUGGUCAUUGGGAAUUUCCAAGACCGCUGUUAAUGCUCUUCGCAUCUUAUUUGGCAAUCGUAGCGCUUCCUCAAUGCUAAAGUGUGUGCAGACCUUCUUCGAGCGUGAGAGUUUUUUCUCCCUCAAUGGUGAUAUCUUUGCCUUUUGAAGGUUCUUCCAUUUCUACUUCGACUAUGUGGCAUGCAGCGAUAGUGCACUACUGGAAGAAGUCAUUCGGGAAGUACUCAUGCAAGGAGAUAUGAAUGCGUGGCUCUUGCUCCAUAGGUUCCCCAGCAUACGUUGGCUUAUCAACUUUUACGUUUCUUUUGGGCUUCCUACUGUUGCGGCGACAAUGCUUUCUCACUUGUUCCACCUUUAGUCUUGUGGCUUGUGGUUUUGGUUUCCUUGUUUUUUUAUAGGUCACCAAUGUCUAUCAUUCAUCAUCCUCGGUAUGUGCAUCAUGUUCGUUUGCCCCCGGCGAUGGUUGUGCAGAAGGUAUCGUGCAACUUGAGCAUUGAUAGGAACAGUCAGGUGUUGUUUGGAGAGGUACGGGAUCGAAAGAUCCAAAUGCAAUUAUAGUAGUAUAUGUUGCGGCCGUGUCUUCGAGGUCGAGCUCGAUUCGCCCUUGUUGUGCUAGCUUCAUGAUGAGCUCUUUGAGGAUGAAACACUUACCCACAAGAUGGCUCAUGAUUCGAUGGUACUUGUAUUAUUUAGGAUCGUUUAUGCGAUUCAUUUCUUCAGGCCGCUUGCAUUUGAGUAGCUCGAUUACGUUCUUUUCUAGCAAGUCGUCUAACAUUGCAUCCAUAUCUGAGUCAGGAAAAGGGUACGCCUUCUGCUCCAAUUCCCUUAAGGUGCUUUUGUACCUUUCUUGGGUGCGAGGAGCCUCACCUCUCUUUAUCUCAUUUGCUUUGGUUUUGGAGGAGAUCUUGAUAGGCGCGGAUGCGGUCUUGACGGGCGCAGUGUUGACGGUGAACGCUUCCUUGGGGGGCUUCUUCCCAGUCUUGUCUACAUUUGAGGAGAACACCUUAUCCUUCUUGAAGUCGGUGAUCGGCUCUUUCUUCCCGUGAUGGGCAAUACUUAGCUCCAUGUCGUGGGCACGGGUGGCUAACUCUUCAAAUGUCCGUGGUUUGAUGCCUUGAAGGAUAUAGUGUAACCCUCAUUGCAUGCCUUGGAUGCACAUCUCGAUCGAAGAGAUCUCCGAGAGCUUGUCCUUGCAGUCGAGGCUUAGAUUGCGCCAUCGGUUGAUGUAGUCCACGACUGGCUCAUCCCUCCAUUGCUUUGUGCUUGUCAGCUCUAGCAUGCUCACGGUGCGACGGGUGCUGUAGAAGCGGUUGAGGAAUUCCUUUUCCAAUUGCUCCCAACUGUUGAUGGACUCAGGCUCUAGGUCCGUGUACCACUCAAAGGCAUUUCCUUUUAGCGAGCGUACAAACUGCUUAGCGAGGUAAUCUCCUUUUGUCCCCGCGUUGUUGCAAGUCUCAAUGAAAUGGGCGACGUGUUGCUUCGGGUUUCCCUUUCCAUCGAACUGCAUGAACUUUGAUGGCUGAUAACCCCUUGGCAUCUUCAACGCGUCAAUUUUCUUGGAGUAGGGUUUUGAGUAUAGUACGGAGUCAUGUGAACUUCCUUCGUACUGUGCCUUGAUGGUGCUGGCGAUCAUCUCUUGUAGUUGUUAAUAGAAAGAGAUCCCAUGAGUGCCUCUGCUUGGCCUGGCUCCGGUUUCACAUUGAUUUUCUCCACCAAAGGCUUUUCAUCCUCGUCGUUUUCCUUCUUUACUGAACCAUCCCCUUGCUCGAUUUUCACGUUGGGCUUUACAUCUAGUUGGUUGACGAGUGCGGCGAUUUACUGGUCUUUUUCUUCCACAAUCCGUGUUAGCCUUGUGAUCGCUUCAUUCAUAUGAGCCAACUGCUCAUUGAUUGAAGUCGCUCCAGUAGUCAUGACUUGCAUGGCUGAGUUGCUGCUUGAGUCGGCAUCGGAAAACAUGAAACCAGAGUACUUCCUUGGGCUUUCCUUCCUUGGCGCCCUUAGCGAGGCCAGGGUGAUCACAGGUUUGUGCCUCAGGUGCUCUUGUUCUUUCGGCGGAGUUGAUGCAGGGGUGGAAGAGGCGGCAGAAAGAGCUCUUGCCUUGCUUCGAGUUAUGACGCCCGAAGUGACACUGCCUGCGGUGAUGACGCUCUUGUUCCUUGCAUUGGUUGCGAGAACAACUUGAGCCUUCUUUGAUGCCACUUGUGCUUUUUGCGGAUUCAAAGAUAGAGAUGAGAGGUAGAGAUGGUCCCACUGGGCGUGCCAAAUUUGUAAACACGAGAAUUCCUGCGAUGAACGAGACAAGAACACGUGUACAAAAUAAUAUUUGUAUUAAUGAUUUAGGGGUUACAAUCUCUUCUACAAAUUUAGCCUCUGAUUCUAUCUUUGCAAUGGGUAGAUUUGUUGAUGUGGUGUUGAUCCAAAGGGCCGUUGGGGCUUAAUCUUGAAUAACGGUUAUGCAGAUUUCUUGAAGGUUGACGGGUGAACGGAUCUUCAAGGGCCGUUGGGGCCUUAUCUUGAAGAACGGUUGGAUGUAUAGGUUUGUUGAUGUUGUUGAUCCAAAGGGCCGUUGGGGCUUGAUCUUAGGGUGAACGAACGAUGAACGAUGAACACUUUCUUCAAGGGCCGUCGGGGCUUGAUCUUGAAUUGGUGGAAGUUCUUCAAGGGCCGUUGGGGCUUGAUCUUGAAGGAGGAUUUCACGAAGAACGAAGAGAGCUUUCUUGAUUCUUCGGGAUUUGCUUGGGAGCUUUGGAGUUUCAAAGCUUCAAGGUUGUGGUGUAAGGUGAAUUGGUUAUGAAUUGGUGUCCCAAAAUGAAAGCCUUGGCCUCCUAUUUAUAGAAUUCCAAAACUUGAUUUUUUGGAUUUAAAUAAUUAGAUGAAAUAAAUCAUUUCUGCCAGGUGUUGACACGCAUCCCGUUUGAUGACUUUUCCGAUUUAUUUUGAUUUUUCGUUUAGUCACAUGCUAUGUGUAAAAUUUAUGUGACACAUAAACAUUGAAAUUUUAAUUAUUAAUCAACAUUUAUUUUACCGAAAUUUCGAUGUCUACAAGAACAUUUAUUUCUGCUCAAAGGAAUAAAAGUUAUUGAAGACCCAAUAUUUUUUGCCAUGCCUGUUGUAAAACAUCCCCACAUUGGCCUGUAAUGUUUCAGGAUUAUUUCCCAAGCUAGGAAAGUUGAAGUUGCCCAGCAAUAUAGAGAGUUGGUGUGGCUCUUUUGCAAACUCAAAUCGAUUAAGUUUUAUGAUGCAUACUCUAAAAAGCAAGUAGCUUUCCUUCGAGGUAUUGGGCAUGUAGAUUUGACGGAGGGAUGGUACAUGUUAUCCAAACACUCCAACUCUCCAAUCACAAAGACAUCAUCUCCCCUCAUCGAGGCUCCGUCAACUCUCUCUAGUUCGAUUUGACGGAGGGCCAGUACAUGUUAUCCGGCGUCUCUGAUGCUUCCGCCGCCGUGUUUGAUGUCCAGCGUGGGACCGAUAACGUGGGCGGCGGAGCUAUCACGAGGCAUAAGUGGCUGCUUGCGAUGGAUAAGCAGCACGAGCACGGGCAUAAGUAUGCGGUGUCUUCCGCCGUGUGGUAUCCCGUCAACACCGGACUGUUUGUGACGGGGUCGUACGAUCAUCACAUCAAUGUUUGGGACACGAAUACGACUCAGGUAGUUAUGGACUUCAAGAUGUCGGGGAAGAUGUACCGGACUGCAAUGUCGCCGUUGGCAACUUCUCACAUGCUCAUUGCUGCUGGAACCGAAGAUGUUCAAGUCCGCCUCUGUGAUAUUGCCUCUGGGGCUUUUGCUCACACCUUGUCUGGCCACCGCGGUAUGUCCCAAAAUUCAUAGAAUUUGACAUUUGACGCACACUUGAUACAUAGAAAGUUACAAAAUUUAAACUUCUUAUCAUGGUUAUGUGGACACAUGAAACAUUUUGGAUGACAAUAUUGAGGAUAUAAGAAGGGGUUGUUCUUGAAAUUUAGGGUGGACAGUCACGAAUGUUGCGGAAAUUCACUUCUUUAAACAAUCCGGCCUAGUCGGUUUUCUCAGCAUUUUGUAAUUUGUAGCAUUUGGAUUUUCUGGUUGAACCCUGUAAUUGUGGACAGCAGGAAAUUUACAAUACACCGUGUUGGCGGGAUUCAUGCUUAGAACCUUAGUAUCGUAAAGCUAGGUUUCUGCUCUUGGUAGAUUCAUAUUCCUCUUUUGGGUUCUCUAGUUUUUGUUUACAAAAGUACAAGUGUUUUUAGUUUUGUUUCUUGGGUUUAAGUUUUAACAUAUAACGUAGAAUAAAGUUUCGUGCAUCUAGAGGGUCCUAAGUGCUGUAUUUUCUUGAUGGCAGAUGGUGUGAUGACUGUGGAAUGGUCUACUUCUAGUGAGUGGGCUUUGCUUACAGGUGGAUGUGAUGGUGCAAUACGUUUUUGGGACAUUAGACGUGCUGGAUUUUUUCUUGUUUUGGAUCAAUCUCAGUCUCAGCUAGGGAGACGUCCACCCAUCCUGAAACGCUCUGCCACAGUUAAGGUUUUGCUCAGUUUUUUUUUAAUAUUAUUUGCUUCGCUGUUAAGAGGUCGCACUUGGUGCGAUGGCAAGUGCCUUCGCCCAUGAGCGGUAGGUCUCGGGUUCGAGACUUGGGAGCAGCCUCUCCAUAAAUGGGGGUAAGGCUAGCCGACAUUCACCUCUCCCAGACCCUGCGUAAAGCGGGAGCCUUGUGCACUGGGUACGACCUUUUUAUUUGCUUCGCUGUUAGUUAGCCUAUUUCACCAGCAUUUCUGAAAUGGUUUUAUAUACGUUUUUGGGAAAUGUUGUUUCCUCUUUGUUAACCUAUUAACAUUGGUACUGAAAAAAGUUUUUAUGCUUUCCUUCACUCCUGUCAUGUUAUUCUUCUCCGUUUUAUUCAACACAAAGUUGAACACAGCUAAACUUGUUGGUGUCACAUGGAUCUGUGACUUUUAUGACAAUGAAACGUGAUGUGAUCUCAACCAAUACGAUGAUCCACACUGAAGAUACAGUGUGAAUGCACAACCCAUUAUAUGCGAUGUCUAUUUGAUUGUAUAAGUCCUGAGUUCCCUCUUUUUCAAAUUUCAAUUAUAAUUUCAUUGCAUUAUUAGCAAUGUUUGUUAUUGAAGCUUGUAGUCAGUAGAAGAAUCUAGUUUUAACUGGAGAAAAUGGUAUGUUGAACUUAUCCUUACUGAUAAUAUUUGAUUUUAUGUCUGGCUCAGGGUUCAACAGUUAAGUCCUCGUCCCCAAGUCAAAGCACAUCUGCAAAAGGUCGGGCAGCACAAAGGAAACUUACGAAUGGGAGCGGUGCAAAGCACUCACCUAUUGGUAAAGGUCCAGUAAAGGGAUCUAUGAAGCAAAUAUUACAUCCAGGGAUGCUAUCUAGUCAGGAUUGUGCCACUGCUCCUUACGGUGCUGUUACUCGAUUAAAAGUCACUGAAGAUGGCAUGUACCUCUUAAGUGCACUUUGAGUGAUUUAAUUUUGGAGGUUUGUUAUACUUGAGAAGCAAAUCCAUUUAAAUUGUCUAUCCUAUGUUUGAGUCCCUUUAACCGAGUUAAUGUUUAUACUAAUCGUAGUGUUUCAGGUUCACUGUUUACUUUUUUAAUUAUAUCCAUCAAUUUACACUUUAUCACAGAAUUAUUGAAGUUUAACCCAAUUCGCUGGUGUCAUACAGUACAGAUCACACUUCAGAAUACGACCUUCAACAGAAAAUAAAAAUAAAAAGAGAAAAGCAUGCAUGGGGGAUCUCACACCUUAGUUUCCUAAUGUUUGAUUCAUUCCUUUCAUGCAUAAGUUAGUCUAAUUGGUUUUUCAUUCAUUCCUCACUGCCGAUGUCAUUGAUCGAUCUUUUGCAUUUCAGGUUCCGAUUCAAGACUUGUGGGAUAUAGAAUCUGGCUGCAAUACUUUGGUGGACUUUGAAACUGUGCGUAUGCAAAGCAGCAAGCCCAUACAGUUAGCUACAAGUCAGAAUUCGGAGCUUGUUUUUGUUCCAUGCAUGACAGCUGUGAAGGUAAUGCAUUCUUUUCGUAGGUUUGAGUCUUUUGAAUUGUACAUGUGGAUUAAAAUACAAUCAUCUCUACAAACUUCAACGUUUGACAUCCAGAUUUUGUUUCUCAGGCAUUCGAUAUGUGGUCAGGUAAAACAUCCCUGAAAUUUCGUGGUCACUAUGAACAUGUAAACUGUUGCUGGUUUAAUUCACAGGAUCAGGUACUCUUCAAGCGAUUUAGGAGAGCUGUAAACCCUUUUUCCGACUGUUCUAAGAUCAUAUUUAUAAUUACAAAGCCUGUUGAAGUUUGUCUUCAGUUAUUUAUUUAUUCCAUGAGUUCACCUUGUUAUCUGCGGAUUAAUGAUGAUUUUGGAAUCCUGUAUGAAUUGUAAUUCAAGUCUCUCAUUGCAGGAAUUGUACACUGGUGGCAAUGAUAGACAAAUUCUAGUUUGGUCGCCCAUCCAGAAUGGUUUCGGAUGAGGUGGGACACCCAAUGAUUUUGUAUAUCCAACAUUAUUAGUUCCUUAGCGGCUUGUAUCUUAUACAUGUUUAGAAAUGCAGGAUAAAUAACCCUACAAGGACGAGGAUAAUUGGAGUGACUAGCAUCCGCUUGCUUGCGAUCCUCAUUUCCGCUAGGUAGAGCACCUUUGUCUUGCUCGGAGUUUCCUGUUUUGCUUUGAGAUCUAAGAGGCUGUAUUUGAUAGGCACAAUGAUUUGUAAGUUUAUAUUUUCUUUUGGCGUGUGUAUAUAUGUACAUUUAAACUUGUUCUUAAAGUAGAAUCAAGGGAAAAAUUCUUAGAAAAACUUGUGCACUGAUGAAUUAAAAGAAGAAAAACUGAGCAUUUUCUGAACGAAAAAUAAAAUAUGAUAAGUGAUAUUUAGUUUAGUAACACAUUAAAAAAUUGUACAUAAUUACCAAAUGUAUCUGUCAAAUAUCUCCCUCGAUAAUUUGUUCAGUUAUCCUAUAUAGUUACACCCUAACAAAAACCUAAAAUUCUGUCGUUGUACCAUGCCGAGAAACUAUGUUCGUUGUUGUCCAACAGCAUGCAGUCAACAUCAAUAAAAAACUUUGUCACCGGAAGCAACGUUCCCCAAUUCUUGGUCUGAAGCUCCAUUCUCCGGCUGAUUGUCUUCUGCCUGAGUUACUGUAGAGGUGGCAACGGGCGAUCCAUCAAAUUUUAUACUUCCUCCGAACGGUAUGGUUGCUUGUGUCGUAUUUUUAGACUCUGGUCAGUGGAAGAAAAAUGGUUAUUUAUUGCAUCCCUUUAUGAUAUCAAAUGUUAAAAAGGUGAAGUAUAAAUCCUCAUCCCGCAGAAUGAUUAAUGACGGUGAGCAACACUGUUGAUUUGGUUAUCCUUGCUACCUAAUUUGGUGCCGGCAAGUACUACUUGCAAGACGUGUAAUAUUAAUACAUUACUAGCAUAUGAGCACACACAAAGUGUGUGAGAAAUUUUUUUAUUUUUUGUUUUUGAAAUAGAAGGAGAGAGGAAGAGAGUGAUAGAGAAUGUGAGAGUGGAAUUUUUAUUAAAUUUUUUUUAAUUAGAGAUAUGUUAGAAUUACAUGUAGGUGAGGUCUUGAAAAAAAAAAAAUUUGGUUGUGUGAAAUUACAUUUAUGCUCCAUAUUUCUUAUUCAUGUUCUGUUUUAAUUAGAGAGUUAAACUGAUAAUUUCAUAGAAUUUUGAUUGGCAAUGAGUGUUUUAUUAAUUAAUAGAAAUACUUUAAAUUUAUGAUAUAUCAUUUACGUUUGCGUUACUCGCAUUAUAUUAUACGUGAUAGUACUCUACACAUUACUGUGGAGAUUCAAAUUGCACUAUUUAUGUUUCUUAUGGAAUGGGCCCUCGAUUUUGACUGAAUUACAAUUAUCCCAUUGUGUCAUUUGUGUGUGUGCGUGCGCUCUGUGCUUCACCCAAAAACGCCGGGUUGGGCUGUUGUUUUUGGGCCCGAAGUGGGCUGUCCCUUGAGUAGGUAAAAUGUCAAUUUUGCUUGAUUCAAUCCAAAUCGAACGGCUAGGGAUUAGGGGUGGUUUGUCAUUUUACAGUUAGAGGCGUGGGAUGGUGGUGGGGAAUGGGUGUGUUGGCUGCAGGCUGCAGACUGCAGAGAGAAGGUGGGGUUGAGGGAUUGUAUCUCUCCCUCUCUGUCAUUUCUCUCUUCCUCCAUAUAUGACAUCUCCAUUACAUUUCUCUUCAGGUUCUCUCUCUCUCUCUCUCUCUGAAAUAUCACAUGAGAGAAGGUGGUUUGGAGGAUAAUACGAUUGUUGCUGUAAUAACAAGUAUGUAGUUCAAGUUUUGAAAAUUUGAUUAUCAUUAGUUGCUUAAUAUCAUACUAAUUAUGUUUAAUUUGAGAUUAUAAUCAUGUUCAAUGAGAACCCAGAUAGGAAAUUUGAGGCCUUUAGCUUGGGGUGUUAGUUAAAUUUGUUAGAUUUUUCAUGGAUUUUGGGAUAAUAUAGUAUGUUUGCUCUAACUGCUGCAUGAUCUUUGUAGUGGGGAAUUUGGCGUGGGACGGCUUGAUGAUUUUACUUGGCUUCCUUCAGGGGACAAGCCGAGAAGGAGUUUCAGCGUGUUCACAAUUGAAAUAUGCAUCAAGUUGAUUGAAAUAACUUAACUACCUUACUUCGUCUAAAUGGGGAAUAUUUCAUUUCCUUUUGUUUGUGUUUGUAGUGAUGUAAUUCAGGUUCUGUUUAUUGUGAUUUUAAAUCAAAUGCCUUACUUUGUCUAGAUUUUUUGUGCAUUUGAUUUGUUUACCAAUUUUUAAGACAAGUUUGCAGACUUUGCACGCUGUGUCGUUUGUCACACACUAUUGGCUGUGUCGUUAGGAUUUACUAAUGGAUUUACUAUGUUUGGGAAUUUCAGGAAUUUGGGUCGUUGAAGAGAAAAAUUGGUUCCUUUAUGUUAAAAUGAUUCAUGUCUGUCUUAGAUUGUGGUUUCAAAAUAAUAGAUCAAAUAAUUGUGAAAUUAAAUCUAAUAAUUAAAACACUCAUAGCAUUAAGUUAUCCGUUAAAGCCAGAUACAAACAAAUUAAAAAUGGUGACAAUGUGAAACAUUUCAGUACUACAAAAUCACAUAUUUUUUUUUCAUUUUAUUUUUAUAAAUAAAAAAUAAAUAAAAAGGAGGCAACCUACGUUAUAUGUCUUCUUUUUUUCUCUCUUAUGUCACGUACCAGAAUCUCUCGUAGUGUGAUUAGUACCUUGGGAAGGGGAGUGGGAGUAGGGUACAGUGAUGGUUUUGAUGUCGUUUUGUAACUUUUCUGCAAAUGGUUUCUGACAUUUUAUUUUAGCUGAAAUUUCUUCAGUCAUUGUUUACUAGCUAAUUUAACUGUUGGUUUGCAAACCAUCUUCUAAGGUCUUUGUCAAAAUAUUAAUAAUCUCUCUAUAUGUGUAAUCCCCGUAAUAUUUUAGCUGAAAUGCAUUCAGUCAUUGUUUACUAGCAAAUUUAGUAGUUGGUUUGCUAACCAAAAAUAGUAAUUAGUAGUAGUAGUUGGCAUGCAUCAUCAUCUUCAUUAACAACACAAAUAGUUAACAGUAUCUGUUGUUUUAGGAGACUUUAUAGAACGUUGCAGAGAUAAGAUUCCGAAGCUUUGAAAUGUUAAAUUUUGGGUUAAGAAUACAACGAUCAAAAUACAACGCCAAAAAAUAAAAAUGAGGCCCCGAAACAUGAUAAAAUUUCUGAUAUUUUGAAUAUGAAUGUAGAUAUGCAUUUAUGGUAAUUACUUGAUGCAGGUGGGUAUGGGGUUAUGCAUAAGGAGAAAUAUCAGAAAAGCUGAUUUAAAAUUGGUUAUGCCUUUCCCAUCAUGCUCGUAACAGUAUCAUUUGCAAUCAGCAAAAUUUUCCUGAUAAGGGAAAGCUAGGAGAGUAAGUUCGACAGACAAAACAUUGAUGCAGAGAGAGAGAACUUACAUCAGCUGUGAACAUCACAUUGACAACGUUGUGUUCGUAUGAUCAUCACAAAGACAUCGUGAACAUCACAGACAACCUUGCAUUCGUACGAUCACAAAGACAUCAUAUCUUUUCACCAACUAUUAUUGGAAGAUUGAAUGCUUUAAAAAACUUGGUCAGAUAUUUAACGAGACAGGUCAUUGACCUACUCCUAACUAGGGGUGGACAUGGGUAGGACCAAAAUUUGGAGGGACCGGACCAGACCCGUUGUAAACUGUAACAUAGGGGCCAGGCCAGGUUCUUGGAUUUUGAGUUUUGGAACCAGACAUAACCUAGCCCGUUUAAAACGAGCUGGGUCCGCGGGUCCACAGAACAGCGGGCUGAAGGCAGUGAAGCACAGAUUGUGGCUUUUUGCACAGCAGCACACAUUACAGAAUACAAAGGCACAGAUUAUUAUCCAAAUAACAUCCAAAUUUCGCGGUUUGAACAUCAACAUAACAUCCAAAAUAAUAUCCAAAGUCCAAAUAAACAUUCAAAAUAACAAACAUAACACGAAACAUCCGCAAUAACUUCAAAAUUAACAUCUGAAAUCACAUACGUCUCACAUCAAAGGAACUAUUAUUCAGACAUGCCUAUCUUACCUACAUAUUACAAUUACUGCUGGAAGUCUUCUUGAGCUCAAUUUAUGGCAUUGACCCAUGAAAUGCCCGCAUUGAUGAUUCACCAAGUGAAUAGCUUGACACGAAAAAACUAUCCAGUCACGAGCGUGAAUCGGAUCUUGGUAACAGAAUUUUGCUCCCAAGAAAAAAGAAGGGAAGUGGGGCUUGGUCUUUGCUUUGGAACAGCCUGCAACUUCUUCAAAAGUUUCAAGGCUAGUUCGAUUUUUCCACAGGCAGUAUAACAAAGAGCAAGAAAGUACCACCUCUCAGCUCGUCUAUACAAUCCGGUAACAGAAAGAGCGUAAGUCAGAUGAUUCAUGAUUUUUGGAUCCCACUUUGUCUCUCGCAAAGCCACCUUUUUCACAAGAAUUACCAACAACAGAAUUGCUUCUUCUGUAUUAUUUUUGGGCAUAGUUGUGCCCCAUAUUUGUAACUGAGGGGGAAGGUUUGCUUCAACACCGCCAUAGAGUAAUGUGCGAGCUAAACUUUUCUGAAUAGCAGUAAACCUAUCCGGUUCUAUAUUCCAUGGCUUGAUUAAAGCCCAGCAAUACGCAGUGAUAGCCUCAUCAAGAUAGCCUGCCUUUGUCCAUAAAAUGGGGAGCAGCUCGGGCGCUUUGUGAAACAUGUCUGGCAAUUUGCAGUCCUCGCCAAUGUCUACAGGCAUUCCGUUAGGUAGUGCUGAUUUCAACUGUAUCAAGAAUAACUUUGCACUACUUUGCAGCCUCUGAUGAAUAAAGUACGAAAGCAAGCAAACUAAUCAAUACUGAUCCAAUUUUCAUUAUACUACAACACGAAAGCGUAAUCAGAUACCUAUAUAUCUUCCACGUUCUCCCAAUGAUCUUGCCUUAAGUAAUAUUGCUACAAUAAGUAGGCUCACAGAGUGCAUUGACAUUACACUGGGAAGAACCACAUUAUUGCCUUUCGUGCACGGUUUUCUUUGCCUAGUUCUCUCCACAAUAGCCUUGGCCAUCCCCGGGGUUAAAUUUCUAAUUUCAAUAACUUGGAACUGUUGUGCCUUGGCCCGUUCGUCAGUGCAGAAAUGAGAUUCAGAUUACAACCUCAUUAAAUCACACUCAGUUGAACAUAAUAAAAUACAAGAAAUAAAGACAUCGAGAAAUUUACGAGGUUCGGCAAAAAUCAUGCCUACGUCCCCGGCGAGAUAUUGCUCUUCACUAUGAGAAUAAGAGUACAAGUACACAUGAGUUAAAUCGACAUAAUCCAAUCCCAAAUCUCUUGUACACCCACUCAUAGAAUUUUCAAGAACCUCACUCUACCCCAAGAAUUUCUUACUCUCACUCUAUAUUUUCUCUCCCUUGCCCAUGCUUUCCCAUGGGAGAGCCGAAUGCUCUCCUCCUUGGAUGCUCUCUUUCACACCCUCUCCUCUUCGGCUCUUUACAAAUAAAUGGAGAAGAAUAAAAAAAUCAACCUUUCCUUUUUCCACAAACAUAAUGAUGAUGCAUCAUGCUCCCUUUGCCUUUUACUCAAACCCCAAAGCCACUCACGUGGCAUGCAAAUAGGAAACCAAGAAAAAAGGCCAAAACAAAAGAAUAUCAAGCAAACAUCAUCAUUGUCUUCCACUAUUAGCCGAAAUGAGAUUAGCCACAUUUGAUCACUAAUUCGAAAGCACAACACACAAAAUCACUUAAUUGUUGCCAGCUCAAAAUAUGAGCCAAUCACAACAGAAACACCUGAAGUGCAGCCUCAAAAUUCCCCCUUUGGAAUUCAAGCCUCCCCAACAAAGCUCUUGCUUCCUAAAAGCUGAUUGAAAAAUACGAAAUUAAACAUUAGUAAGCUGUAGAACAAGGAAACCAAUCACUAGUUACUCAACAAGUUUAGGGCCCGUUUGAUAACCAUUUCAGUUUUCAAUUUUCGGUUUUUGGUAUUCAAAACAUGAAUUUCAAAUAGUGAAACAAAAACAGUCACCUCAUAAUUCAAAGAUAGAGCUUCUUUAAGAGUGGAUUCAGCUUCAUCCACUUGAAUAUCUUCGAAUUUGGAGUCCCAGUCACUGGUCCUAGAUGAAAGGGCACUCGCCAAGAAGUCACUCGUGGCAAGGGACUCCGGCCAGUGUGGCGGCUCCUCGAAUUUGAAUUGCUGUCCUGAACAAGAACACAACAUCUUCUCCACAAAUCAUGGACCCUUGCGAUUUGAUUUCACACACAAAAUUGGGGGGGGGGGGGGGGGGGGGAAUUCACCUGUCUGUGAUUUGUUUCAUUUGUGCACACACCUGGAAACAGUAAAACAUGAAACCAUGUCACUGUCAUUGAAGAAACAAAAACAAAUGCAAGCAGUAAAAUUACGAGUUGUACGGAUUUUAGUAUGAAAAAAUGGUCGGAAACAGUAAGCAACAACGUAGAUCCCCAAAGCAGAAUAGGCAGUACCGAACAGGAAACACAAUUGUAAACAAAACACCCAGCAAAAUCCAAGUUUUUUUAAUGUUAAAAAACCAUGAAAAAUAAAGGAAAUAAAAGGGCAUAGAUUUGGAGGCAAAGACAGUCUCUUUGAAAAGAAGAACACCGAGGAAGUUGAAAGGGGCGAAACAAACGAUGAGGAACAGGGUUUUCUGAACUUACCCCAGAAAGAAAGAAAUUCAUAACCCAGAACGUGAUUUGUGGCAGUCGUGGAAGGUUUGAAAGAUACCUCUCUCUCUCCUCUCUCUCGUCUCUCUCUCUCGUCUGAGUUUUCCGGGGUUUCUUCAGAAGUUUGGAAUCCUUCGUAUUUUUCAGGUUCAGUAGAACCCAAAGCUAAUGAUGGGACGAUGGAGGGAAAAACAAACGUGAUAAUAAGCAAGGUUCUAAAAGUCGCUAAACGCUAGUCGGGCUGCGGGCUGGGACCUAGCGCCUAGGCGGAUUUAAGUAAAUCUAUCAUAUUUCAGGUAAAUAAGUGUCUGCUUCUACUUGAAAUAUAUAUAAUUUCAUCAUAAGCUACAAAAUAGAAUGCAUAUAUAUCAUGAAGUAUUGGAACAAAAUGAAAACAUGUGAAAUAAGGAUAUAAUGUUUGUUCAUUCAAGUAUGCAACAAGUCUCUUACACUUUAUUGGAAAAAAAACAAAAUGCAAAAUGAAAGUUAUGUAUUUUCUGUCUAAGUGAGUUGCAACCUAGGCGGGUCUAGGCGGGUGCCUAGGCGGGCUAGGCGGGUGCCUAGGUGGUCUAGGCGGUGGGCUGGGGCCUAGGCAUUAAUCGGGGCGGUGGGCUGAGGCCUAGCGCCUAGGCAGCGCUAGGCGGAGAUUUUUAGAACAGUGAUAAUAAGAGCAACUCCACUCUUAAAAAACAAGCUGCCCAACGUUUAUUUAAUCAACCCAUCAACCCAAAUAAAUACGAAUCAACUCUAAUGAAUAGUAAUUUGCCAAGUGUAUGGACAAAAAACUAAUCAAUUCGUAUUAGAGUCUAAUCAAUUCGAACUAAAAUAUUUUUAAUUUUUUUUAUAAAAUAAUAUGACACACUCCGAUCUGGGAUGUCCACUAGGACUCUGAAUCAAGCUGUGUUAGCCGACACCUGAAAUGUAACGAAGCCAUAAAGUGUGAUAAUGUAUAAAAUGUGAAUAAAUUAAAACCUAAAAGUCCAUGAGUACACGAGUGUGCGGUGAACGGAUCUGGACCCAUUUCACUCGUGAUACAGAGCAUAGGUAUAGUGCAGUAAGGUGAGACAAUGAUCAUACCAUCACAAGAAAGCAUUUGUACCAAAAAGUGCCACAAAUCCUCGUCGAUACGGAACUCUGCUGCUAGAACCUGAAGGGGUACAAAAAUAGAGAAUGUGAGUGAGUGAAACAAAACUUUUCAAACCAAUUCCAACUACCAAAGGCAGUAGCCCCUCACCGUAAUACCUGUAUAAAUUCUCGGAAAAUAAUAGGCGUGACUAUAAAUCAAUACCAUAACCAAAAUAAUAGUCUUACAGUUAUACCGUGUCAAAUAUCUCAAUAAGAAUAAGUACUCAGGUGAAAUAAAUCAAUAUGAAAUGGCAUAUUAGUCGGAUGCACCUAUAGUGGGCUGUAUGGCUGAAUUAAUAGCUCAUCAACAUGCUAGCCGGAGUCACCUCACGUGACCUGUACGACUUAUCCAUAUCUCAUCAAUCAAGGCUAGCUCAUAAGUCGGAGUCACCUCUAAUGACAUGUACGACUUAUCCAUAUCUCAUCACAUAUCUCAUCAUUUAUGCUACCUCAUCACAUAUUUCAUCAUAUAUGCUAGGUCAUCACAUAUUUUAGCAUAUAUGCUAGCUCGUCACAUAUUUCAUCACAUAUGCUAGCUCAUCACAUAUUUCAUCAUAUAUGCUACCUCAUCACAUAUUUCAUCAUAUAUGCUAGCUCAUCACAUAUUUUAGCAUAUAUGCUAGCUCAUCACAUAUUUCAUCAUAUAUGCUAGCUCAUAAGUCGGAGUCACCUCUGGUGACCUGUACGACUUAUCCAUAGCUCAAUAAGUAUACCUGCACACGAGUCGGAACCACCUAAAGUGAUCUGUACGACAGGACUAGAUGUAAAUAAAUACACUCAAGUGCUACAAUCACGUGAAGACUAUACGAAUAAUCGCGGGUCACCUACGAGUCGGAACCACCUAUAGUGGUCUGUACGACAUGACUGUGCACCUACCUUGGAUCCAAAGUGAGCGUAAGGUGCGGGAGGUGAACAUCACGUGAAGGACUGUGCCCUGGCCAUGGGAAUAUCUUCGAAUUUGGAGUCCCAGGUCCUAGAUGAAAGGGCACUCGCCAAGAAGUCACUCGUGGCAAGGGACUCAGGCGAGUGUGGCGGCUCCUCGAAUUUGAAUUGCUGUCCUGAACAAGAACACAACAUCUUCUCCACAAAUCAUGGACCCUUGUGCACACACUUGGAAACAGUAAAACAUGAAACCAUGUCACUGUCAUUGAAGAAACAAAAACAAAUGCAAGCAGUAAAAUUACGAGUUGUACGGAUUUUAGUAUGAAGAAAUGGUCGGAAACAGUAAGCAACAACGUAGAUCCCCAAAGCAGAAUAGGCAAUACCGAACAGGAAACAACAAUUGUAAACAAAACACCCAGCAAAAUCCAAGUUUUUUUAAUGUUAAAAAACCAUGAAAAAUAAAGGAAAUAAAAGGGCAUAGAUUUGGAGGCAAAGACAGUCUCUUUGAAAAGAAGAACACCGAGGAAGUUGAAAGGGGCGAAACAAACGAUGAGGAACAGGGUUUUCUGAACUUACCCCAGAAAGAAAGAAAUUCACAACCCAGAACGUGAUUUGUGGCAGUCGUGGAAGGUUUGAAAGCUACCUCUCUCUCUCCUCUCUCUCUCCCCUUACUCACUCUCUCUCUCUCUCUCUCUUUCUCGUCUGAGUUUUCCAGGGUUUCUUCUAGGGUGGUUUGGUAGGAGAUACCAUACCGAAACUAGUAUUCCGAAUCCCAAAUCGAAAUUUUUUGGGACGGGAAUUUGAAAACCAAUCCCAAAUCAAAUUUUCGGGAAUCCUGAAAUAUUUUUAUAAUUUCAGGACAAAUCGGGAAUCCCAAAUUUAAAUAUGAAAUUUUGAGUUGUUGUUCAAAUAUAUAAUUCAAGCACACAUUCAUAAAUAGGAAUGUCAUUUCAUUCACACUACCAUUUAAUCUAAAACUAGCAUGCUUGACUGUUUUUAUCAGAGUCAAAAUUCAAAUUAAUUAAACCCUUUUUGCAAUCUGUUGAGAGACAAAAAAGAAUCAAGCCUUUUGAAAUCAUUAGUCAUGGCACCAUCAAUAAUAAAAUCCAAAUAAAUAUCAAACAGAAUAUGAAAAAUAUGCAAGGUAUAGGGCAUUCCAGGUUACAGAGCAUGAAUUAGAAACUACUAGCAUCAAUUAUAAAAGAAUAAUAUAUAUAAUAUAUAUGUAUAUAUAUGUAUAAAUAUAUAAAUAUAUAUAAUAAUUAAUAUUAUAUAUUUUUGGUUCUGUAUGAGAUUCCUGAAAUAUCGAGAAGCUAAUCCCGAAUCCCGUACCGAAAUUUUGGGAUAGCAUCCCUAAAAUUUUAGGAAUUUCGAUUUGGGAAAUUUUUGGUUUGGGAUCUGGAUUUUUUCGGUUCGGUUCGAAAUUUUCAGGAAUUUUUUCCACCCCUAGUUUCUUCAGAAGUUUGGAAUCCUUCGUAUUUUUCAGGUUCAGUAGAACCCAAAGCAAAUGAUGGGACGAUGGAGGGAAAAACAGACGUUAUAAUAAGCGCCACUCCAUUCUUAAAAAAAAAGCUUCCCAACGUUUAUUUAAUCAACCCAAAUAAAUAGUAAUCGAUCCAAUGAAUAGUAAUUUGCCAAGUAUAUCUUCAUUUCUAAAAAAUAAGCUGGACAAAAGAUUAGUCAAUUCAUAUUAAAAUAUUUUUAAUUUUUUUUUAUAAAAUAAUAAAUAACAAUUUUAUUUUUUAAUUUCGGAUUGGAUUUUAAAUCAAUCUUGUCACGUCACGUGUCAUUAUCCAAAGUACAAUUUUUGUGAAUAAAAUUUUAACCAAUUUAUAAAGUACCUAAUUUAAUAAUUUUCAUUUUAUUUUUUAUGUAUUUUAAACAAUUUUUAUUAAGUUAAUUAAUCUGGACCGUUGGAUUUCAAAAGAUUGAAAUCCAACAGCCCAAAAUUGGACAUGUGGCCAACAGUAAGAUUUUUGACAUUUAAAAAAAAAAUUGUGUGACAGCUCGUCUCGAAAUAUAUUUUAUCGAUGGUGUGAAUUGACUAAAUUACCCUUGAACGUUGAGUUGUGUUGCGUGGAAUGAGCUUCGUAUUUGGACCAAUUAAAUCCAUUUCCUAAGUUUUUGGGACCCAAUAGGAAACUUAAACUUUGUUUUAGUGUUUUGUGGGGUGACAAGAUCUGGACCACACACACACUAAUCAACCCUGUUGACCUCUCUCUUUCCCCUCUCAAUUUUCUUCCAUUGUCCGUACAAUACGUACGGUCAACCUCCCAACUAGCUUAAUCACACAUGGAUCGAGCUAGAUGAGGACGUUUUUGAACUCCUUGCAAGCUUAGGAGUAGAGUCAUACUUUUUGUUUGAGGAAGAGACCUGUAGAAAUCGAGAUAUCCGAACUUCGACGAGGAGUGUGAAAUUCUCCAACGUGAUCGCGAAGGUUUUAGCCUGUUUAGGGACUUAAAAAGGUAUUUUUCUAACUUCUCUAGUACAUGGGAACCCUUUUGGAGUAGUUUUGACAUUAGAACACUUGGGUUUAUCGAGUUGCAAGUUUGAACGUUCGGUCGAAGGAUUUUCCAACCACUUUUCGUUGGUUUUAGGUCCCCCAAAGUGGUAAGAAUGUGUUCUACUCGUUGUAAGCUUCAUUUUGAUGAAAAUUUCAUGGAUUUUGGUUGAGAAAUGGAUGAGAUAUUGAAGUUCUAAGAUUUUCCAUUUUUCGGUGAUAGCACCGGCACCGGCGCCAGACUCUGGCGAGCCAAGGAAGACGGAGGAUAAUAUUAUGUCAAAGUUGAUGGAAUAUGCUAACGACAUCAGGUAUCUUUAACGGUAUAUGCUGAUUUUUAACGAAAUAUUCCCUAACGCCGUUAGGGAAUCCGUUAGUGUGCCAGGCACGUGCUUGCACAUGAGCCACGCGUCUGGCCAUGCCUUGGCCGGCGCGUGAGGGCGCGUGGGGGCUCAGAAAUUUUUUCUAAAAAUAUGGGGAUGUUCCUGAGGUGGAGUAGGUCAUGGUGGUAUAUUCAAAUACCUCAAUUGAGCUAUGUAUGAGAAGUUAUUACUUAGCUUUGUGUAUGUGCUUUAAAAUAACGUUUAUAUAGUUGUUUCGCAUAUAGGUGAGACCUAUCCUGAGGACGAGAGCAGUCAAGUAAGGCUUGGGGGUUACCAAGGACGGAGCCACUAUAGGCCUAGAGGGGGCGGAUGCCCCUACUCAAUUUUUUAAUUGCACAAUUUUGCAUUUCAAUGACCAACCCUAAUUAAAAUAAAAAUUAAACCCCAUAUGUUAAUUGGUAUCAAGGGAAAUGUGCUAAGGAGACUCUUCCAAAAGUGAACCUCUCCAUGGACUUUCCGUCACCUCAUGUUUUUAGUACAAUCCCCGUACCAACAUUAUUAAAUAUUGUGCCAAAAAACAUGAGGUGGUGUAGAGUCCCACUUUGAGAGAGUCUCCUUAGCAUUUCUCUUAGUAUCAAUAUGAUUGACUUCGCCAACAAUGAUUCUAAGUGUUUUGUAUGAAAAACAUUAUAGAUUAAUAUAUAAGUGUUUGUUUAGUAAUUUUUUUAGCUUUUUAAUUGUAACUUUAUUGUUUGAGGAUGCUCCCAUUCAUACAAAUCUCUAGCUUCAUUCCUGGGGGUUACGACCCUUCCACAUAUCAGUGAGUAGGCUUUUGGUUUUCAGUAUAUACUUAUAUACUUGGUAUUUUUCCUAAAAAAUGCGUUUAAAUGAAAUUAUGUUUUGAAAUGCCAUGCCUAUUGAUUUAUGCAAGAUUAUGAAUUAGUAUAGUAUGCAUAAAUGUGAUUUGACGCUAUGGACGCUCAGGUAAGUACCAGGUAAGUUGUAAACUGUUUAUAUGUGAAUUGAUGAUUAUGUGAGAUGUGUUGAAAGCUCAUAAACCUGCACCUCAGUGUUAGUGCUCCCGCCCGUGGCCAGGGCACAUGUCUUCACGUGAUGUUCACCUCCCGCACCGCACGCUCACCUUGGAUCUAAGUUAGGUGCACAGUCCUGUCGUACAGACCACUAUAGGUGGUUCCGACUUGUAGGUAACCCGCGAUUAUUCGCACAGUUUUCACGUGAUCGUAGCCUAGAGCGUAUUUAUUUACACCCAAUCCUGUCGUACAAACCACUUUAGGUGGUUCCGACUCGUGUGCAGACAUACUUGUUGAGCUAUAGAUUCAACCGUACAAGCCACAUUAGGUGGAUCCGGCUGAAUGUUAUUUCACCUGAGUUACUUAUUCAGUUAUUUUGAGAUAUUUGCCAUGGCAUACUUAUGAAUAUCGUUUUUUGAGCAUGGUUUUGAGAUGUGAGGGGUUAGAACUUUUGAUAAAUGAAAUGGUUUUGAAAAACUUUGUUUUUGCCCACACACUUUCUGUUUUGCGCCCUUCCAGGUUCUAGUUAAGAGUGCUUGUUGGUGGCUUACGAGGAAUUCACGGCAGCUCUGACAAAUUAUUGCCAAUGUAGGAUUCUUUGGGUGUUGUAUAAUUAGUAUUCGUCCUACUGGACUGCCCUUAGGCUACUUAUGCUCUGAUUGUGAACUCACACUUAAUAUCGCACUUGCACCUUAUCUUAUCUAAUGCUCUAGUUAGUUUGGUUUUUAUUUAUUCACAAUUCUUUAUAUCUUUAUUGCUUCCGCACUGGGCACAUGGCUACAUCACAUUCACAUGACGGCCAUCAUGCUUCAAUCUAGGUCGGGGUGUGUCAUUUUGGCUGAAAAACCUGAACCCUUGAUCUGGAAAUCAAAUGGUCUAGAUUUUGCCACAUCACUAGCCGUUAGAUUUAAAAUUCAAAAAUUUUUUACCGUUGAAAAUUCAAUGGUCCAGAAAACUAGUCGUUGGAAAUCCAAUAGCCAUCGCUGCGCCACAUGGCCCAACUCCAACUUCCUAGUUAGUGUGCCUGCAACGUGGGCCCCAUCAUGCGAGCUGUCCGGAACACGCGCCCAUGCGCACGUGUUUCCCACACACCAGCCGCAAAUAAAAGACUCAACCCGUGAACUAUGUUAGCAUAAUGUCAGAUGGGCCAGUUCCUCACUCAGUCCAUAUGGGUUGGCUUAAAAGCUGGGGUGGACUUUGGGCCAACCUGUUAGAUGGGGUGGAAUGGAUUUUUUUUUGGGGGGGGGGGGGGCGGUGACACGCCCCAACCCUAAUAUCCCUAAAUAUCAAGGUAGGCAUGUGCUGGCCGACACUCGAGGAUGACGAAGCCAUUUUAAACAUGCAUAUAAAUAAAAUAUGUAAUUAGAAAGAGAUACAUCAAUUCAGAAUCGUGUUCAGAGCAUACAACUACUCAAGAAUAAGGUAGAAGAUUUAUUAUAAAAUGGUACGAAUUGAGAAAUGUGUCCUACACAGAGGAGACUCAAAGAUGCAUGAGCGGAGGUGCCCUGACGCCGAGAUUGUGUGCCUUGAAUCUAAAUCAUGAGGGGGCGCACAAACAUAAAAGGUGAGUGGACCAAAGUUUAUAAUAAUACUAUUAAUAAGAAAAUCAUUUUAUUUAACUAAUCCCCUGUUUUGAAAACACAUAUAAUACUACAUAAUAGGUUUCUCUGAAAACCCCAGCAUGCCAUGAAAUCAUUCUAAAACCAAUGCGUAUAAAACAAUGCUCGGAAAUAGUAAUAUAGCCGCUCGAAAGGAAAUUCGUAAAUCUCAUCAAUAUUGUACUCUCUAGGGGUAUCAUAGUCACCUGAAGGCAGUACAUGUCCAUCACCCGAAGGUAAAGUUGUACGACACUAGGUUACGCCAGUGAAGAAACAUGGUAGGCCCUAUCACCCGAAGGUGAAGUUGUACGACUCCAGGUUACGCCGAAGAAAUAACGCAUAACAUCACACACACCGACACUAGCCCUGAGCUAGUGAAGUUGGGGGUAUAUCAUCAAUAUCAUCAACUCCUCAUUCACCCGAAGUCAGUACCUGUCCAUCACCCAAAUGUGAAGUUGUACAACACUGGGUUAUGCCAGUGAAGAAACAUGGUAAACCCCGUCACUCGAAGGUGAAGUUGUACAACUCCAGGUGAUGUUGGAGAAGGAGCAUAUCCAUAUCUAUCCUCAAUUGUCCUAUGGCCAUAAACAUCUACAUACUCGUAUUGUGUGGAUGUGCUGUAUGAUAACCCGCUAGAUAAGUACCGAAAACAUACCUCAAAAACUCAUCUCAAUUCCGGAGCCCAAAAGUUCAAAAUCUCAUCCUUUAAAUCUAUAUUUAUAAAUCCAUAAUAUAAAUCAUAUUCGAAAGCAUUAUCACAUUUUGUUGUUCGUGUGGGGUACCUUUCAUGAUGUGGAUAUCUCCAUCAUGGUGGGAUGGGUUAUGCUUAUGGCCCUCAUUUUCCAUCACAAUCUUAUCUCCAACCCUAAUUAACCAAAUUGCUUACACUUUUUUGGGGCUAAACACCUUUUGAAUAAUCGAUAAUAUGUGAAGUGUGCCUUUACUUGUAACCCACUACGGCACUAUCUGUGGUGGAAUGUAAUGGAAAGGUGGGGAGUAAAAGAUGAAACUCUAACAACCCCACAAAUUUUAUUUUUCUAUUUUAUAUGAGCGAUAUUGAGGGAGAAAAAAAUUAGACUUGAGACUUUAGAUAUAGAGUAAAUACUUUUAAUCAACUGAACUACUGUUUCCUUGCAGAAAUUCCAUGACAUUUUGUUUUGCUCUUCAUUUUGUUUCGUGGGUAAGUGCUCUAUGAUUCAAGUUGCAAAUCCAAGCUAAAAAUGACACAAAAUUAAAGUUGGAACGAAAGAUGCGAAAACAUAAGAACAAUCUUGUACAUUUGAAAGGUUCUAACGAUCUUUGUAUAUGUAGUAACCCUAUAGUCCAGUGAUAUUCCUUUAUUUUAGUAAAUGAGAAGUUCUCAUGUUCGACUGACAUAAAUGACUAGUUCAAUGCCUAAUUAUGUAUGGCAAAUUAUCUCGUUUAGCCCAAAUUCCUUCCUCAAAGUAGAACAUCGUCAUAGAAAAAAACCCUCAAAACAUCACAAGAAUUAAAAAGGGUUAUACCAAAAAUCCACUUUGAUACAUAAUCACAAGAGAUAGAAAGAAGGGGUGUGCUAUCCACGCACCUAUUUUUACUUCUCUCACAUCUCUUAUUAGUUUCUGUCCUUUGAUCUUUUUCAAUUUAUCCGAUCCGACGGCCGAAAAUUAGAGAGGUAUGAGAGAAGUAAAAUUAGGUGUGUGAAUAUCACACCUCUAGAAAGAAUUGUUCUGAAUAGAAAAGAAACAAGCAUUACAGCAACAUAAAUACGAAUACUAAAGCCACUUGAUAAUCUCAGCCUUCAACAGAUUUGAGUACUGAAACUGAAUUUUUGGCUCUCAAACUCUCGAUCUUAGACUUAAAACUCACUGUGGAAAGACAUGAGCAAUGUCUUCCAACAACCAAAUGCGACACUUAAUUGUUUGAUAUUUUCUUCAAGAUCUUUCCUUCUUAGUAACUCAUGAUUUAGAGUCUCUGGUUUCUAUCACCCAUCCAAUACAUUAAUUUGACUCGUCAUUGCACCCUCCCACAAACUUAUCAUUGCCCCUUUAGUGAAAAAAGUUAAAUAUUUGAUCAAAAUCCGUAAAACGUAAUGUCAUGUAUAUUUAUAUGUUCUCCCAAACCCAACUAAAUUUGGUUCUUUCAUGAUUUUUGUGGGUUUAGCUAUAAAACUUAGCAUGCCAGAGUGCACAUAUGGGUGGGUAAACUGCAAGAAAGACUACGAAAAGCAGACUCUUUUUUUUUUAUUUUUUUUAUUUUACAAGCAACGAUAUUUGAUAUUUUAUUAAUCAACUGAGAGCAACACAAUGUGUCAAUUGGGUACAAUCUUCCAGUGAUCAAGAAAAUAAUUUGGAAGUGAAUUUGCACAAAUGAGACAAUAAUAGUAAACCUCUAAACAGUUACCACAUGUACGAGAGCUUUCCAUAACACCCAUACAAACUUGUCACAGAAACGAUAAAUAACAUAUUUGUAAAUGUGAAUGCAAAUAGUCAUUGCCGAAUAGCGUUGCCACAUAAAGUCAUCGUAUAUAUAAAUAUGAAACAAAAAAUUGAGUUUCUUAGGCUACAUGGGAAGCGAUCGUUACUAUUCUUGUAUACCCUCGGACAUGGAUCCUCUUCGGAUCCAAUUAUCCUAAUCCACCAAAUCCAUGUAUCUGGGUCAUUGAAAUUUGAUCUAAUGGCUAAAGUUAUUAUAAAUUUUAAAGUGGAUCCCUGUUUGUAGCCGUUGGAUCAAAUUUCAAUAGCCCGAAUACAUAGAUUUGGUCGAUUAGGACAAUUGGAUCCGAAGAGGAUCCAUGUCUAGUUGACCAAAGUUUUAGGUCUAGGCAUAUAAUUGCAGUUUCUUCAUUGCAGCAACCUCCUUUUUUUUUUUUUUUUUUUUUUUUCUGUUUGUUUACUUCAAAGAAAGAGCAUCACAACCUUCAUUUAAUUCUCUUAUUUGACUUCAUUUGCUUCGUUUUUUGUUCUGUUUUUAUUGUUCCUAAAUUCUUAGUGAAUGAACUUAGUGAAAGCAUAUAUCUUACACCAAAGCAAGAUUUAGUUAUCUAAAAAAACCAAGUUUCAUACUAUACAUAUACCAAGACCAUCUCUAAACAUUAGGACAAAAAAUUUAGAUUUUAACCUAAAAAUAGUUUUCUAUUCUAAUCGUUCUGGGUUAUUUUAACCAAAAAUUAUUAAGAAAAGAAUUUAAGCUGAAUUAUGUCCAUUAAGUAACCUUUUAAAAAAUAAAAAUUAUGUAAAUUAUUCUAAUUUAUUUUUAUGAACAUCUUAACUUAAAAAAAAAGUUAACUUCAGAUAUAUAAUGAAAAAUCACCGAACCAACUAUUCUCUCGAAACAAGACAUGGCAUUAGCUGUUGAUUUAACUUUGGACUCUUAAUUUUUUUUAAUGUUGGAUUUAUCAUAUCCAAUCUCAUCCGUUAAAUUUAAUGUAUUUAUAAAUUUAAAUUGAGUUUCUUAGGCUACAUUGGAAGCGAUCAUUCCUAUUCUUGUAUACCCAUUUAGAACCUCAGAAGUUGACCCAAGUUUUAGGUCUAUCCAGACAGAACACGAUUGAUUUUUCAAGAGGAUCAAAAUUAUGAAAUAUUAGCAUAUUUGAAUUGUAGAUAUAUAUCACCUUAUGAAGCUAUUUGGAGAUUGUUUCAAUACUCAAUACAUCAUAGAGAACCCUCUGUUAAACAAUUACCCGUUCAUUUACCAUUGGAACAAAAUAUUGUUUUUAGCGGUGAUCAAUCACUUCAAUCAAUUGUUAGACAAAAAGCUUUGAAAAUACAAUGUUAACAAGUUGGUUUGAAGUCAAUAAAAUUUAUAAUGAAGCACGUUUACUAACUUAUGCUCAAAUUCCACCAAAAUUUUGGUAUGACACACAAAAUAAAAUUUGGAAACCAAGAAAGAGUAAAGGAUCAAUUGGUAGAAUAGCAUAUGUACAUCCUGCAUCUGGUGAAUUAUAUUAUUUAAGGAUGCUUUUAAACUUGAAAAAAGGCGCAUUAGAUUUUAAUGAUAUUAAAACUGUUAAUGGUGUUGUGCAUUCUUUAUACCAUGAUGCAUGUAAAUCUUUAGGAUUAUUAGGCGGUGAUAAAGAAUGGUUAGAAGCUUUAUCAACUGCUGUAAAUGUUGCAUCAUCUCCUCAAUUAAGACAACUAUUUGUUACAAUUGUUUUAUUUUGUGAUGUUGCAAAUCCUCAAAUUCUUUUUUAUGCUCAUUGGAAGAACAUGUAUCCACUCAAAGUUGUUUGGGAGCAUAUGCUCCUAUCAACUUUACACGGGACACACAAAAGAAGUACUUUGAUCCUAUUAGACGGGGGAGGGUGAAGAAGCUAGGACAGAAGGGUAGAGUUCAAGAGAGCAAAAUGCGUUUAGGAACGUGGAAUAUAGGAACCUUAACGGGAAAAUCUAUGGAAGUAGUGGAAGUUAUGGUGAGGAGAAGGAUAAAUAUUAUGUGCCUACAAGAAACUAAGUGGGUUGGUAGUAAGGCAAAGGAUCUAGAAAACUCAGGGUUUAAACUUUGGUAUUCGGGCACAAAUAGAACGAGAAACGGUGUUGGCAUCAUCGUGGACAAGACCUUGACACAAGAUGUUGUAGAUGUGUCAAGAGGGUAGGAGAUAGAAUCAUGGCAAUCAAGAUUGUAAUAGGACAAGAACUUAUCAAUGUGAUUAGUGCGUACGCACCUCAAGUAGGGUUGGAUACGAGUUCGAAGGAGAAAUUUUGGGAAGACCUUGGAGACUUGGUGCAAGGAAUUGCUCAGACGGAGAAGAAGUUAUUUAUAGGAGGAGAUUUAAAUGGACACGUGGGCAGGGAGACAUGCAACUAUGGAGGUUUUCAUGGUGGCCAUGGUUUUGGGGAGAGAAAACGAGGAUGGGGAAGCUAUCUUGGAUUUUGCAAUGGCAUAUGAUCUCUUCUUAGCCAACACCUUCUUUAAGAAGAGAGAAGAAACAUGUGAUCACCUACAAGAGUGAGUCGUCAAAAAACACAAAUAGAUUUUCUUCUAAUGAGGAAAGGGGAUCGUAUAACUUGUAAGGAUUGCAAAGUUAUACCAGGAGAGAGCGUGGCUAAUCAACAUCGCUUGUUGGUGAUGGAUGUACAUAUCAAAAGAGUGAGACAAAAGAACAAGACUUGGAAGUGCCCAAGGACUAGAUGGUGGAAUCUAAAAGAAGAAAAACAAGCCAUUUUCAAAGAGAAGGUAAUCACCCAAUGUGUGUGGGAUAGAGAGGGGGAAGCUAGCCAAAUGUGGGAUUCCAUGGCUAGUUGUAUCCGAAAAGUAGCAAAAGAGGUAUUAAGAGAGUCAAAGGGCUUUGCCCCACACCAAAAGGAAUCUUGGUGGUGGAAUGAGGAGGUACAAACAAAGGUGAAGGCUAAGAAGGAAUGUUGUAAAGCCUUAUACAAGGAGAGGACCGAUGAAAAUGGUGAAAGGUAUAGAAAAGCGAAGCAAGAGGCGAAGAAAGCUGUCAGAGAAGCUAAGUUAGCGGCUUACGACGAUAUGUAUAAACGACUAGAUACCAAAGAAGGAGAGUUGGAUAUCUAUAAACUAGCUAGAGCAAGGGAAAAGAAGACAAGGGACCUAAACCAAGUGAGGUGCAUCAAGGAUGAGGAUGGAAAGGUUCUUGCUACAGAGAACGCGGUUAAAGACAGAUGGAGAGGUUAUUUUCAUAAUCUUUUCAAUGAAGGACAUGAAAGGAGUGCUUCUUUAGGGGAGUUGAGUAACUCAGAAGAGUGUAGAAACUACUCUUUUUAUCGUCAAAUCCGGAAGGAAGAAGUGGUUGUAGCCUUGAAGAAGAUGAAGCAUAGAAAAGCAAUAGGCCCAGACGAUAUACCAAUCGAAGUGUGGAAAGUUUUGGGAGAGACAGGUAUAACAUGGCUCACUGACCUUUUCAAUAGGAUUUUGAAAACGAAGAAGAUGCCAAAUGAGUGGCGAACGAGCACUUUGGUGCCUAUCUACAAGAAUAAGGGCGACGUACAAAAUUGCAUGAACUAUAGGGGUAUUAAGUUAAUGAGUCAUACAAUGAAGCUCUGGGAGAGAGUCAUUGAGCAUAGAUUGAGGCAAGAGACACGGGUUUCGGACAACCAAUUCGGGUUCAUGCCAGGGCGCUCAACCAUGGAGGCAAUCUAUCUCUUACGAAGAUUGAUGGAAAGAUAUAGAGAUGGGAAAAAGGAUUUACACAUGGUCUUUAUAGAUUUGGAAAAAAGCGUAUGAUAGGGUCCCAAGAGACAUUCUUUGGAGGAUUUUAGAGAAGAAAGGAGUACGAGUAGCAUAUAUCCAAGCUAUAAAGGAUAUGUAUGAAGGAGCAAAGACUGCCGUAAGAACUCAUGAAGGACAAACCGAAAGCUUUCCCAUAACUGUAGGAUUACAUCAAGGCUCAUCCUUAAGUCCUUACCUUUUUGCGUUGGUAAUGGAUGAGUUAACAUGACAUAUUCAAGAUGAUAUUCCUUGGUGUAUGCUUUUCGCAGACGAUAUAGUGUUGAUAGAUGAAACUCAGGAAGGGGUAAAUGCAAAGCUUAACCUUUGGAGAGAAGUGUUGGAAUCUAAAGGUCUUCGCCUAAGCCGAUCAAAGACAGAAUAUAUGGAGUGCAAGUUCAGUGCAAAUGGAGGCCAAAACGAGUUAGGGGUGAGGAUCGGAGAUCAAGAAAUACCAAAGAGCGACCGUUUUCGUUACCUAGGAUCUAUCUUGCAAAAGAACGGAGAAUUAGAUGGAGAUCUCAACCAUAGAAUACAAGCUGGAUGGAUGAAGUGGAAGAGUGCAUCUGGCGUGUUGUGUGACCGCCGUAUGUCACUGAAGCUCAAGGGAAAAUUUUAUAGGACGGCAAUAAGGCCGGCGAUGCUGUAUGGCACAGAAUGUUGGGCGGUGAAGCAUCAACACGUACACAAAAUGGGUGUAGCGGAGAUGAGGAUGCUUCGUUGGAUGUGUGGGCACACGAGAAAGGAUAAGAUUAGGAAUGAGGAUAUCCGGGGUAAAGUAGGAGUAGCCGAAAUUGAAGGAAAGAUGAGAGAAAAUCGGUUACGGUGGUUUGGACAUGUGCAAAGAAGGCCUACUGACGCUCCGAUUAGAAGAUGCGACUAUGGGACAGAGGUUCAGGGCCGAAGGGGUAAAGGAAGACCUAGGAAAACUUUGGAAGAGACUCUAAGAAAAGACUUAGAGUACUUGGAUCUAACGAAGGACAUGACACAGGACCGAGCACAAUGGCGUUCUAAGAUUCAUAUAGUCGAUCCCACGCAGUGACUUGGAUUUUCCAAGUCUCCAACCGAGAAGUUUUCCUCACUCGAAAAAUUAAGGGAACACUACCCCAACCUACAUGCUCCACUCAGAAAGCUUCAACAUACAAGCUUCAACAAAAGAAAAUUCAAAGAACUUAGCGAAGAAGGCUUUGGUGUAUUUAACACAAUACGUUGAAAUGAAGGAAAGCUUAUUUAUUGAUAUCCCCGAUAAGCUACAAAUAUGUACAUAUACAUGAGUCAAAAUAAACAAACAAGAUGGAGCCUUCACAAAGGUUGCUUAGGAGAAGUCUCAGCAGUCGGUAGAGCCUCAGAAAGAGAAGGCAUCAGAGGGGGAUCAUUCGGAGCCUCAGUACUGGACAGAACCCUAAAAAGGAGGAGGCAUCAGAGGUUGAUCAUUUGGAGCUUCAUUACGCGGUACAGCCUCAGAAGACGAAGGCAAUAAAUGCCUUUGGAACAAACCCACGAAUCUCUGAUGAUCAAGUAAAACCUGACCAUCAGUUUCCUUCAUCUGGUCAAGCUUCCUCUUCAUGUUUGUAGCAUAGUCAUGUGCGAGCCGGUGCAACUGUUUAUUCUCAUGCUUGAGCCCUCUAAUCUCCUGUUUGAGACUCAUCACUUCGGCCGCCAAUGAUUCAACUUGGCGGGUUCGAGCAAAUAGGCGUUGGGCCAUAUUAGACACAGAACCUGCACACUGAACACUGAGAGCCAGCGAAUCCUUAACAGCUAACUCAUCAGACCGUUUGGAAAGUAGUCUGUUAUCUUUGGGAGUGAGAAGGUUCCUGGCCACCACCGCAGCGGUCAUAUCAUUCUUCAUCACGGAAUCCCCAACGGUAAGAGGACCAGUAGGGGAGACGAAGGAUGGGCGCCAUAUGUUGUCUGGAGAAGGCGGGGCUGCCUCUUCAACAAGGUUCAAGUCAAAACGACGGUCGGAGGGGCCAAACAUUUUCAAAGGUGUUGAAGAGAGAAGAGGUCGGACAAAUCAAGAUCUUAGAAGUACAAGAAUAGAGCUUCUACUGGUGGAGAUUCAAGUGUGCUUUGGAACUUAAUGCCAGCCCUUAUAAAAAGCUGCACUCGACGGAGCUUCAGACAUCGAAGAGGCGCCUGCUCAGAAAUCGAAGAGGCAUUUGCUUUCUCAAAAGCUGGGCUGCUUAGAGACCACGAGGGUGAUCGCAUAAAUCGAAGAGGUGUUUGCUUUCUCAAAAGUUGGGCUGCUCAAAGACCACGAAAGCCGAUCUCAGAAAUCGAAGAGGCGCUCGCUUUCUCAAAAGCUGGGCUCCUCAGAGACCACGAGGGCCGAUCUCAGAAAUCGAAGAGGCACCUACUUUUCCAGCCUUGUCAGCACCUGUCACACGCACACUCAGCUUUGCGGAAAUUAUGGGUAUUCUGUCGAAGACUUCUGGGGAAGUAGAAAACACAUGAAUCUUACUGUCCAAUCACCCACUUCCCACACGCAACAAUAGCUCAUGGGUACCAUAUAUAACUUUGCCAAAGUUCUCUGCCAAAGUUGAGCACGUGAAGCUUGCAGCUCCUACUACAUCGCUCUGACCAAGAAGGGUAAAAGAAUAGCAAAGAAACAGCACUAACAAAGUUUAGACCCAUAAAUUUUGGAAGGUCUAGCUACCAUAUUAUUACCCACAAGGGUAAAGGAACAGUACCACUGCUGGAUAAUUGGAAAGUCCCUGUGUGUCAACCUCUGUGCCUCGUGGCAAGGUAGACUAGCAAACAUGCCCAACCAACCUUUUACUCACAUUCGAGAAAACACUCCCAAUAAGAUUGCUUGCUCCAAAAUCGAAGAGGCACCGUCCUCCGAAUCUCGAGAGCCAGACUCCCAACAUGACUACUUUCUCUCAAAAAUCGAAGAGAGGGUAAAGGAACAGUACCAUUGCUGGAUAAUUGGAAAGUCCCUGUGUGUCAACCUCUGUGCUUCGUGGCAAGGUAGACUAGCAAACAUGCCCAACCUUUACUCACAUUCGAGAAAACACUCCCAACAAGAUUGCUUGCUCCAAAAUCGAAGAGGCACCGCCCUCCGAAUCUCGAGAGCCAGACUCCCAACAUGAUAACUUUCUAAAAAAUCGAAGAGACACUGCUCCCCGAAUCUCGAAAGCCAGACCCCCAGCAUGAUUGCUUUCUCAAAAAUCGAAGAGGCAUCGUUCUCCGAAUCAAUCGAAGAGGCGUUCGCUUUCUCAAAAGCUGGGCUGCUCAGAGACCACGAGGGCCGAUCUCAGAAAUCGAAGAGGCACCUACUUUUCUAGCCUUGUCAGCACCUGUCACACGCACACUCAGCUUUGCGGAAAUUAUGGGCAUUCUGUCGAAGACUUCUGGUGAAGUAGAAAGCACAUGAAUCUUACUGUUCAAUCACCCACUUCCCACACGCAACAAUAGCUCAUGGGUACCACAGAUAACUUUGCCAAAGUUUCUGCCAAAGUUGAGCACGUGAAGCUUGCAGCUCCCACUACAUCGCUCUGACCAAGAAAGGUAAAAGAAUUGCAAAGAAACAGCACUAACAAAGUUUAGACACAUAAAUUUUGAAGGUCUAGCUACCAUAUUAUUACCCACAAGGGUAAAGGCACAGUACCACUGCUAGAUAAUUGGAAAGUCCCUGUGUGUCAACAAGAUUGCUUACUCCAACCUUUACUCACAUCCGAGAAAAUACUCCCAACAAGAUUGCUUACUCCAAAAUCGAAGAGGCACCGCCCUCCGAAUCUCGAGAGCCAGACUCCCAACAUGAUUACUUUCUCAAAAAUCGAAGAGACACUGCUCCCCGAAUCUCGAGAGCCAGACCCCCAGCAUGAUUGCUUUCUCAAAAAUUGAAGAAGCAUCGUUCUCCGAAUCUCGAGAGCCAGAUACCACAUACCACUUUUUCAAAGUGCUCUGACAGAGUUAAAACAUGUGAAGCUGGCAGCUCCCACUACCGUGCUAUGACCAAGCAGGGUAAAGGAAUAACAUUACUACUUGUUGUUAGGGAGACUCCUAUAUAUGUCGACCUCCAUCUCCAACGGACAAGCAGACCUGCAAAAAUGCUCAACCCUUCCUCAUAUCUGAGAGGGCACUCCCAACGAAGCCUUUCGAAAUAUUCAGCUUUCUUUCCCCCCGAUAAUACCUCUGCAAACAAGCUAUACUAGAGCAAGAAUAUCUCAUAUCAUCAAGGUUAAAAGCAAGAGUAUCCCAUAUCAUGCUUUUUCCCUGUCUUUUCAUUUGGCCUUGUUUUUACCUGUAAGAUAAGGAGAAAGAGAGCAAUCAGUCAGCACUUGAAAUCAAGCUCCCAGCCAGGAACUGACUGCCUGGAACCCCUUACCUGAUUACUUACCUGGCAUUGCUCUCGAGUACUCAUCUUCAACAUCUUAUGUUUCCAGGGAAGAUACCGCAUCUGCUUGAGGAACGGAUAGGGCAAGUGCGAAGGAUGCAAGGAAGCAUGUGGAGACAAGCGGAACAGCACACGUGCCGAUACAUCCAUUACUCUGUCAAAAGCAAAAGUAUCCCAUAUCAGCAGGGUCGAACGUACUCUAGAUUUGAUGGACUUGUUUUGACCCUCAAAUUCUUCAGUCGGCCUUAUACUCUGGAGGAAACCAGAAAACCUUCCAGCUCAGUUCAAGAAUAAGCCUGUGGAAAGUUACUUCUUCAAAAGCAAAAGUAUCCCAUAUCAUCUCUUCUCAUUUUUCUUCUCUUUAUCCUUCAUGCUGCUGCAAGAUGGGGAGAAGGUGAACAAUCAGCCGGAGCUCUGAUUGCUUACCUUGUCUGUCACCUCUUUCAGCAGAUCCUCUAGCUCGGCGACUUGGGGGACUCCUACUACAUGGUUUGUAUCGCGCUUGACCAAGCCUGAAACUACAAGUAAGCUUCAAGUGAAAUUGAUACAUUACCUUGUGCAUCUCCACCAGUUAAAGAUACCACCCCUGGAUGGAGGAAGAGUACUUCCAGAGAAGCUGCCACAUCUACCUAUGAGACAGAUAAGGCAAGUCAAGAUGAUACCACACUCCGAUACUUAGAAGUUUCGUGAUUACGAGAUCAUUCUCCCACAAUAUUUCCUAAUGUCAUUUGUACUCUAAUGUCAUUUGUACUAAAUCAUUCACUUGUACUCACUAAAGGAGAGCUUGAACCUAUGUACUUGUGUAAACCCUUCACAAUUAAUGAGAACUCUUCUAUUCCGUGGACGUAGCCAAUCUGGGUGAACCACGUACAUCUUGUGUUUGCUUUCCUAUCUCUAUCCAUUUAUAUACUUAUCCACACUAAUAACCGGAGCAAUAUAGCGAAGAUCACAAAAAGCGACCAUUUUCGCUACCUAGGAUCUAUCUUGCAAGAGAACGGAGAAUUAGAUGGAGAUCUCAACCAUAGAAUACGAGCUGGGUGGAUGAAGUGUAAGAGUGCAUCCGGCAUGUUGUGUGACCGUCGUAGGCCACUGAAUUUCAAGGGAAAAUUUUAUAGGACGGCAAUAAGGCCAGCGAUGUUGUAUGGCACAAAAUGUUGGGCGGUGAAACAUCAACACGUACACAAAAUGGGUGUAGCGGAGAUGAGGAUGCUUCGUGGGAUGUGUGGGCACACGAGAAAGGAUAAGAUUGAGAAUGAGGAUAUCCGAGGUAAAGUAGGAGUAGCCGAAAUUGAAGGAAAGAUGAGAGAAAAUCGGUUCCGGUGAUUUGGACAUGUGCAAAGAAGGCCGACUGACGCUCCGGUUCGAAGAUGUGACUACGGGACAGAGGUUCAGGGCCGAAGGGGUAGAGGAAGACCUAGGAAAACUUUGGAAGAGACUCUAAGAAAAGGCUUAGAGUACUUGGAUCUAACGGAGGACAUGACACAAAACCGAGCGCAAUGGCGUUCUAGGAUUCAUAUGGCCGACCCCACUUAGUGGGAAAAGGCUUUGUUGUUGUUGUUGUUGUUGUUGGAAGAACAUGUAUGAUGAUAUUUUAUACAAAAUGCAAAAAAAUUUUGGAAUUCCUAACAUGGCUAUACCAGAAGAAGAACUAAAAAAUUCUGUCUUAUUUGAAUUAGAAUUACUUUUUAACAAUGCUUCCAUAUCUUUGGACAAGUAUAAUUUGCCUGAUGAAAAUAAAAUGAUAGAAAUUAAAAACAAACUUUUAAGAGGAGUUAAAUUAUGAUUGUGAAGAAUUGUCCAAAAAGCAUGCAAUUUUAAAAUCACAACUUAACGAAGGUCAAAAAUAUGUAUAUGAUACUGUGAUAGAUAUUGUGGAUAGAAAAAAAGUCUUUUUUUUUGUAUAUGGUCAUGGAGGAACUGGAAAAACCUUUUUGUGGGAUACAAUUAUAUGUAAACUUAGAUCUGAAAGAAAAAUUGUUUUAGCUGUAGCUUCAUCAGAAAUAGCAUCAUUAUUAUUACCAGGUGGUAGAACAGCUCAUUCAAGAUUUAAAAUUCCAUUGAUUAUUACUGAUUCUUCAAUUUGUCCAAUAAAGAAAAAAAACACAUCUUGCUACAUUAAUUGAAAAAACUGAUUUAAUCAUAUGGGAUGAAGCACCUAUGAAUCAUAAAUAUUGUUUUGAAGCAUUAGAUAAAUCGCUUUCCGACAUUUUAUCACAUCUUCAAAAUUCAGAUAAGAAACUUCCAUUUGGUGGUAAACCUCUUUUACUAGGUGGUGAUUUUCGACAAAUACUACAUGUUUUACCUGGAGGAACCAAAGAAGAUAUAAUAAAUGCUUCCCUAAAUAGUUCUUAUUUGUGGUCCCAUUUUAAAAUUUUUCGUUUAAAAGAAAACAUGAGAUUGUCAAGAAAUGAUUUAAACAUUGAAGAAAAAAAGAAAAUCAGUGAUUUUGCAAAUUGGAUUUUACAAAUAGGUGAUGAAAAAAUUAACGAUGCAAAUCAUUCAAAUGACAGUGAUACAUCAUUUAUUCAAAUACCUGAAGAUUUAAUAGUUCAUCCUUCUAUAAACCCAAUUUCUUCAAUUUUUGAAGCAACUUAUCCUAAUUUUAAAAAUUUGUUUGACAAUUUUGUUUACUUAAGAGAACGAGUUAUUGUUACACCUCGGAAUACAACAGUAACAGAAAUAAACAAUUAUAUAACCAAUUUGUUACACCUCGGAAUACAACAGUAACAGAAAUAAACAAUUAUAAACAUUUUUAAGCUACGAUUCUUUGUGAUCCUCAAGUGGAAAUGUUGACAAUCUUGAAAUAAUGUAUCCUACAAAAAUUUUAAAUACGCUUGAUUUCAAUGGUUUACCUACACAUAAUUUAAUUUUAAAAAUAGGAAUGCCAAUUAUGUUGUUGCGAAAUUUAAAUCAAUCUUAUGGUUUAUGUAAUGGAACUAGAUUAAUUGUCACACAGUUAUUUCCUAGAAUUAUUGAAGCUAUGAUACUUACUGGAAAUAAUGUUGGUCACAAAGUAUUCAUACCGAGAAUCACUCUUACACAACAACUGAAAAACAAGUGGCCUUUCAUUUUUAAAAGACGUCAAGUUCCAGUGAGGCCAUGUUAUGCAAUGACCAUUAAUAAAAGUUAAGGGCAAUCUUUAAAACAAGUUGGACUAUAUCUUUCUGAACCUGUUUUCACUCAUGGUCAAUUAUAUGUUGCAUUGUUUAGAGUUACAUCAAGAGAAGGUUUAAAAUUUUUGAUCACAAAUGUAGAAAAUGAUGUGAACAACCAUACUCUAAAUAUAGUUUUCAAAGAUGUGCUACAAAAUUUAGAACAAAAUUCUUAAUUUUAUUAAUGGAUACAUAACGUUUUACUUAGUUUUAGAUCUUUUGUUUAAAUCAUUAGAUUUAUCAUUCAAAUAUGUAAUUUAAUUCUCUUUUCUGUUUCAACAGACGUUGGUCUCCAUUUUAUAUGGCUUUCGUCUGCAGCUUUCAAAAUCCUUCUACUUUACCAAGGUUUGCAACCUAUCCUAUCAUCAAUUUUUGUGGCUGUCAAAUCCAUUUUCACCCUUAGUUUUAAAUUUUGACUUUAAUCUCAUUAGCUUCAUUCUAAUUGAAUAAAUUUGUCUUAACGUACAGUUUUCUAUUGGAAAAAGAAUUGAUCUUUGAAUAAGAGUUGUAAUCUUCGUUACUAUGGCUAGACUAGCAGGUAAACACUCAAUCUUUUCCUAUCUGUGAAUGUUGAUUCCUGUUUAUUCAAGUUAGAUUAAUUCCUUUUUAUUUUCAAGCUUUCAAUGUUCUAAACUAUUUCACUUUUUAAAUUAUCAAAUGAUGUUUCAUGAUACUAACUCCUCUUACAAGACCAUUAUGAAUCCGACCAAAUAUAACAUUCUCAUUCCCUUUUCCCAACAUUUACAAUGGAACUUUUUUCCACAUUUUCCAAGUAUGUUCUACAUGUUUGUUGCCGCACAAGGUUUUGAUUUUCCAUGUUUUUUUUGGAUGACUUUUGUUAGUAUCUCAUGUGCUUUGGUUUUUUAUUUCAGAAAUUUUUUGUCCAUUUUGGAUUCACUUCGAACUUGACUGAGACCCAUCUAAUCCGACGGCUUCCAGGUGAGUUUUGCAUGUUUCAUGCGUUUGUUUUUCAGAUCGUUUGCUAACAUUUUACAUUUAAAUUCAAUGUUUACUAACAUUUCUCUUCAGAGGAAUCGCCUGUUACCAAUGUAGAUAAAAACUAUCUUCCUUUUGUUUGGUCUAAACACAUGACCAAUUACCUGGCUGAUCACCAAUCGGUUUAGUUGGAUAUCCAAGAGUAUCAAUCUUGAUAUCCCCACUAAAGAUAUACCCUCUCCACAUACCUUGCCAAUAAAGAAAUUGUUAAAUCUAUAUAUAAAUCACUUUCAUUACUUAUUGGUUAGAUUUAACAAUUCCCCUACCUCUAAGAUGUUUUUUGGCUUGGUUAAAACAUGUAGAAAGAGUAUGGGAGCAUCUCUAUUUAUACUUUUAGAUCUCCAUAAACUCCUCAGUGAACAAUCAACUUCAUUGGCCAUGUAUUUAUACCAAAUAAAAUAAGAAAAUCUUUAUCUACAAAUUGGUAACAGUCCAUUCCUCUAAAGAGAAAAGAUGGAAGUGAUAAUCAUUUGUCCAAAUCAUGGAAGUUGAAACAACUCAGCAAAUUAUAUCUCUACAUUACAUAGAGAUACCAAACCAAAUGUAUCUGAUCCAUCUUUCUACAACAUUCUUUUUUCGUUUUUGCAAAAACAAUGUUAUAGAACUAACUACCAAUUGACAGUAUUAGAUUACAUUUGACCAAAGAAACAAUAAUAUACUAUCGUUGUCAAUGAUAUCCAUUGUGAUUUGUGAGUAUCUUUAGGAGGAAGUGAGGAGAACAAAACACGUACAUUCUUCUUCUUUUUUCUUUCUAUGUGUUUUUGGCUGGAGCAUGUAAGGGACAGAUAAAGGAAGCAGAUUGAGCUGAAUGAUCUCGCUCACACAACAAUCAUAAUUGUAAGCUCAAGAGUAACUGUUUUUGUGUUACUUGCAUCUCUUAGUAAUUAGCAGUCCUUUCCUUUACAUUUGAUGAAAUCAUUUCUAUACACCUGUCAACUUCCUUUUUUAAUUUAUCAUUCUACCAAUUUUAUCUUAUUUCUUUUAACAUCUCUCACUUUUUUUCUCAUUCAAAUAUGCAUUACUGAAGCUUUGUUAUACAACUAGCCCCUUGCUUCUCUUGCCUACCAUCAUUUUCUACUAUUGGAAUAGAAAUUUAUACAUGUUUUAUAAACUUUUAAAACCCGCAGCAUCGCGCGGGUUCUAUUACUAGUUAUACCUAUAAUAAGACCAUCUCCAAAUAUUAAGAUAAAAAAUUUAGGUUUUAACUCAAAAAUAGUUUUUCAGUUCCAACCGUUAUGGGUUAAAUUUUUAACGAAAGAUUAUUAAGAAAUGAAAUUAAGCUAAAUUAUGUUCAUUAAGUAACCUUUUAAAAAAUAAAAAUUAUGUAGAUUAUUCUAAUUUCAUAAACAUUUUAACCGAAAAAUAAUUAGAAUUAGACUCCAAUAUAUAAUGAAAAAACACUAAAUUAAUUAUUUUCUCUAAACAAAGCAUUGUAUGUUGAUUUAAUUUUAGACUGUUAAAUCUCUUUUUUUUUUACAGUUAAAUAUAUCAUAUUCGACCUUAUUCGUUAGAUUUAAUGUAUUUAUAAAUUUAAAAUUAAAAUUAAUAAUUUUGAAUCAAGACCGUCCAGAUCAAUGUAAUGCAAUUGAGAUUGCACAUGGGUGGCUGACAACCCAUCAGGUCCCCUUUUUCUUCUGGCGAGUUUCCUUCCUUUCAGUGAGUCAAUAAUGCACGUCAAUCAUACGCGUUUCCAUACUUUUUUGGUACACGCGUCCGCCAUCUAUUUCCUUUUUCUUCGUUGAUGUGCCGAAACUGCCCUCUAGCUGGAUCUCCGGAAUUCCAGAAGGAUCCUUUCCGGAUCUGGAUGAUGAAAAUUCUUAAAUCAUGUAUGUUCAUCGUAUAUCUAAUACUAUUUAUAUUUAAUAUAAAAUAAAUAUUUAAAAUAAUUUCUGAAAGUCCGAUUUACAAUUAAUAGACACAACCUGAAGAUUCUCAGGAUCCUCACAUAGAGAAUCCUCAUUCUCCGGAAUUGGGUUAAUGGUUCUGUGUUCUUCUUGAUAAUUCCUCUCUCAUCAUUGCACCCCUCCCACUAAUUCCUCUCUCCCACGCCUCUCACUCGAUCUCUCAUUACACUCAAGACUCCUCCAUCUUCCAAUACUGUCACUCUCUCUCAUCCCUCACAAACUCCUCCCAUCUGUCCCCCUCUGCAACUCUCCUUCUCCCUCUCGGCAAAACCCACCGUAUCACCUCCAAACACCAUCCAAACUCACCCAAAAAUCAAAGCGGUCAAGGCGGUGGAGAAGUGGGUUAAUGGUUCUGUGUUCUUCUUGAUAAUUGUAUGUGUUUAUGUCCUCAUGAUAUUAUGAGAUAUCAUGGGAUUGUUUGUGAUCCCAUUAAAUACAUCGCAAUAAGGAUAAUAAUUUUUUUUUUUUUAUGAGGGAUAAUGGUUCUAUUUUUUUAUGGUGAAUUGUCGAGUGUUGUGCACGUAUUCAAUUCAGAAUUUAAAAGAUUUUAAUGGAUUUUAUAAAUUCAAGAAUUUUUAUGUAGUUUAAUUGAAGAGUUUUUUUUUUUAUAAAUUUUGAUUUAAUUUUUUAAAUUUUUUAUAGAAGAUGUGAGAUUUAUAAAUGCUUAAAAUUCUCUCAAAUGUUCUAUAAUUUCUUAACUUUUUCAGUUCUUUAAAAUAAAUUUCUCAAUUUGUAAUUGAAUACGCUUAGAAAGUAUAAAUUUCAUUAAAAUUCUAAUUGAAUACAAUCGAAUUUUAAUAACUUAUCAUAAAAUCAUGAUUGAAUAUGUUGAAUUUUAUACAAUUACUUUAAAUUUUAAUUGAAUACCCUUAAAUUACGUAUUUGAUCGUUCUCUAAUCAAGAUAAUCUAAUGUGAAGAACGAAGCACAAUCCGUUGAAAAAAAUGUUCUCAAAUUCGAUUUUUUCCUCAAUGGUUUCAAUUAAUUAAUAUUUUACGUUAAUAGUUACCAAUCUAUUUGUCCUGAGAUAUUUCAACUUUUCUGAUAUAAAUUUAACAAUACAAUUUUAUCAACUUUUUGAUAAUUCUUAACUCACUUGGUGAUUAAGUUGUUUAGAAGUGUUUUCACCAUGUUUUUAUAAAAAAAAUUCAAAUUCUAAAUUUUAAUUCAUCUUAGCUAACAAUUGAAAAUUAUAAAGAUAUUUGAAAAGUAAAAGAAUUUUCAUGUUAAGUAUAUGAUAGUGUUGUUCCACCAUGAUUAGUUUUAGUAAAUAAGAUAUAUAUUUAAUCUGCUUUAAUUUGUAUUUGUAUUUAAUAGAAAUAAUUGUUUGAUAAAUGUGAAUAUAUUGUCUGCAUGCUUAAUAACAAAUUAUUUGCUUUUUUUGGGUGCCAGCUGUUCUCAACUCCAUUGAUUGUGACACACAACAACAAUUUGCGAUGUGCUCCAAAUAUUUGCAAAUUCAAGAACACUGAAGCAAAUUAUUCUCUCCAUAGUGCUCAAGCCGAUGACAGCCGGCAUGCUAUUGCUAUUUUACAACAAAACAUUAUUUAAACUAUUUUUUUAAAAAAUAAACAAGGUGAUUGCUAGUGUUGUAGUGUAACACUAAUUUGGGAAUUUCACAUUUUCUCCUUCUUUGAUUUAUUUUUUCACUCAUCAUUCCUUUCAUCAGAUAUGCUUUUCAGCAUUAUUACAGGUUUCAGUUUUUUUGAAACUCAUGGAUAAUUUUUAUUUUAUUUUUAAAAAGAUUUAUUCUAGAGGUCGGAAAGAUUUAUAGAGACAUUUCAGUUUCUCUCUAACCACAGUUAAGCAGCACAGUCAAGCAAACUCACUAGCUAUAUUUGUUGAUGCAAUGAGUGACUUUUUAGUUUUCUUAGCUUAGUGAAUAUGUUAUUUAUUGCAUUCUCUGCCUUUUAAAAAAAAUUGUUUUCUUAUGAAUUAAUAAUAAAUAAAAAUAUGAGAACACAAAUUUAGGAAACAAGAGUGUAAGCAUACAACCGAUAUUAUUAAUUGUACGUAAACAUUGAUUAAAAAAGCUUCUUAUGAAUUAAUAAUAAAUAAAAAUUUGAGAACACAAAUUUUGGAAACAACGAGUGUAAGCAUACAACCGAUGGUAUUAAUUGUAUGUAAAAAUUGAUUAAAAAAGCUAUGAAUGUAUCAAUACAUUUUAUGACUCACCAACUUUUACCAAAUCAAUAACUUACAACUAAGAAUGUGAGUAAAUUUUGGUAUAAGUGUUAUACAAGUGUUGUUUUAUAAAAAUUGUACGCAAGUCUAUUCUGCUCGAGAUUAUAACAUGAAAAAUACAUAUGUGGAGUUUGUUUUGUUUAAAUUUGGGAGUUUUGUGAUUUUGAGAUUUAUAAAUAUCAUAAUUUUAAUCCGUGAAUUUUUUUAAUUCAGAUUAUUUUAUACAUUCUGAUGAGAGAGUGAGUUGAAAUUGCGAUUUGUUUUUGUCAUUGUAUAUAGGCAGAAGUUGGUUCAAAGUUGAAUUAACAGUUAUAUCUUUUCCAAUUCAAUGUUUGUAGAUAAUAACGAUGCACUCAUUCAAAGUUCUCUAUCUAGCUAAGAAUGUUGGUAGUGGUGAAGUCCUACUGAAUUGCUGAAAAAAAGGUCCUCUCCAAUUGGUUUGAACCAAACUCCAAUCCAAAAAUAAUAAUAAUAAUAAAAUAACACUAGGUAACCACACUCUAUCCUUAUUUUCUUUGUAGUAUAUUUCUGUUGUCAUAUAAAUUUGCUUCAUUUAGCUUUAGGGUACGCAUGUUAACUUAGAAGAAGAAGAUAAAACUUAAUGCUUUUAGAUUUCUCAGUUCCUUUUGCUUUUAGAUAGAAAAUUGCAAUUGUAUCCAGCAGAACUUUACAAGAAAAAAAGAAGAAAUUAUUACGUUCUCUCUCUUCUUACUUCAUUAGCUUAUUCUCAAUUUACAGAACAACCGUUUUGAAUUGGUGCUCUAACGAACGUAUAUAUUGAAGAGCAAUUCACUUCAUCCAUAACCAACAGAGCUAAGGGUACGUUCUUUAAUUAUAACCAUAUUUGAUUUAAGUUUGAAUCUUGGAUCUCAUUUAUGGUAAUUUGGUGGUUGUCUUCAUAUUUGAUUUGAUUUGAUUUAGGGGCUUUUCACAUGUAAUUAGGCCCUUAAUAACAUGGAAAAAUGCUCCGGAUUCAAUAGUUUGUAGAAUCGAUUUACUUUAUAACACUAAAGAAAUUUUACAAAUAAGAAUCAAUUGGAACAUGACAAGUGGAUAGAUGAGGGUGUCGGAAUCGGGAUAUGGGCUAGUGUAGCUUAUAAUUUAGGGUUUAGGACUCGGCCUUUGGACGGAGUCCUAAACUUGUUAUCGCUUAACCCUAGGUCAUAAAAAUUAACCCUAUGUUUUUUUAUAAAAUAAAAUUAAAAAAAAAAUCAACAAUCGUGAGUUUUUUGGUAAACAGUGGGGCAUUUGGUUUGCUUCUAAAUUUGGUGCCAUGCAAGCUUGUACUUUUUAGUCAGUGUGUUGAUUAUUUAUCGUGUUUAUGUUAAAUCUGCAAUAGUUCAGUGUACAUACGUGAUGUAAUCUUGAAAAAGAAUGAAGAAAAUCAGAGAAAUUUAGAGAUGAAAUGCUUGGGCUAAUAGUAGCAGCUCAGCAUCCUUCAUGCAUUCUUAUCUCUUCCCCUUCACUACCAAACAAAGACCAUUACUCUGAGCCCUUCAAUCUAAAAAAUUAAUUUGGUGCAUACACUUGUUUACUGAAACCAAGUCCACACCUAGUUCACUAACAACAAAGUCAACACCAGCAGCUACAUAACACUAGCCUUAUGGAAUUCAAGCAAACAAACACAAACAAAUUUCUUGUGUUCCAAGUUGUAGGAUCAAAACCAAAUCUCAUUUAGCUCCAACAUUCCCUUCUAAAUGGAUUAUGCUUUGACUCCAAGCAGUCUUCUCAGGUAAACAAAUUUGUGUUUAGGCAGAGUUUUGCUGAAAAUAUUUGCAGUCUGAUCUUUAGACUUGCAGUACAACAACUCAAUUGUGUUUUCCAACAAUGCCUCUAUGAUGAAAUGAAAUUUUCUUUUAAUGUGUUCAGUCCUUUGAUGGAACACAUGGUUUUUACUCCUGGUUAUUGCAGAGUUGUUGUCACACAUGAACUGAGUGGCAUCCAAUUGCAUUUCCUAAAAAUCCUUCAAAACAAAUCUUAGCCAUAUAGCUUGAAAUGUUGCCUCAACAACACUCGCAUACUCAACUUCUGCGUUGGAUAGUGCAAAACUUUGUUGCUUGACUGAAGCCCAAGAAAAUAUCCCAUAUCCAAAUGUAAAGGCAUAGUCUGAGAUACUUCUUAUAUCAUCCUCACUUCCACCCGUCACUAUUAUAGAAGCCAAUUAGAUCUGCAUUUUCACUUUAUAUACUUGAAACAAAAAUCCAAGGUUAAUGAGAGGUGUCCGAGGACCUUUUUUUUGCAGUUUCCAUGUGAAUCUUUGUUAUACUAUGCAUAAAUCUUGAUAAUAGGUUUGCUACAAACAUGAUAUCAAGUCUUGUUGCUGUCAAAUAGAGUGAAAAUGCAAUUGGAUGCCAUCAUUUUUACACUUUCAUUUGUAAUCAAUGGGGUACAAAAUCUCUGUUUGUAGCAAUUGGACCUUUUUUUUGCAGUUUCCAUGUGAAUCUUUGUUAUACUAUGCAUAAAUCUUGAUAAUAGGUUUGCUACAAACAUGAUGGAACUAAAGUUGCUGAGAAAAGUUGAAUUUACAUCCAACAGAUACAAUUUCCAACCUUUAUGUGUGGCCAAAGCAAUUAAAGUCCUAAUAGUGUCCAACCUUGCCAUGUGCAAUUGGACCUUUUUUUUGCAGUUUCCAUGUGAAUCUUUGUUAUACUAUGCAUAAAUCUUGAUAAUAGGUUUGCUACAAACAUGAUGGAACUAAAGUUGCUGAGAAAAGUUGAAUUUACAUCCAACAGAUACAAUUUCCAACCUUUAUGUGUGGCCAAAGCAAUUAAAGUCCUAAUAGUGUCCAACCUUGCCAUUGGAGCAAACGUUUCAUUGAAAUUCACUCCAGGUUGUUGGAAAUAACCCUUAGCAACUAGUCUUGCCUUGUUCUUUUGUACAAAGCCAUCUAGAUUCAGUUUCUUCUUAUAGACGCAUUUCACACCUAUCACUAGUUUGUCCCUUGGUCUAUUCACAAGUUCCCAAGUUGAGUUUUUCUCAAUCAUAAAAUUCCAUCACUCAUUGCCUUCUGCUAAGAUUGGUCAUUCUCAGCUUCUUAAAGGCUUUCAGGUUCCAUUAUACGAUAGUUGCAGGUUGCAUAAAUCUCACUCAACCUCCUCAUUCUUAAUGAUGUUGAUCCUAAGGAAGAGUCUUGCACUUCUGGGUCCUCUGGUGUUGAACUUAAACGUUGGAGAGACUAAAUUUUAAAUACAAUUUGACUCUCAGUUUGUGUUUCACAUUCCACUUCAUCAAGUCGAAGUGGUACUAAGAUGAUAUCUUCAACCGUUUUAUCCCAACUCCUAACAGCUUCUUUAUUAAAUAUAACAUCCCUCAAAAUAAUCAUCUUGUAAGUUUUAAGACUGAAAAAUCUAUACCCUUUCUCUUAACUCCUAUAUCCCAUAUAGAUGCAUUUGGUGGUGUUGUCUUCAAGUUUGUGUCUCAAUUGUGUUGGCAUUUGUGCAUAACAAAAAGAACACCUUUGGAUGCUUCACACCAAGUUUCCUGCCACUAAAUGCUUCAAAAGGAUUCAUUUUAUCAAGUGUCUUUAUUGGACAUAUGUUGAGAAGAUAGACUGCAGUUUUAACUGCCUCACUCCAAAAUUAAUGUGGCAUCUUCUUUUCAAGCAACAUGGAUUUUUCCAUUUCAAGCCGUCUUAUUUUUCCUUUCUGUAAUACCAUUCUACUGUGAUGAGUAAGCAACAAUUAGUUGUUUUGUAGUCCUAUAUCCUCACAUAACUCCUUGAACUUGAAUCACUUCUAAGCUUUUUUAUUUUUAGUCCACGUUGUAGUUCAACCAUUGCUUUGAACUUUUUGAAAACAAAAACAUUACUCUUACCACAUAAUUUUACCAUCAUUUGUAUCAUCUCCUAAUAGAGAUGAGAACCAAAUGUGUUAGUGAGCACUACUUUAUUAAAGAGAGAUUACAAAUAUGUAUUAACUGUAGCAUUACUCUUUGGACAAUAGAGAACACUUUUGCCUUGUUUCUCACACCCAAACCAUUCUUGUGCAGUCAUUUAUGAACAAUAAGAAAUAUCAGUUUUCAUUGAGUGGUGGUGUUUGCAUUGGACCACGAACAUCAAUGUGGAUGAGCUCUAAGGGUAUAUUCAUCAGUGUAUUCUUGCUUUACCUGUGGAGUAGGUUUCUUAUGCCACUUCUUGCCCUUUCUUUUCUACAUUUUUUCUAGUUUCAGUUACUCCUUUGAGGGCUAUAGUUACUCUCCCUGCCAUGUAUACUAAGACUAGCAAAUGCCUUCUUUGCCGAGUUUUCAGAGUGCCUAUUUGAUCUUUGUUCAUUGCCCUUCAAGGUAUCUAUCAUCUCUUCAACCCCAACAAUGUCAAGAUCUUUGGUUUCCUCUAUAAUGGAUGCAAUAGAGUCAUAGGUCCUAGGCAAGCUAAUUAAAAUUUAUGCACUAGUUUUUUAGUUCAUAGUAGAAGCUAAUUAAAAUUUAUGCACUAGUCUCAAAAUUCCUGUUGCAAGACAUCCCAAGUAGGCUUGGAUGUAUUCCAGUUUGAGAUUCGAGGAAAUAUUUCACCUGAGUCUGCUCGCUGGAUGAUACUGAGAGCUUUUGCAUCUCUAGUUUCAUUUUCUUUCAUUGCAAUCCUCUUCACUGAUAGAUGUUCAUCAUCACCCGAGUCAUCCUCCAUAUCUGGGUUUUCAGACCCCUUUUCCACAAGAGAGAUCGUGAGACUUGAAUAUAGUCUUCAUUUUAAUGAACCAAAAAUUGUAGUUAGACCCAUUAAAGAUUGGAGCCCUUAAGACUCCACCACUUUCGAACCAGCCAUGUGAGACUUUGAAUCGAAAGUUAGGGUUCUUCGAGACUUGCGUUUUGUUUCCCCGUUUCUUCUUCACAAAUUCAAGAAACGAAACACCCAAACAUAAUGAUCAGAGCCUGAGCUUUGAGACUGUAGAUGCACAAAAUCAGUGAAGACUUUGGUACAACAGAAAGUGUCAGGUUUUGUGACAUUCGCUUGGUUGCUUCGGUCACUAGUAAGGAUAAGUAUGUAAAUGAAUAGAGACAGAGAAGCAAACACAAGAUAUACGUGGUUCACCCAGAUUGGCUACGUCCACGGAGUAGAGGAGUUCUCAUUAAUUGUGAAGGGUUUACACAAAUACAUAGGUUUAAGCCCUUCUUUUGUGAGUUCUAGUGAAUAGUUUAGUACAAAAUGACAUUAGAGAUUAUUGUGGGAGAAUGAUCCCUAUUUAUAAAAGAGAGUUUCUAGUUUUGUUCUGACAUUGACACGUGUCGUGUUGUGAUUGGCUUCUGAUGUUGACACGUGUCGCGCUGUGAUUGGCUUCUGAUGUCGACACAUGUCGCAUUGUGAUUGGCCUCCUGGUUGAAGGGAAACUCUUCUAGGUCCUUGACGGUAUAACGUUGACUGGUGCUCAGUAGUUUCGGGAUUGGUUAACUAUGGUACAAACAGUGCUCCCUUAAGUUCCUGAGUGAGGGAAACUCAUCGGUUGGGGACUUGCAAGAUCCAAGCCAUUGAGUAAUCACGAAACUUCUAAGUACUGAAGUGUGGUAUCAUUCUCACUUACCUUAUCUGUCUCAUAUGUAGAUGUGGCAUCUUCUCUGGAAGUACUUUUCCUCCAUCAAGGGGUAAUAUCUUUAACUGAUGAAGAUGCAUAAGGUAAUGUAUCAAUUUCACUUGAGGCUUACUUGUAGUUUCGGGCUUGGUCAAGUGCGAUACAAACCCUAUAGUAGGAGUCCCCCAAGUCGCCGAGCUAGGAGAUUUGUCGAAUGAGGUAACAGACAAGGUAAGCAAUCAGACUUCUAAGCAAGCAACCUGGAUCGGAGGUUCGACUUCGGCUUCAUGUUGAUUGUUCUCUUUCUCUUUGUGUCGUAAAUAGCACUAAGGAUAAGGAGAAGCAAAUGGAGAAGAGAUGAUAUGAAAUACUUUGCUUUUGAAGAAGUAACUUUCCAUAGGCUUAUUCUUGAACUAGGUUGGAGGGUUUUCUGGUUCCCUCCAGAGUAUAAGGCCGACUCAAGAAUUUGAGGGUCAAAACAAGUCCAUCAAAUCUAGAGUACGUUCGACCUUGAUGAUAUGGGAUACUUUUACUGUUGACAGAAUAGUGAAUGUGGUAUGGAAAUGUGUCGUGCUGUAGUGAUAUGUUUCAGCUCAUCGUUGAAUCUUCUGCUUCAAUCUUUUGCAUGGCAGAAGUGGUGUGCAACCUUUGCAUUUAAAUGGUCAUUCAGAACAUUCCUUCAUAGUGACUCAUCCACGCUUGGCAGCUUCAGUGUAAAGAGCCAAUAUCUGAUCAACUGUCAUGAGGUAUUUGCCGAAGGAAUUCAUGACCUUGACAGCAGUUGAGGAUGAGUACUCGAGAGCAAUGCUAAAUAAGCAACCAGGCAAAGGUCCCAGGCAGUCAGUUCCAGAUUGGAGGUUUGAUUUCAGGUUCCGACUGACUGCUCUCUUUCUCCUUAUCCUGCAGGUGUGGACAAGGACAAAGACAAAGACAUGGAGAAAACAUGAUAUGGGAUACUCUUGCUUUCGACCCUGAUGAUAUGAGAUAUUCUUGCUCUGGUGUAGCUUGUUUGCAAAGGCAUUAUUGGGGGGAAAGAAAGCUGAGUAUUUCGAGAGACUUCGUUGGGAGUGCCCUCUCAGAUAUGAGGAAGGGUUGAGCAUUUUUGCAGGUUUGCCUGUCCGUUGAGGAUGGAGGUCGACAUAUAUAGGAGUUUCCCGAACAACAAGUAGUAAUGUUAUUCCUUUACCCUGCUUGGUCAUAGCACAAUAGUGGGAGCUGCCAGAUUCACGUGUGUCAGAGCACUUUGAAAAAGUGGUCUGUGGUAUCUGGAAAGCUGAUGUUGCGUGUGAAGAUUACAGACAAGCUUUAUCCAAGAAGAUCUGGCUCUCAAAGUUGAGAAAGCGGUGCCUCUUCGGUUUUCGAAUAGGCAAUCAUGUCGGGGAUCUGGCUCUCGAGAUUCGGAGAACGGUGCCUCUUCGAUUUUUGAGAAAGCAAUCCUGCUGGGAGUCUGGCUCUCGAGAUUCGAAGAGCGGUGUCUCUUCGAAUUUUGAGAAAGUAAUCAUGUUGGGAGUCUGGCUCUCAAGAUUUGGAGGACGGUGCCUCUUCGAUUUUGGAGCAAGCAAUCUUGUUGGGAGUGUUUUCUCGAAUGUGAGUAAAGGUUGGGCAUGUUUGCUAGUCUACCUUGCCACGGAGCACAGAGGUUGACACACAGGGACUUUCCAAUUAUCCGGCGGUGGUGCUGUUCCUUUACCCUUGUGGGUAAUAAUAUGGUAGCUAGACCUUCAAAAUUUAUGUGUCUAAACUUUGUUAGUGUUAUUUCUUUGCUAUUCUUUUACCCUUCUUGGUCAUAGCGAUGUAGUAGGAGCUGCAAGCUUCACGUGUCUAAACUUUGUCAGAGAUCUUUGGCAAAGUUAUCUGUGGUACCUCUGAGCUGAUGGUGCGUGUGGAAAGUGGAUGAUUGAACAAUAAGAUUCACGUGCUUUCUACUUCACCAGAAAUCUUCAACAGAAUGCCCGUAAUUUCAGCAAAGUUGAGUGUGCAUGUGACAGGUGCUGAUAAGGCUGAAAAAGCAGAUGCCUCUUCGAUUUCUGAGAUCUGCCCUCGUGGUCUCUGAGCAGCCCAACUUUUGAGAAAACAAUCGCCUCUUCGAUUUCUGAGAUCGGCCAUCGUGGUCUAUGAGCAGCCCAGCUUUUGAGAAAGCAAACGCCUCUUCGAUUUCUGAAACUCCGUUGAGUGCAGAUUUUUAUAGAGGUUGGCAUUAAGUUCCAAAUCACACUUGAAUCUUAACCAAUAAAAGCUAUCUUCUUGCACUUCUAAGAUCUUGAUUUGUACGACCUCUUCUCUCUUCAACACCUUUGAAAAUGUCUGGCCCCUCCGGCAGUGGUGUUGUUCCUUUACCCUUGUGGGUAAUAAUAUGGUAGCUAGACCUUCAAAAUUUAUGUGUAUAAACUUUGUUAGUGUUAUUUCUUUGCUAUUCUUUUACCCUUCUUGGUCAUAACGAUGUAGUGGGAGCUGCAAGCUUCACAUGUCUAAACUUUGUCAGAGAUCUUUGGCAAAGUUAUCUGUGGUACCCCUGAGCUGAUGGUGCGUGUGGAAAGUGGAUGAUUGAACAAUAAGAUUCACGUGCUUUCUACUUCACCAGAAAUCUUCAACAGAAUGCCCGUAAUUUCAGCAAAGCUGAGUGUGCAUGUGACAGGUGCUGAUAAGGCUGAAAAAGCAGGUGCCUCUUCGAUUUCUGAGAUCUGCCCUCGUGGUCUCUGAGCAGCCCAGCUUUUGAGAAAACAAUCGCCUCUUCGAUUUCUGAGAUCGGCCCUCGUGGUCUCUGAGUAGCCCAGCUUUUGAGAAAGUAAACGCCUCUUCGAUUUCUGAAGCUCCGUUGAGUGCAGAUUUUUAUAGAGGUUGGCAUUAAGUUCCAAAGCACACUUGAAUCUUAACCAAUAGAAGCUCUCUUCUUGCACUUCUAAGAUCUUGAUUUGUCCGAUCUCUUCUCUCUUCAACACCUUUGAAAAUGUCUGGCCCCUCCGACCGUCGUUUUGACUUGAACCUUGUUGAAGAGGCAGCCAUGCCUUCUCCAGACAACAUAUGGCGCCCAUCCUUCUUAUCCCCUACUGGUCCUCUUAACGUUGGGGAUUCCGCGAUGAAGAAUGAUAUGACUGCUGCGGUGGUAGCCAGGAACCUUCUCACUCCCAAAGAUAACAGACUACUUUCCAAACGGCUGAUGAGUAAGCUGUUAAGGAUUCUCUGGCUCUAAGUGUUCAGUGUGCAGGUUUUGUGUCUAAUAUGGCCCAACACCUAUUUGCUCGAACCCGCCAAGUUGAAUAAUUGGUUGCUGAAGUGAUGGUCUCAAACAGGAGAUUAGAGGGCUCAAGCAUGAGAAUAAAUAGUUGCACCGGCUCGCACAUGACUAUGCUACAAACAUGAAGAGGAAGCUUGACCAGAUGAAGGAAUCUGAUAGUCAGGUUUUACUUGAUCAUCAGCGGUUUGUGGGUUUGUUCCAAAGGCAUUUAUUGCCUUUGUCUUCUGGGGCUGUACCGCGUAAUGAAGCUCCAAAUGAUCAACCUCUGAUGCCUUCUCCUUCUGGGGUUCUGUCCAGUACUAAGGCUCCGGAUAACCACCCUCUGGUGCUUUCUCUUUCUGGGGCUCUACCGACUGCUGAGACUUUCCCUAAGCAACCUUUGGGAAGGCUCCAUCUUGUUUGUUUAUUUUGACUCAUGUAUAUGUACAUAUUUGUAGCUUAUAAAUAUUAAUAAAUAAGCUUUGCUUCAUUUCAACGUAUUGUGUUAAAUACACCAAAGCCUUCUUCAGAAAGUUCUCUGAAUUUUUUCUUUUGUUGAAACUUGUAUUGUUGAAGCUUUGUGAGUGAAGCAUGUAGUUUAAGGUAGUGUUCCCUUAAUUUCCCGAGUGAGGAAAACUUCUCGGUUGGAGACUUGAAAAAUCCAAGUCACUGAGUGGUUGUGAGACUUCCGAGUAUCAAGGUGCAGUAGCAUAUGGUGGGAGUCCCCCAAGUCUUCAGGCGAGGAGAGUUGCCGAAUGAGGUGUCUUGCUUGCUACUAAUUUGUCAAAGUAACGAAGCCUUGUUUUGAUGUCACACCUUCAUAUAUGCCUUAUCCAAAAAUAUUUCAAGCUGGUUUUAGCUUUGUGAGGGCCCAAAAUUUUUGUGUAGACCAAAACUGCUCAUUUGUUUUCAAGCCCACGAAAAGAGGGGAUCCAGUGCCUUUGUUCAUUUUUUCUUUUGCUUUGCCUUUUCCUUUCUUUGCUGGAAAGGUUUUCUUUUCCACUAAAAAUCUGAAUUACUCCAAAGCCAUCUUGAAGGAAAUGUGGGUGUUGGAGCCAAGGAAGUGAAGGAGGGAGUAAAUGUAGAGGGAGCGGUAGCUCUUCAAUAUAACACCAUUCUCUGUAGCUCAAAUCACAAGGUUGUCUUCAUGAAAAUUGUUCCUUAGCUUGUGAACUACAACAUAUCCAAAUUUGAGAUCCAUCGGAGUAGUACAACUCCAGAUAUUCAGGUAUGAUGAGUGACUGGUCAUCAUUUUUCUGUUAACCCGUCAGACUUAUUGUGAGCUUCAAAACUUCAUUUUCUCUUGUUCAGAUCAACAUACUUUCUUCAUCGAAGUUGUUCCUCAUCAUCUCUUCCAUAACAUAUCAAAAAUUUAGAACAAACUAACAGUUGAAUAUUUCCAGAUCUUCGAAACACCGCAGCAGCUUUGAAGCUUGCAGAAAUCUGACCGUCAUGUUUGGGGCUUCAACACUCUAACUUCCGUCGCUCAAAUAGAAACAUUUCCUUCGUGAACGUUGUUCAUCUGCUCAAGAACUAUAAGAUGUCCAAAAUUCAGCUCCACUGAGGAAGAGCAGGAGUUGCAGAAAUUUGAUAGAUGGAAAGAGGCGGAUGAGGGAAAGGGAGAAAAAGGUUGCUUGGGUUGGAUUUUAUAUAAUUGUAUGUCUGUUUAUGAUAGGGAUAUUGCGGAUGUAAAACAAAAAAUGUUUGUGUUUACUCAUGUGUUGUUGUACAAGUUCAAGAGAAUCUUGGUUUUGUGAACAAAAUUUGUUUAUUUGCCACAAGGUUUUGUGUUUGGAAAAUAGUUUAAUAGGUAAGGUUUAUUGACUAUAGAUUUUUGCUUGGGUAUAUAGCGUGACUAGGUGAAGCUAUUUUUAGGACACAAAACUUGAAUUAGCUUCGCACUAUCUUGAUGAAAAGUGUGUGAAGCUUUUAUAUGUUUUGGUGUUGAAAUUUUGUAUUGUAGAUGAAGCUUUGGGGUUGAAGCUUGAUAGGUGAAGCUUUGGGGUUGAAGCUUUAUAGGUGAAGCUUUGGUCUUGAAGGGUUGAAGCUUUAUAGGUGAAGCUUUUGGUGUUAAAGCUUUAUAAGUGAAGCUUUGGGGUUGAAGCUUUAUAGGUGAAGCUUUAUAGGUGAAGCUUUUGUUGGCACCAUAGAUUGAUUUUGCUUCACACUAUCUUGAUGAAGAUAGUGCGAAGCUUUUGAGAUUGAGAUGUGUCCUCCAUUGAUAAAGCUUUUGUCGGUGUGUCUCCGGUAUACCAUGGUGGACUCAAAGAGAUUAAGGUGUUCAAUCGGGUCUUCCCUUCCAGUAUAGAGUUGUAAGUCAAGUUUCUACUUUGUCUUCGCUUAGAGGGGGGUGUUGAUGAUCCUUCUUGUGAGGGGGCCAGGCCUGGGUGGGUUCCAGUCAGGUAUCUCGGCUUAACGUUCAACCUUCAACUUGUUUACUUCCUCCAAGAGUUGUAGGACAAGGGGAUCCUGAAUGGAGUCGUGCACCACUGAAGUUUUCUUUCAUAAGUCCCCAUCGCCUCUUGGAAGUAGGAAAGUUUGAUCAAGAUAACGUGAUUUUUCCUUGGACUCGCCACACUGACUCCUAGAGUGAGUAUGUCGGAAUAUUUCCGAGUCCCCUGUACCUUCAUGUUCUUCUGGGACUUGUUGCCCAUUCCCUAGAUUGGCUGCUGGCCUGGGUCGUGGAAGAGGACCGAGUCUUUCAGAAAUUCUUGGGUCAUUGAUCUUCGAGCUUAUGUGGAUGAGAUUCUCUCGACGUUGCUUUAGGAAGUCUCGAUAAUCGCGAUAGACGGCUUUUGAUCCUUCCACUCCCUCUGUGAGGAGGUGUUUUCCUCUACUUCUUCUGCUUCGGGUUGAAGCAGCUGGGUUGAGAGAAGUCUCAUGUUGAUUAUCACAUUGAUGUGUAGCUCGAUCCCUGUCAGGGAUGUCCGUGUUGGAUAUCGGUAACCCUCCGUGUUGGGGGGCAUUUAGAUGAUUGUUGACCUCAACAGGGGCGACGAGCUUGUGUGUUUGAGCAUGCCUAGCCUCGUGAAGCAUCUCGAAAAGUUUUUCAUAUUGUUCCUGGAGGACCUCAUUCUUCAUCACUAUCUUGUUGUUCUGAACCUCUAGCUCAUCGACUUUAGCUUGAAGAGUAACUCUAUUUUUUUCCUGCUUUCGUUGCUUCAUACUAGGUCCAAGGGGGGUGUCAUUUUGUGUGCUAUGGCUUCUUUCGCUCCCCAUGUCGGAGAGAUGCUUGGCCAAAAGAAAGUGUACGAGCGGUGGAAACCAGCUUGACAAAGCUGAAGAGAGUGGGAAUAAGUGUCGUUCCCACAGACGGUGCCAAAUGUUGAUGCACAAAAUCAGUGAAGACUUUGGUACAACAGAAAGUGUCAGGUUUUGUGACCUUCGCUUGGUUGCUUCGGUCACUAGUGAGGAUAAGUAUGUAAAUGAAUAGAGACAGAGAAGCAAACACAAGAUAUACAUGGUUCACCCAGAUUGGCUACGUCCACGGAGUAGAGGAGUUCUCAUUAAUUGUGAAGGGUUUACACAAAUACAUAGGUUCAAGAUCUCCUUUUGUGAGUUCUAGUGAAUAGUUUAGUACAAAAUGACAUUAGAGAUUAUUGUGGGAGAAUGAUCCCUAUUUAUAGAAGAGAGUUUCUAGUUUUGUUCUGACAUUGACACGUGUCGUGUUGUGAUUGGCUUCUGAUGUUGACACGUGUCGCGCUGUGAUUGACUUCUGAUGUCGACACGUGUCGCAUUGUGAUUGGCCUCCUGGUUGAAGGGAAGCUCUUCUGGGUCCUUGACGGUAUAAUGUUGACCGGUGCUCAGUAGUUUCGGGAUUGAUCAAGUAUGGUACAAACAGAGACCAUGUUAAAUCUGCAAUAUUUUAUUGUAUGUGAUGUAAAACUAGAGGGUUUCAGCGAUAAAAUGCUGGAGCUAAUCGUAGCAGCUUAACAAGAAUAUUUCAUUGGAUAAAAAAGCUUCACUACCGAAUAAAGACAACUACUUAGCGAGCAAUCUGAGCCCUUCAAUCUAAGAAACUAAUAUGGUGCAUACACUUGUCUUAUGUAAGUCCACACCUAAUUCACUAAUAAAAAAAUAAUACUAUACGUUACAUUGUAGGAUUAAACCAAAUCUCAUUUAGUUUCAAACGUUUAGGCCUUUUGAAUAGUCAAAUGAUUUUAUAUAGGUUUUUUUUAUUAAAAACAAAUGAUAUUAUCUAUAUUAAAGGGUAAAUGAGUGUGAUAAGUCUCGCAAUGAGCUAAUUGACUUCUAUAUGGGCUUUUAGACUUUAGGUAUUAUAUAGGAUUCUUUUUAGAUUUUAACCUAAAUGAUUUUUUAAAAUCUAAUUUAAGUCCCUGUUUUUAAAACUUACCAUAUUUAAGUAAGGAUUUUUUUCUUAACAUCCCAUAUGUUGUUGAAUACAUCCCACAUACAAAAUUUAUACAAAAUAACUUGGAAUGUAAUAUUUAAUGACUAUUCAAGCACUCACAACCACUCUCACUCUCCAUUCUAGAACAAAACCCUCAAAACACAAAUAUGUUGAUGAAGAGAUAUAUAAUUUUUUAUGAAUAGAACAUAAAAUCGAGUUUUGGCUCCCCGUUCAUUGGUUGGUUUUCGCUUUUAGGAAAUUAUUUAAAUAAUGAAAUAUAAAAUUGACUUUUUGUCAAGCCCUACUCUAAUUGAAAUCCAAAAAAUAGGAAGAAAAGUGGAGGGUGUUGUAAAAUUUAGAUAUAAUUAUAUGUAUUAUUGUUGUGGCUAUUUGAUGAUGAAGAUGUUUCUUGGUUGGUUGGAAUUGAAGCAAGGCCAUUAGACAUAUAACCUUUCAAAGGAAUUUGGAAUUGGGUUAUUUAUCUUUCAUAAAAUGAUGUAUGUCGAUUGGAAAUUUUUAAACAAAUAAAUGUGUUCUUUUUACAAAUCUAAAAACACAAAUGGAAAAGCCAUUUAAACAAACUGACAUGUCCUUAUAAGAACGGUAAGCGUUCUUACCGUUUGUCCAUCAAAUUUCCUAGAAUCCAAUGUGAUUAUUCAAGAAAAUGUGAGAGAGUACUUUGAUGUCUAUAUAAGUACAGGUACAAAUGUAUCCCACACUAGUUUAGGUAUGAAUGUAUCCCACACAAUGUAAUUAAUAUUCGAAAAUUACAAUUAAAUGCCAAGAAACUAGAGUUAGUUUCUAAUUUUAGACAAGGUUUUAUUCAAAAAGUAAUCUUUUUCAUGAAGUGGAAUAGAAUUUUCCGUUUUUCAUAGUACACUUCGAAAUGUAAUGUGUAUAUUUAUAAGUUGUUGAAAGAUCAUAACUCAUAAGUCAAUUAGAAAAGAAAAGUAUUUCUUGAGAUCCUUUUCUUCUAAUUUAAUUUGUAUUCAUCAGCAGGCAUGGAGAUUGUUAGUCUAAUUGUCGGAAUAGUUGACAAGUAUGCAGUUGAACCAGUUAUACGCCAAGUGGGUUACCUAACUCACUGCAGAAGCAAACUUGACAAACUACGGACUCAAGUGAACGAAUUAAGUGCCGCUAGAGAGGGGCUAGCGCUUGAGGUUGUUCGAGCUGAAGAAAGAGGUGAAAAAAUCCGAACUGACGUCCAGAACUGGCGGAAAGACGCGGAUAAGAUCACCGAGGUGGCGAACGAAUUAUGGAAGCCUGAUACGCAAGCAAAGAUGAGCUGUCUCCGUGGGGUUUGUCCAAACCCGGUGCUCCGUUACAAGCUAGGCAGGAGAUCAACAAAGUUGAAGCAGGCGGUUGUUGAACUCUACGCAAAAAAAGAUUUCGCUAUAAUUUCGGACAAUGUCCGCCCACAAGAUGUAUCCGUGGUAUCUGACAAACAUUAUGAGCCAUUUGAUUCGAGGACUUUAACUGUCAAGAAGAUCAUGGAUGAACUGAGAAUUCCUAAUACCGACCUGAUUUUGGUGUAUGGUAUUGGAGGCGUGGGGAAGACCACACUGGUUGAAGAGGUCCUUAGGCAAGCUGUAAAAGAAAAGUUAUUUGCUGAUGCGGUUAUGGUAAGAAGUGUGCAAAAUCCGGACCCUGAAGGAAUUCAAAAAGAAAUUGCCAUAAAAUUGGGUAUGGAAGUUAAAGAAAGCGAAACUAUGUCAAUAAGAGCACCUCGUCUAUGUGACAGGGUAAAAGACAAGAAAGUUCUUGUAAUUUUAGACAACAUUUGGGAAAGCAUUGACUUGGAGGCGGUAGGACUUCCUUGUCUGCCGAAUUGUAGAAUACUUUUGACAUCCAGAACUCGAAAACUGCUAUC
Molecule: long non-coding RNA, 88778 nt
Filed under: Malus domestica (apple)
Lineage: Eukaryota; Viridiplantae; Streptophyta; Magnoliopsida; Rosales; Rosaceae
Description: long non-coding RNA (MDOM_LNC007329)
Rfam family: Small nucleolar RNA Z103 (bases 70209-70311)
Source: RNAcentral